UUUAGCUCUCGUAACCCGGAACCACUGCCUUUUCCCACAACAAAAUUACACAACGUCUGAAGACUAGUCAACCUACCAAUUCCUACUGGCAUUUCCUCCAACGACUUCGUAUUUGAAUUCUUAAGAUGAUGCAAUUUGGCGAGGUUUCCCAUGUCUGCACACAACUUCUUCAGCCGAUCACAAUCUUCCAACAAAAGACUAUGCAAAUUGUAAAGCUUGUUGACUGAUUCAGGCAGAGUUCUAAUCUCAGUUGUAGACAGGUUAAGGUACCUUAAAUACCUCAAAUCACCAAUUGAAUCAGGCAGCUCAGGGAUGCAGUAUCCACGCAAAGAGAAGACCCUCAAGCGUCGGAGUUUGAGCAACUUAGGAAGAAUGCUAGGAGCCAAGAAGCCAGGCGAACUUUUUGUCAACAUUACUGGUAAAAAAGUUCUCAAAUGCUGGAUAUCAUACAAGUCCCCAAACCUUUUACCGCCAUCAAAAUAUUCAGGAAUGUAUGAUAGAUGACGAAGAUUUUCGGAAAAACUUUGCUGCUUGUAAAUUUCUGAGGUAUACUCCAUUGUGAAGUAUAUCUCCCCCGCAGCCCAACGGGCAAGGUCAUUGAUAAGAUCGUGCAUCACAAAUCGUGAUGUAUUGUUGCUUAAUUGCUGGAAAAAAGAUCUUGAACGUAGCUCUUGAAAGAACUUUCGACCUAGAACUUCGUUAGGAUUCCCACUCUCUUUAUGAACCAAGAAACCCGAAGCACUCCAUAAUAAAAUUAUCUCCUCCUCUUCAAAUUCAUAAUCCUUCGGAAACAACGAGCAGUAUGCAAAGCAUUGUUUCAAAAUUGGAGGAAGAUAAUAAUAGCUCACUGCAAGAGCUGGUAUAAUGGGACAUCUAUCUUCUGGUAAUUCCCAUAUCUUGCUACUGAGCACAUCUUCCCACACACCUCUGUCAUGUUCUCCACAUAAAAGUCCUCCCAGUGUUUUUGCUGCCAAGGGCAAGCCAUUGCAUUUGAUCACUAUCUUCUUACCAAUGUCCUCCAAUGACUUGUGUGAACUGAAAUCUCUUGUCCCCAAAGAGUGCUGAGCAAACACAGACAGACAAUCCUCAGUUGACAAGUUUUUCAAUUCAUAAGCUUGAUCCGGCCUCAUGAUUUUUGCAACCUGUUGAUUGCGAGUAGUGACAACAAUCUUACUUCCCUGUGCGCCAGCUUCAAACGGACGGCUCAUGUCAACCCAGUCAUUGUAAUUCUCAUUCCAAACGUCGUCUAAAACGAGCAAAAAUUUCUUUUGAGAUAACUUCUUCUUCAGCUCCUCUUGAAGCAAAUUUAAAUCACUGUCAUCAAUAGUCUGCUUGGUAAUGGAUCUUAGAAUUGUUUUUGUUAGCCCCUUAACGUCGAAAUCCUCAGAGACACAAGUCCAUGCCUUGAGAUCAAAAUGAUCCUGCACUCGCUUAUCAUUGUAGACAAGCUGAGCAAGAGUGGUUUUGCCCAGGCCGCCCAUACCUAUAAUAGGAAUAACAGAGAAUCCACCAUCGUUGCUUAAAUCAUCCCUCAACAGCAGUUCAACAACAUCCUUCUUUUCUGUUUCCCUGCCAUAUACUUUGGCUUCAGUCACUAAAGAGGUUGUCUCCAGCCUUUGACUGGCUUUGUUGGACCCUCCAGCUGAACUUUCUUUCAAAUCUAGCAAGUUUUUCUGUGUCACAAUUUCUUGAAAUCUGCUGUUGAUCUCUUUGAUUUUGGACAUCAAGCCAUAAUCGAACUGAAUCGAUUGUGGAGUAAAAGUGGUGCAGCAAGCAGGAAUGAGCUUCCGAAACUUACUUGUUCUGGCACGACUGCUACUGGGUUGAUCAUGAGCAGCAGCUGGUUCUCCAUUUCCAAGCAGCAACAUCCUCCGGAAAGCCUCAGUUUGAAACUCAUCCAACAAGUCUUCAACAUCAUAAGCCAAGUUCUGAAGCUUGCCAAGCCACUUCUUCACAGACCGAUUAGUUGUCUUCUUCUCCUCAGCAUCAUCAAGCACCGCCUUGAUCAUCUCCAACAUAUUCUCCCACUUCAUUAGAUAGUCUUGGAUCUUCUCUUGGCGUGCAAAAAACAGAAUCCCCUCUGAAGCUAACUUAUUGACCAGCAAAUCAACAGAUGCCGUAAGGAUUGCCUCUCCGAUGAUCGACAUUUUUUUUCUUUUUUUUGGGCAAAGGAAGAAAGGAGCAGAAUUAUGGGUUAUGGAAAGCAGAAUGAGAAUAUUGAACGGGUGAGAAAAUGGAUAAUUAAGCGGAAUGAGUUUGUGAUUGUGAAGGGUCUGGUACAGCAAGCUUAGUAGAAAUCACGCGUUUGUACUUUAUUGACCAAUGACUAAAUAAUUUGGCAAUGCACCCACCACCACCACUUGGUGAGCAAAAUGAAAAAGUUUAAUAAGUGGAGGGGUCCAGCAAAAUACGACGUAAAAUGUGGCAAGUCUCCCCACUUGUUGUUCGUUGCAGCUAAGAAAAGAAAAAACAGAGCCCACCACCCAUUAAUAAUUUAGCAAAUCACCAAUCAUCACAAAAUUCCAUUAGAUAUUCGUCGAUCAAGUAGUUAAUCCAGUGUCUGCUACGUAGAGCCUUCACUUUACAAAUCUUCAACUCAUAAACCAAGUUAAAUCAAGACGUUUCUCUCUCUGUAUAUAUUUUUUUUAACUCCUAAAACGUUUCUUUUUAGAAAUAUAUUACUUUAUUCAUCUAAUAUGUUAUCUAACAAAUAGACACAGAUGAAAUCACUCUAAAGUGAAGAUGAAAGGGGAAAAAAAAAACAUUCCAACCACCAAUAAUUUAGCAAGCGUCACUUUUAUUCCACCAAAGUGUAAAUAAAGCCAGCCCCCACCACCAUCGAUAAUUUUGCAAGCUUCACACGCUUGUUGUCUUCUCCUUGACGAACUGGACGGGGUGGACCAAGAAUCAAUGAAAGAAUUUUAAAAAUAAUAAUAAAAGAAAAACAUAAACAUUUUGGACUCAGAGUAGAACCGUAAUUAAUGCUAAAAUUUACUCCGCUAACGUUUUCAAAAUAUUGUUCUUUACAAUUGUACAGCAAAUAAGACUAAGUUUUGGACAUUUUCAUAUUCACUUACUUUCAAAAGCAGUAUUUCGAAACAUUUUACAGAAUCAAGUAACAGUUAUAUAACGAGAAAAGUGCAAAGUUGUGUAAUUCUAAUGUUUAUUUUAUCACUGACACUCAGAUCAUUUUUUAUUUGGGUCGCCAACUCGCCAAUGAACCCAUGAUUGAAUAAGUGUUUAGAAAGAAAAUCAAUAAAAAACAGUUUUUUUUUUGUCGUCGAAAUAUAGUAAGUGAGAAAGAUUAUUCUGUUUUUUUUGUUAAUUAGGUUAGUAAUUAUGAUUGAGUGACUCAGAACUAUAUUCUAGAUUGAGAAUCAAUGGUUCUCCCACACUGAGAGGCUGUAAGUUUAAGAUUGUCGUUUGCUAUUUCAUCAACAAGAGAACACUUGAAUUUAUUAAAAAGAGAAGGCCAUAAAAGUUUUCUUUUAUGAGAAAUGUAUCUGAUCAUUCCUUUUUACUUGAAAAUUUCAUAUAUAAAAACUCAUUAAUAAAUGACAGAAUAUACAUAAAUUAUUAAUUCAUUUGAUAGUUGAUUAUCGAAGGACAUGUGACCCAUGGGAGCAUGCAGACUAUAAAAUAAUUCUUUUUUUUAUUAAACAAAAAAUCGGUGAUGUUGAAAAGCAAUAUUAAUUCGACUGAUAAUUGGGGUGAACAUUCAUAAAAAGAAUGCCGUAUGAAACUAAAUUAUUAAUUCGUUUGACAUGUGACCCACAAUAAAUAGUUAAAUUUGGCGGCAACAAUAAUUACAAGACGAACUUAAAGCAGCGCAUAGGUUUUUCUUAAAAAUACAUAAACAAUUCGAUAUUUGAAAUUCUAAUAUCUCAAUAAUCUAGUUAUCCUGUAUUUAGAUCCACAUACAAUUUCUUUUUUUCUUUUUUCUGAUUUCCAAUCGUUACCAAAAGAAAAUAUUUAGUGAUCCCUUUUAUCAACUUGGUUUUAUUGACUUUCUUCCAAUCAUAGAAGUGAAAAGAGAAACAGAGGCCAGCACCAAUAAGUGUUGUGUUACCAGAUUCUGUAAAGACAAAAUCAGUGCCCAGCAAAAAGAAGCAAUGUUUUCGUUAUAUGCUGCUUCCUAUUUAGUACAUGCAUAUAAAGAUAUGCACGUGCACAUGCAGCACAUCUAUCUAAAAUUUAAAAAAAGUAAUUAGAAAUACAGGAAUUAUGGUAGAAAUAUAACAGGAAUAAGAGUGAAAUUACAAUUUUAAAAUUUGGGAGAAAUGAAAUGCGAUAUUUUUUUUAUGAAUAAAAUAAUUUAAUUUUUUUUAAUUCUACCAGCAAAAACCAUUAACUUAUCAAGUUAUUGGUUUCAUUCACAGUUAACAGUCGGUUUCUUAGUUUCAUUCCUUAAUUCUACAAGAAAAAAACAGAAUACUUGACAUUUACUAUUUGACAAUUUUUAAGAAAUGUCAAGCAUAUAUGACAUUUUGUGAAAAACUGAGUAAUUGUGAAAUAUAAAUGACAAUUUAUUUAAACGUCAAAUAAUUGUGACGUUUUAUCAAAUAAAUGAUAAAUAUAUUACAUAUUUAUUAAAUAAUUAUCAUUUACCUUUUCCUUUUAUUGACUUGAGAAAAAAACAAAAACAUUGACUAUACUGCUUUUGUUUUCGUUCUUAGAACAGAUUUUAGUUUCUUUUGAGAAAAUUCAAACUCAUUCCCAUUACUUUCUUUUCAAUAAUCACCUCUCAGUUUUUCAUCAAUCACUCAAUACCGAAUUACAUCUCCAUUCUCUUUCGAAGAAGAACGCACGAAGAAUUUUAGCUUGCUUUCGCUGCUUCUCGAAUAUUGGGUAUUGUUUCCUUUAAUUUAGAUAAUUUUUUUUUUUAUAUCUCUCUUUCUAGUUUGAUAAUUUAUGGUUAUACUUGAAUUAAUUGUAUUUUUAAUCAACCAAGGUUGAUUUAAUUGAUUCCAAGUCUCAAUUUCCUGUUCAACAAACAAGGAACGCACAAAUAAUUUUCAUUUUCAUACUCAAUUUUGAAAGAAUCAAUUUAUUUUAUCUUUGGUUAGUACACUUCUGUUCAAUUUUUGUUUAUUUAACUUAAGAUAUCUUUUUCUUUCUUUUCUUCAAGCAGAUUAUAGAUUAUAUUGAGAACAGAGCUUUCUCCUUAAUUCCGCCAAGAGCAACGUUGAUUUCAGGUGAUAAUUGAAUGUGUAAUAUUUUCAAUUGAAAUUAAUUGAGUCUCGUAAUAAUAAUAGGGAUUUGAGAUUUACAUCCUGUUGAAAUGAUUUUAGAGUGUUUUGCUAUUUGAAUGCGUAUUAAUUGUUCCUCUGUUUCAAAUCCAAAUCCACUGGUCUACUAUUCAUUAUGACAAUGCAUAUGCCGAUAUUGUCUUCCAUCCUUUGUGUACCUUUCAAUUUAGUGAGGUUUAGACAGGGGUUCCAGAUUUGGUAAAUCAACAAUCACCAGAUAUGUAGAGCGGCCGGAAGAGGAAGCAUGGUUCCUAAUCCUAAUCUUGAUUUAGAGCAGAUUAGGUAACAUGUGACAUUCUACAUUCUUGCAAUGCCAUUUCUUGUUAUGGCAGCGGCAUUCUUGGUCAUGGCAUCACAAGCAAAUGCUUUGAUUUGAAGACUUGCUUGGCUAUGAAAAAUAAGGAGAGCAAAGGUAAUUAAUCUUGGUGUGAUCAACAUUUUUAUGGGGGUACUAAGAAAAAUAAAGAUAAUAUAAGGAAUGUUGUUGAGGAGUAUUUUCAUAUUUACACAAGUAUUCAAAGUAAAAAUUGAUUUCUUAAAACCCAUUAGCUAGCGCACAUAAUAAUGGGGAGAAAAUUUUAGACUACGAAUGGUCCCGCCCAUUUAAUAAUAUUCUUCAAUCAAUUAUGUUUACUUCAAAAAAAAAAAAACCUAUCUCUUUAUUACUUUCUAACUAUUCAUAUUAAUGUGUUAAUAAUUAUGAAGAACCGGUGUAAUUUAUAUGAUGUAGGAAGCACUUUAGGCAAAAUCAUUUGAAUCUCAAAAUUUCGUGAUAUUGUGCCAAAUAUCGAAAACAGAGCUUCCUAUCACAGAAAUUAGGAAUCACUGGAGAGUAGAGUUACGUGACUGAAUAGUAUCAUAUCACAGAAACUCAAAACUCAAAAGUGCAAUAACAUUGAACAUUCAGCUGGCUAGCUUAUAUUGAUUAAUUAAUACUACUACUAGUUCUUUAUGAUUAAUUAAAAGAUAAAAUAUUUGACAAUCACGAAACAUUAUUCCAUCACUGAAGAGUAGAGCUUCCUACAUUGUUACCCAAGCUCUUUUAUAUCUCCCAAACAUUAUUAGAGUCCCACAUUUGUGGGCACAUCAUUAAGUAAAAUGUGCCAAUUAGGAAGAACUGGCUUCUUUGUUUUGUUUUCUGGGAUGUGUUGCAAUUUUCAAGUAUCAUUCAAAAUUUUACACCAUCAACACAGGAAAAUUAUAUAUAUUCUGUCAGCACUUGCAUAUGUUGCAAGUGCUGACAGAACUUUUCAUUUGAUUUGAUAAUUGGCUAAGGGUGAUUUCGAUAACGUUUCCAAAGAAGACAUAGAACAAAGAUCAAAAAGAAAAAUAAGUAAUUUGAUCAGUCGAUGCAAAAAAUGAGCGAGCUUCGUAGUCUGACUAACAGGAAAUGGCUUGGAGCAAGGAUCAAUGGACAAGUUUGAGGUUUAUGAAUAAACAGAACAGAGGAAAUAAGUGAUCAAUUUAUUACUUCGUGCAAUGGCCACAGCAACAGCGAAAAUAUGUCUACAUGACUACAUUAUCCGACUGGCAUGGUACUAUAACCGUGCAGCAUUACACUAACAUUUCCUUAUCAAUCAAUUUUGAUGGUAUGAUAUUAAAAACAUAGAUUUCAUAAUUUUAUGUAAUUCAAAGAAAAGAUAUAAUUGAUUUGAGUUAGUUUAACAUAUAAGGAAAGAGUAAUGGGGAAUGAUGUUGAUGUGGCAUGUGAUGAGUAAAGAUAGACAACAAAUAUUGAUCGUGUAAUAAUGAAAUAUGUAUUUAUUGAAAAUAAAUUGACAAUUAAAAUUAAUAGAUAUAUAUCCAAUGCAUCGAGUUUAUUUUAUCACUUCGCUAACCAUUUUGUAACUACAUGUUAAUUAGAAGUUCAAUUAAUUUUGACCAAAGACUCUAGAGAAUGUCGAAAAGAGAUUUGAUUUUUGUCUUAAAAAAAAUUAGAAAUGAAAUAAGUCAAAAUCAAUCACAAGAACAACAACAAGAGCAUAUUUUAUAAAACCACAAAUACAUAAUAUAAAUUUAGUUUCGAAUUAGAUAAUUAUUAAUUUGUAUUGUAAGAGAGUCUUAUAGAAAAAUAGGAAUUUUUUAAAAGGAGAUUUGCUUAAGGAACAACUUUAGUUAAUGGAAGGAAAUACAAGUUUGAUUUUGACAAAGUAAUCACUAAAAUAUUUGACAAGUUUGAGAUGUUAAAAAACUGGAAAAAUAGACAAAUAAUGAAAACCCUACAAGUUGGCAAAGCGAAUAAACAGAGGAAAACAGAGCAAAUAUUUACCGUUAUACAUAUAUUUUUUUAUUUUUUUCCGAAAAAGAAUGUUGCGAUAUUUUUUCCCAAAAAGAAGCACAGUUUGAUAUUACUACCAAAGAACUUUAGCUACCAUAUAUAAGCACGUGUCUAAUUACCAAAUGAAUUCCGCUAUAACAAAGAAUAAAAGCUAAUUUCAUUGAUGGCAUAUGUCGUGCUUUCUUUUCUUUUAUUUUAUUGAAGUUACUUUGUAAACUGCUCCAAGCUAAAUACAAAAUUUACUCUUACACUAGGAUCUUUGCAAUGGUCCAGCAAUUUGUAUUUCCAUUCGGUGAGGUUGGUUUUUUUCUUUAAAGUUGGGAAGUCCAUGUUUGCCAUCAAGAGUACGAUUAAAGAAGAGAUGUUACAAUACACAAAAAGGAAAAAAAAUGCCCAAGGAAGCUUGGGACACUUUUGCAAUGAUUUUUUUUCAAUGAAGAAUAACACACAACUACAACUUUUGGACAAUGAGUUACAGUCAAUUUCACAGCAAAGCAACUUCAAUAACCGCAAAAUUUUUGGGUUAGAUCCUACUGUUGCAAUUUCUGAAUCCAGAAUGAAGAGAAUUAUUAUCCAUAGCUUGGUCAUAUACAAUAUGUGUGUGCGUGUGUGUAUGUGUGUGUAUUGGGAUGUCACAGGCCCUAAAAGAUACAGCUGAACAUCAAUCCUAAAUCUAAAGUGAAAAACAGUAGCUAGAACAUAAUCUUUGUUUUGAUGUCUUUGUUUAUAAGCUCAAACAAUUGACAGUAUAGAAAAUGCAUGAUAGAACAUAGAACUCAUAUUUUAGCAAUAAUCCUAAGCUCACUGGCCCUUAGUUCAAACUGGCAGUUCUUAUUAGUCAAAGAAUCAAAUUGACUUUUAGUUGUAUAUAAGUAGAGCACUAGAUCAACAAAUAAUUGAAGACUUGCUUGGCUGUGGAACCAUAGGAAGGCAAUUCGUGAACAGCCUUGAUAUUUCAUUUGGUUUUAUUUAAUUCUUUGUAAAGUCGUAUUGUAUGUAAAAUUUUUGUUAAAUGAAAUCGGUAUGUGAAGAGAAUUUUUAAAAGCAACCAUCAAAGUCACGAUCAAAGGGACGAAAUCAGUAUAAAUAUUGAUUGUCUCAAGUUAGAUUAUACAAAGAUGAAAUAAUUCUAAUCUAGAAAAUUCGAUCAUUAUAAUUUGAUUUCCAUUAUAUUAAUUAUGUUCAAUCUUGCUAUUUUAAUGAAGAACACUCGAGGAUUUAUAUACACUCAGCUUAUGAAAUUAAUUACAAAACGAUCUUUGACCAAGUCUGAUGAAAAGAUCAUAUUAUAAGUGCAAAGUUACACUUCCCGAUCAUGCAACUAUCCAUCGAAUUGUGUAUUGUGUUAUCGUUGAGCUCUUAGGAAGAUUCAGCUGCUGAGGAGAAGAUGUAAUCUGUUUUUAUGUGACAAGCCAUGUACUCUGCUUUUAUGGUGUUUCUCUUGGUAGUUUUGGACAAAACUGUAAUGUAAAUUUCUAUCUUAAGGGAUUCCUAAUCCUUUUAGUUAGUUUGGGAUUGUUGAUUUAUCUAUGAUGUUUGGUAUCCAAAAUUCAGGUGAUGAUAAUCUUCGCAGUACUUUUGUCAAAUUUUCUUUUAUGUUGGUGUUGUUUUAAUUAAAUAUCACAAAGGUGCAAAAUGCGGUAAAAUUAACAUUGAGCUCAUGAGAUUGCCAUUAGAUAUAUUGAAAAAGAAAUUGAUACAAGAAACUGAAAAUUAGUUGUUAAUUAUGAUGGGAAUAUAAUCUUUGAAUUAUAAUUAUAUCUAUCUAACGCAUGUGCACUAAUCUUAUUUAUCUCUAUCACUGAAAAAGCAGAGUGGCCUGAUUGAAUAGUAUCAUAUUAUGUCACAGCAAUCACAAAAACUCACUCAACAUUAUGCUAAUUUAUACUAAUUAAUUAAUACGACUAACAGGAAAAGUUGGAUCUCGCCUUGCUAAAAAUCAGGUGAUUGUUUUUCAUUUUUGCGGCUACUUGACUCAAUUAUGUUAUUGCAAGAGGAGAUUUCUAUUUUGUCCGGUUUAAGCCAUAAGAUGGGUUUUAAGAUUCAUUCUGAUUGGUUAUCUGUUAGCUUUUUGUUUUAAGAACUUCUUAUUUACGAAAGCCAAAUUCUUCUUUCUAGGUUUAUUCAUAUUCAGAAGUUGCUUUUGUCAUAUCAGAAGAAGAGGCUAAGACUGUUGAAGUACUAGAAGGGACUACUGCGCUGAUUGCCUUUUUCAUGGGCUUCUAAUAUCCAAUGUUGAUUAUCUCUUCCAUUUGAACAUGAGAGUAAAAAGAUAGUUGAUAUUUAUGUUACAAAAGUUGGAAGCGACUUAAGCAAUUCAGUAUCAUGCGAGGACUAUAAUAAUAACCCCGAUUAUUUUGCCUCUUGGAUUUUUUUGUUAAUUCACUUGCUUUAUGCUUAUCCGACCUCUGAUUUUUUCUUAAUAUUUCUUUGUAGUUCACUUCACAGCACUUAUAGCCGCUGCAUUGGCAUUUUCUGCUAUUUGUUAUUGUUCAUUGAAGCUAGUUAGUUUACGAAAUUUCUUUUUGAUAAAUCUUCUUCAGAGGGUUGUGAGAGGCCAAAUCAAUUGAGAUGACCGGGUUUUCUAGAUCAGCCAUCUUUGUCGUCAACAGUGCUAAACUGUCAAUUACUGAGACACCAAACUCUAACCCGAUUCAUAUGGAUGUAGACUAAAGCUUCUUGCCGAUACCAUCCCAGUCAAAGCUGCUAUCUUUGAAAGUUUCGCAAGACAAAACAACGUUGGUUUCCCAGUCGACACAAAUACAGAUUUCAUAUGUGCAGAUUGCUCUCAAUCUCUGUUUAAUAAGCUAGUCCUCUGCUGUAUCCUAGAAGGUGGAACAAUACAUUAUGCUUCCCAGCAGGCUCCAAUGGGAUCUAUAUAUGUUUCUGCUGCCAAAUUUUUGAAAGCGAUCAUUGUGAAUAUCGCUGCCCAGUCUGAAGUGGGCUUUGAUACUUGUGACAAUACUCCAUCGAGGCUGUAAAGAAGCCGUGGGUGUACAUUUCUGGUCCAACAAUCAAUCUAACUGGCUUACUUUACAGCAACAAAGAGAUAGAAAAUAUAUUAACUGCUUGUGCAGAAUAUGGAGCAAGAGCUUAUUUAGUGUCGUGUCAAAAUAAAUAUAACAAAGUUUAAGCUGAAUAUAAAUUGUUAAUUACAGGCAGAGCAAGUUGAGUUUAAAAAAUGCGAAGCACCCAGUCCCAAAACAGAGAAGCUUGACGUUGGCCGGCAGGAUUAAUAUUAUUUUUUUUAACAACAAUCAAAGCCAGUCGGGAAUUUAUUAAGAGGUUAAUUAGUUGAAGUAUAAAAAAGGAAUUAGCAGGAUUCACGCCCGACCAAAUCCACAUGGCCAAAGCAAAGGAUUAAGUUUGAGAGAUUAUAAUGAAAUAUAAGUAAGCUUCGCACAUGCAUGCGUCUGACUGACAGAACAAAUGAAGGAAACAUAAACUUAUCAUUUUUAAGAUGUAAGCAUCAAAACAUUCGACAAGUUUGAGGUUCGUGAGAUAUUGGGAAAAUAUACAAAUAAUAAAGCCACUACAAGUUAAGCAGAGCAAAUAAACAGAGGAAAUAACUGAUCAAUUUAGUUCUUUGUGCAAUGGCCACAGCAACAGAGAAAAUAUGCCUACACGACUACAUUAAUCCUACUGGCGUGGUACUAUCACCAUGCAAAUUAACAUUAACAUUUCAUCAUCAAUCAGUUCUGAUGACAUGAUAUCAAAAACAUUGAUUUCAUAAUUUUAUGUAAUUUCAUAUAAAAGAUAUAUAUAGUUUAUUUGAGUUAGUUUAAAAUAUGAAGAAAGAGUAAUGGGGAAUGAUAUCGCUGUAGCGUGUGAUGAGUAAUGAUAGACACCAAAUAUGGAUCAUGUAAUUAUGAUAUAUGUAUUUACUGAAACAUAUUUGGCAAUAAAAUGAUGCUUUAAAAAUUUAAUAUUGUUUGCUUGAAAAUAAUUUGACAAUUAAAAGUAAAAGAUGUAUAUGCAAAACUUUGACCUUAUUUUAUCACUUCACUAACCAUUUUGUAAGUACAUCUUAAAUCGAAGUUCAAUUAAUGCUGACGAAAGACUCCAGAGAAUGUCGAGAAGAGAUUUGAUUUUGGUAUACCAAAAAAUUACAGAUGAGAUAAGUUAAAAUCAAUUACAAGAACAACAAAAAGAAUAUAUUUUAUAAAAGCCACAAAUACAUAUAAUAUAUAAUCAGUUUCGAAUUAAGUAAUUAUUAACUUAUAUAGUGAGAAAGUGUUAUAGGAAAGUUGGAAUUUUUUAAAAGAGAUUUGCAAAGGAAAAAGUUUAGUUUAGUUUAGUUUGCGAAGGCUCAAGUAAUUCAAAGCAAUUAGCAAUGCAAUUGAAGGAAAUAUAAACUUCUAAUUUUUACAAAGUAAUCGCUAAAAUAUUUGACAAGUUUGAGAUUUUCAAAAAGCUGAAAAAAAUAGACAAAUAAUGGAGACCCUACAGAUUGGUAGCGCAAAUAAACGGAGGAAAAUAUGGCAAACAUUUAUUUUUUCCAAAAAGAAUAAAAGCACGUGUCUAAUUACCAAAUAACUUCACUUUAAAAAAUAAUAAAUGCUAAUAUCAUUGUUAGCACAUGUUGUGCAUUUUUCAUUUAUUUAUUUGCUAUUACUUAUUGAAGUUACUUUGCAAACUGCUCCAAGCAAACUACAAAAUUUCUUAUCACUCUAGGAUCUUUGCAAUGGUCCUGCAAUUUGCCUUCCUUUCUAUUAGGUUAGCUGUUUAUUCAAAAGAAAAAAAAUUGGGGAAAUGGAAACCUCACCCUCUUAAUACAGAUUUUGAAUUUUAUUAUUAUUAUUCAAAAUUAGAUAACUAUGCAAAUAAUGGGCGGUUAUAACCAGUGAAACUGUGUCUAGCUACGACGCAGGUUUAAUUUUCUCUUGAUUAAAUAUAUAAACAAAACUAAAUCACCUGAGCCUCUGGUUUCACUAUUUUUCAACUUGAAAUUAAAACGCAAAAAUUGAUGGUAUUGGAGUUCGUUGUUUAGUUUUGCUGUAGGUCAUGGGGAAUCAAAUAGCCAUCCAUUUUUAAGUCUAUUUUAUGUACUAUUGGUCACUAAGUAUUGGGAUGUCAUAGGCCCUAAAAGAAAAAGCUGAAAAUCAAUCCCCUAUCUAAAGUGGAAAACAGUAGCUAGAACAGAAUCUAUGGUUUGAUGUCUUAGUGUAUAGGCUUAAACAAUUAAUAGUAUAGAAAAUGCAUGAUAGAAUUCAUAUUUUAGCAAUAAUCCUCACCUCACUGGCCGUUAGUUCAGAAUGACAAUUCUUAUUAGUCAAAGAAUCAAGAUGAUUUUUAGUUGUAUAUGAAUAGCGCAGUAGAUCAACAAAUAAUUGAAGACUUGCUUUUGCUAUUGAACCACGCGAUGGCAAUUCGAAGACUACAGCUUAGCUCUGCCAUUCGAAGUAAGCAAAUCAGCUGCCCAAAGACUGCCAAGCCAUCAAGACAAUACCAAGAUACAACAUCAAGAAUUACAUACAGGCCGUCACAUAUUACAUUUCUCCUCUGUUUUAAGAGAGAUUUACGAGCCCAUGCAGUAGAAGUAAUUAAUUAAUUUAUACAGUUCAGUACUCAUUCCUCCUCUGUUUCAAAUCCAAAUCCACUGCUCUGCCAUUUAUUAUGACGCAGGGUAUAUGGGUUAGCAAGUGUCGAUAUUGUCCUUCAUCCUUUGUGUACCUUUCUUCUAACAAGGGACAGCACGAGAUCUCUAAUCACAAAAGAGAGGCAGGCAGGCCGUUCGCUGGAAAGUACUUGAGCUUGGGACAAUUACAGAGUUUCAAUGAAAUGAGGUUUUGAUGAUCAACAAUUGAAGAAGACAGGCGUUCCAAAUUUGGUAAAUCAACAAUCACCAAAUAUGCUAGAGUGGCAGGAAGAGGAAGCGUGGCUCCUAAUCCUAAUCUUGAUUUAGUAUUGCGUAUGUAACAUGUGGCAUUCUACAUUCUUGCAAUGCCAUUUCUUGUUAUGGCAGUAGCGUUCUUUCACCAUGGCAUCGCAAGCAAAUAUUUGACUUGAAGACUUGCUUUGCCAAGAAAAAUAAGGAGAGCAAAGGUAAUUGAUUUUGGUGUGAUGAAUAUUUUUAUGGGUGUUCUAAGAAAAAUAAAGAUAAUAGAAGUAAUGUUAUCGAGGAGUAUUUUGAUAUUUACAAAAGUGUUCAAAGAAAAAAGUGAUUUUUUGAAAUCUAUUUGCUGGUGAACAUAAUAAAAUGGCAUUCCGACUUCUGCGUAAAUUUAAAACUACAAAUAGUUUUACUCUUUUAAUAAUAUUCUUCAAUUAAUUCUGUUUCUUUCACAAUAAAAAAUCCAUCUCUUUAUUACUUUCUAACUAGUCAUACUAAUGUGUUAAUAAUGAAGAACCAGCGUAAUUUAUAUGAUAUAAGAAGCCCUUUAGCACAUUAACCCGAAUUUAGCUAAUGCAUGUGCCUAAUAUAGCGAAAUCAACAUUCGGCUCAUUAGAAUGCCAUUAUAUAUACUGAAAAAGAAAUUAAUACAAAAAAAAACUGAAUAUUAAUUGACACUGGAUCAUGUUGGAUUGUUAGUUGUUAAUUAUGAUGGGAAUACAAUUUUCAUCUUUUGAUUAUCCGCUAACUAAUGCAUGUGCACUUUCAUUUGUGUCUAUAUAUACAAAAACUUGUAUCCCAUGGUUUACAUAUGUAUGAAGAUAAUGUAAUAAAGUGCUUUUGAUAAAUUCCCCUGGUCUGUUUACUUCACUAAUUCAUUAAUGUGCAAGUCCUCUAUAGAGCUGUGUUGUGCGUACAAGUUUUGCUACAUGAAAUCGUUAGGUGAGGAGAAUUUUUAAAAGCAUACAUCAAAGUAAUGAUUAAAGGGACAAAAUCAACAUAAAUAUUGAUUAUCUUGAGUUAGAUUACACAAAGAUGAUAAUGUAGUAAAUUUAUCAUAAUACACUACUAAAAAAUGCAUUUUAAUGACACAAAUUUUAUGACAUACAUCUUUAUGUCAUGAAAAUACUUGCAUGAUGUAUAAUGCUUCUGUGAUUAUUUGAUGAUAAAUUCAUAAUUGAUGCAGAUACAAAAUGAAGUGAUGAUAGGUAAAUAUCAUGUGAUUUUUUUUAUGGGUAAGAAUAUUUGAACCCACCAAAUUACUCUUUAAACUUACUUUUUUAUUGAUAAUUUUAUUACAAAAUUACUGANNNNNNNNNNNNNNNNNNNNNNNNNNNNNNNNNNNNNNNNNNNNNNNNNNNNNNNNNNNNNNNNNNNNNNNNNNNNNNNNNNNNNNNNNNNNNNNNNNNNNNNNNNNNNNNNNNNNNNNNNNCCGCAAAACUCAAUCAAAGUAUGCUUAUUUUCUUCUUCUGCACAAGUGUAGCAAAGUUUUUAAUAAGUUCCUCCUUCAUCCACAGUUGAGAACUUUCUAACUUUUGUUUCUUGUUCUAGUAAUUUGGAUAUGCUGUGUUAGAUACUGAAUUUAUUAAAUUUCUUCUUCUCUUUUGAAUAAAAUCUCUUUAAAAUUCAAUCCAUAAAAAAAAAAUUAAUCUCCUUAUAAUUUAAUAUGUUUCGGCUGUCUUAGUGGAAUGAUGCAAUUUGUGUCAAUCAAAGUUUUGAAGCAUCCUAAAUUAUAUAUUUUUUUGUUUAAUUUGUUUAGAGUUCAAUUGUUUAGAUCUAGGCUAAUUUUUAUUGAUAAUAUUUAUGAUUAAAUUAUAUGAGUAUGCUUAAAUUUUUUUUUCCUUCAAAUUUAUUUUCUGAUGUUGCAUUUGGUUAGCAAAAAGAUAAAAAUAGUAGAAAAUGUCCGAAUUAUUGUUAUGAAAAUGUUGUUUUAGUCUGAUAUUGGGAAAAUAUCCUUAUACAUAUCGGCAUGAUAUUCAUGGGAGACCAAAUUGAGAAUGAUGGCAGACUAUGCAUUGCUCACAACUAAUUUAAAACUCACUAUUUCUAUUGUUUGUGUUUUAGUAACUUUGGGGGAAUUCCAACUAUAGUUAAUAAGCUAUAAACUUGUUUAGGAUUACUAAUCAACUUGCUAGAAAGAGUUGCAAACUAAUUAGCUUUCUCUUAUAACUUUUACAGAUCAUCUGUGGAGGAGAACUGCAAGGAGUUGAAGACUCUAGACCCUAAACUUCAUAUCUUGAUUUAUAAGUGCAAUGGCCAUAAGUCCGAAUUAUGGGCUGGAGAUGGUAUAUGUAAUCUUUCUGCUCUUGGUGUUUUUUUUUUUUUCCCCUCUAGUUAUUUUUUGCUCUCUACUCCAUUGUAUAUUUGUAUUCAAAAGUAUUUUUUUCUUUGUUUUAAGCUUUCAAAUUUAUGGAGAUGAUCUUAUUAGGUGUUAAAAAAAUAGUUGUAGAGCUUUACUAAAACUAUGUAAACUCUUAUUGAGAUUUGGGUUUGAUUUUGUAAGAUUGCUAAAAAUUUCAUAUUUUAUACUUGUUUUAUACUUUUCUAGUCGAAUUUCUUGCUUGUGGAAGAUAAAAUAAAAGUCCAAUUCAUGUUGUAAAAUUUUUUUUUCCUCCCUUUUUUCUUCCCUUAUAAUCUGGCUCUGGUUUUGGUGCAGUUUAUGGUUUCAAUGCAGGGAACCAAUUUCAUCAGAAUCAUCUUAAAGGAUCAAAGUGGCUUCCUUUUGUAACUGGGUAAGUCAAUGCUACUUCCUGAAUUCGAUUUGGAGUUCUUUCGGAAUAGAUUUCCUUCCCUUACAUCACUUGGCUUCUAGUUGCAUCUUCUUGGCUUUCUCCAACGGACUUUUUUAUUGGCAAAUUCGUUUGUUUCUAUUGUUUUCAAGUGCUAGUGCUGGAUUUGGAGGUAUGAAUGGUGCCUUCAUUUUUAUUUUUUUAAUUUUCUUUUGGGUGUAUAGUACUGUAAUAUACUUCUUUGUAUAGCUAGUACAAAAUAGUUCUUUAAUUUUAUUUGUCAUGAUUUAUUUCUAUUGCCUGGUGAUGACACCCAUCACGACUUAGUAGUCGUGAAUAAAUCGAAAAUCAAAUUGCACUGGUUUUUACCGGUUAUCAACAAUUGUGAUGUUUUGAGAUUAUAACAUACUUGACAACGCCGACUAGCGUUCUCUCCUAUGUGAAUUGGGACAAAAAUUAUUUUCCCAAUCACGCUUUCGUUUGAACAAUUCCACUUCAGAUAUAUAAAAUAAUGAUGAAAUUGUGUUUUAAAAUUAGUUACGAGUAAUUGGUUCAAUAUUAAUACAAAACUAUUUUAAGUAACACGUGGCAUAUUCUAAUUCCAGUGAGCUUCUAACUCAGAUUCCCAAAUCAAAAGAAACGUUUCAAUUUUCUCCAGAACGUUCUGCAAAACAUUUCUUCGAGUCUCUACGUUGUGCUAGAAUUUUCUCUCAGUUUCUUUUCCAUAGACUUCUAAAAAACUGUCCAGAUACCGAGAUAUAAUCCAAUCUAAGUGUACAUAUUGUAAGAAAAACGAUACACAGUGAGAUAACAAUUUAAAUAGUAGCUAAUUUAAACAACAAUGUAAACUAGCAAUGGGAAACAACAAAUGAAGAACUGAAGAGAAAGGAGACCAAAACAGAAAUAUAAACCCGAGGCCUGCGGACAGUUUCCUUAAACAUAUUUACCCCCUCUUGGAGUGCUUUAGGUCAGCUGGUAUCUGUUUCCCAGGAUACAACAGGCACGAAUUUUCGGCUAAGCACAGGCUAGAAAUUCUGGCGAACCACAACAACGAGCUCGAUCAGAGAAAACAGACGACGAAGAUGGAGGAAGGAAAAUAAGUGUGCUGGUUUUUUCAGUGUGCAAAAAAACAGAAGAGGAGAUGCCUUUUUAUAGUCAUAUGAGGAUGUAACAGCUACUUUGUAUUGAAUUUCUGAAUUCAAUAUAUUUUAUUUAAUUGUUAUAACAGCCAAAUCAAUUCAAUGAAUUGAUUUCAAAAUUGAAUUAAAAAAAACGUGAAUUAUAUAACAGCUAAAAAUAAUUGUUGAAGCUGUUACAAAUCCUUUGAAUUCAAACGUGAAACUGUUACAAUAAAAAAAAUUUUAAAAGGAAAUUAAAAACAUGCCAAGCUUGCAUGGAUGAUUUUGGGCUGACAUUCGCGUACGCAGACGAGUUCAACCAAAUUGGUCAUGGAUUUGCACCCCCCUGCACACGCGCACGUGGAGAGAGCCUCUAUCCUUAUAAUUCUUGAACAAGCAUGGUUAAGUGUUUAUAUAUAAACACUAAUCCCUAGGCUUCUUUUUCCCAUGUGGGAUAAGCCUAAUUUCUUUUCAAAUUUCCAACUUCAAAGGUGAACUUUGAGAGACAAUUUCUCAUUCACCCAAGCACCAUUUUGAGAAAAUAAGAUUAUACUUUUGAAGUAUCAAAGGAGUAGAAUCCGAACCUCACAAGAUUUUCCACUUUCGUUAAGUGGGACCCACUCAAAAUAUGCCCUCAAAAUAGCAUCUAUAUAUGCUAUUUUUUCAACAAUCCCCCACAUGAAUGAAAAUUGGCAGUAAAACAAAAAACCGCUAUAUUUUUUUUACAUCAAAACCAUUUUUGACCUUAAUGAUUGAGUUUAUUGGAUUGAUACCUAGCACAUGAUAGGUUGGUGUUAUCCUUUUAACCUUCCCUUGUAAUAGUAUAAUUACUUUACUGGCUGAUCAGUAGACGCGAUGUCUUUGAACUGUGCGGCCGUUAGUGUAAACGAUCAUAUACUACACAUAGGUAUUUCUCCUAACACUGUUGAGUUCUCAUGGUUAUGUUCGUUUUGGCCUUGAACAUCUACCUGGUUCUGCAAGAGUUUCUAAGAGCUAAACCCAUCAUAGCUCCCUUUGAAGCGGCCCCACUUCUCUCUCACAUAGGUGAUAUCUUAAUUAAAAGUAACCCGCAUUACUCCGCUCGAAUUUUCCGACGCAUAAGAAUCAUUAAGAGCCUAGCUCAACCUUAUUCCCCACGAGCAUCAUUGUUUCAUAAUAUGAAUGGUCAAUGAGGUAAUCUUCUCAAGAGAAUAAACCCCACAAUAAUCCAACUUUAGUCUUUAACAAAUAGGUUGUUCAAUUGAACCUAGAUCUUGGGAUCUCCAGUCUACUAGGUUGGGUUUUCCUUCGUUAUUGACUAAUCAAUCUAUGAGUUUUAAUCCCAUUCCCCUCGAUGAUUUUUCUACUAGCUCUCUAUUUAACCCUUUGGUUAGCGAAUCCGCAAUGUUAUCCUUUGACCUCACAUAGUCAAUAGAAAUAACUCCAGUAGAAAUAAGUUGUCUAAUGGUAUUAUGUCUAUGACGUAUGUGUCUAGACUUACCAUUAUACAUAUUGCUUUGUGCCCUACCGAUAGCUGAUUGACUAUCACAAUGUAUACAAAUCGAAGGCACAUGCUUUGGCCACUUUGGAAUACCUUUUAAAAAAUUGCGUAGCCAUUCUGCUUCUUCACCACAUUUAUCUAAUGCAAUGAAUUCAGAUUCCAUUGUAGAUCUAGCAAUUACUGUCUGUUUAGAAGAUCUCCAUGAUACAGCUGCACCUGCUAGUGUAAAUACAUAGCCGCUAGUGGAUUUUGAAUCUUUUACAUCUGAUAUCCAGUUAGCAUCACUAAAUCCUUCUAAUACUUCUGGAUACCUAGUAUAGUGCAGUCCAUAAUUACGAGUGUAUCGAAGAUACCUAAGUACUCUUACGAUAGCUUUCCAGUGAUCAGUUCCUGGAUUACUCGUAUAUCUACUAAGUUUACUUACCGUAUAGGCUAGAUCUGGUCUGGUACAACUUGUUAAGUACAUCGGACUGUCUAUUAUUCUAGCAUAUUCUACUUGAGAAAAACCCUCUUCUCUAUUUUUCGAUAAAUGGAUACUAGUAUCUAAUGGAGUUUUAGACAUAAUAUUAUCAUUUUUAUUAAAUUUUCCAAGAAUUUUAUCUACAUAAUGAUUUUGACUUAGAAUAAGUCCAUUAGAAGCCCUUCAGAUUUUAAUUUCCAAAAUGACAUUUGCAAGACUCAUGUCUUUCAUGUCAAACUUAGACUUCAACAUAUUCUUGGUAGAUUUAAUCAUGUCAUCAUCACUUCCAACAAUGAGCAUGUCAUCAACAUAUAAACAUAAAAUGACAUAGCCAUUUUCCGUUUCUUUGACAUAAACACAUUUGUCACACUCGUUGAUUUUAAAACCACUUGUGAUCAUCAUAUGAUCAAAUUUCUCAUGCCACUGUUUCGGUGCUUGCUGCAAGCCAUAUAAUGACUUUACCAAUUUACAAACUUUCUUUUCUUGUCCUGGAGCUAUAAAACCUUCAAGUUGCUCCAUAUAGAUUUCUUCAUCUAAAUCUCCAUUUAGAAAAGCCGUCUUUACAUCUAUUUGAUGUAUCUCGAGAUUGCGCAAAGCUGCAAUUGCUAUUAUCAUCCGUAUGGAAUUUAUUCUCAUAACAGGAGAAUAAGUAUCAAAGUAAUCAAGGCCUUCUCGUUGCCUAUUACCUUUAAUUACAAGCCUAUCCUUGUAUUUAUUGAUUUAUCCAUCAGCUUUCAUUUUCCUUUUGAAAAUUCACUUAUACCCCAAAGGUUUACAUUCUGGAGGAAGAUCUGCUAGCUCCCAAGUAUGAUUUUGUAAAAUGGAUUCAACUUCACUGUUAAUGGCUUCUUUCCAUAAAGUGCCUUCAGCUGAAGUUACAACCUCUUUGAAGCUUUGAGGUUCACUUUCUAGCAAAUACGUCAGAAAGUCUAGACCAAAAGACUUUUCUAUCCUAGCUGUUUUGCUACGUCUAACCUCAAUUUCUUGUUCUUGAUCUUCUUCUUCUUCUUCUUCUGGUGCUUCAUCAUUUUCUUCAUUUCCAAGUGUUGUUUCAUGAAAUUGUCGCAAUUCUCUCGAUUCCACUCUAGAAUUGCAAGGAAACACAUGUUCGAAUGAUGCAUUUCUUGAUUCUAUUAUCAUAUUUUUGUGGACAUCUGGAACUUUAGACUUAUGUAACAAAAAUCGAUAAGCACUACUGUUUUGUACAUAACCAAUGAAAAUGCAGUCAACAGUUUUUGGUCCUAUUUUCACUUUUUUAUUGAAGGAACCACUACUUUAGUAAGACACCCCCACACUCGUAAGAAUUUAUAUGAAGGUGAUCUAUUUUUCUAUAGCUCAUACAGGGUUUUAUCUUCUUGCUUUCAGGGUAUCUUAUUUAAUAAAUAAUUAGCUGACAAAACAGCUUCUCCCCACAUAUUCUGGGGUAACCCAGAACUUAUCAACAUUGCAUUCAUCAUUUCCUUUAAAGUUCGAUUCUUUCGUUCUGCAAUCCCAUUAGAUUGAGGUGAAUAUGGAGUCGUGACUUGAUGUAUGAUUCCAUUUUGUUCACAUAGUGACAUAAACAUAACAACAUACUCACCACCACGGUCACUCCUUAAUUCUUUGAUUUUUCUAUUAAGUUGAUUCUCAACUUCAUUUUUGUCGAGAAUAAACUUUUUCAAAGCUUUAUCUUUACUUUUCAAUAAAUAUACAUAGCAAUAUUUUGUGCAAUCAUCUAUAAAGGUAAUAAAAUAUUUAUUAUCACCUCUUGUUUGAAUGGAUUUAAAGUGACAAAUAUCAAUAUGUAUUAAAUCAAGUGGUUCGGUGUUUCUGUUAAUUAUUUGGAAAGAUGACCUAGUUAGUUUUGCCUCAACACAAGUUUCACACUUAUGUUUCAAAUCAAUUUGGAAAUUGGGAAUAUGCUUCAUGUUAAUUAAUUUACGCAAAGAUUUAAAAUUAACAUGUCCUAAUCUACCAUGCCAAAGAUUAGAAGACUCAAGCAAAUAAGCAGAAGAAGUAGCUUUAUUAUUAAUUAUUGGUUUCAGAGUCAUUACAUUGAGCUUAAAUAGCCCAUCAUUAACAUAACUCUUUCCCACAUACAUCCCAUUUUUAGACAAAACUACCCUAUCUGACUCAAACACCAUUUGGAAGCCAUGUUUGUUCAACAGCGAUCCAGACACCAAGUUCUUCUGAAUUUCUGGCACAUAAAACACAUUGUUCAGAGUCAGUUCUUUCCCAGACGUCAUCUUCAAAAUCACCUUCCCUUGACCAUCAAUCUCAGACGUAGCCGAAUUCCCCAUGAAUAGCUUCUCUCCAUUGCUAACUGCUUCAACUGAAGUGAACAAUCCUUUGUCCGAGCAAACAUGUCUGGUUGCUCCCGUAUCAAUCCAUCAUUCUCUCGGAUUAUAGCCAACCAGAUUCACUUCUGAAACCACUGUAGAGAGGUUUAUGUCUGAAACAUGUUGAGUGAUGUUUUCCAUCACAUUCUCCUCUCGCUUCUUUUUAGGCAACCUGCAAUAUGAAGCAUUGUGACCCAUCUUAUCACAAUUAAAACAUUUUCCUUGAAACUUUGUUUACUUCUUGGAAAUUCCUCCUUUCGGACCCAUUUUUUUAUUUUUAUUUUUAGGUCCAUGUUCGACAAAAUUUGCCUUUGCCAUAGAAAUAACUCCUUUUCUUUUUGCAUUUCUGUUAUCUCCCUCAAUUCUGAACUUAACAACCAGCCCUUCAAUAUUCAUCUCCUUUCAUUUGUGCUUCAAAUAGCUCUUGAAAUCUUUCUAAGCAGGAGGCAAUUUUUCAAUAAUUGCGGCAACUUGAAAAGUUUCACUUAGAUGCAUCCUUUCUGCAAGGAUUUCAGAUAAUAUAAUUUGAAGCUCUUGUACUUGACUUAUUAUAGUUUUAGAAUCCACCAUUUUAUAAUCUAGGAAGCGACCAACAACAAACUUUUUGGUUCCCGCAUCCUCGGUUUUAUAUUUCCGGUCAAAGGAUACCCAUAACUCCUUGGCUGUUUUCUUUCCUAUGUAUACAUUAUACAAGGAAUCACUAAGGCCAUUCAUUACAUAAUUUUUACAUAAAAAAUCUUAAUGAUGCCAUGCAUCAAUUGCACUUGCAACUUGAAUAUCCGUUUCACCCUCUUUAGGUUUAGGAGCAUUCUCGAUUAAGAAACUUGCAAGGUUCAACAUGGUCAAGUAAAAGAAUAUCUUUUGCUGCCAACGUUUGAAAUUCUGGCCAUUGAAUUUUUCAGGCCCUUCCGCAUGAUUGACAGGAAUUGCCACAGAGGCUGGUUCCUUUACAACAGUUGGUGCAGCAACAGAAGAUGAAACUGGGACAUACGGAAUAUCAUCAAUGGUUUCAGUUGCCAUCUCAAUGAUAAUUGAUUCUGUUUUAAGAUUGUAAAAAAAAUGAUACACAGUGAGAUAAUAAUUUAAAUAGUAGCUAAUUUAAACAACAAUGUAAACUAGCAAUGGGAAACAACAAAUGAAGAACAGAAGAGAAAGGAAACCGAAACAGAAACAGAAACAUAAACCUGAGCCCUGCAGACAGUUUCCUUAAAACAGAUUUACCACUCUUGGAGUGCUUUAGGUCAGCUGGUAUCUGUUUCCCAGAAUACAACGGGCACGAAUUUCCGGCUAAGCACAGGCUGAAAAUUCCGGCGAACCACAACAGCGAGCUCAAUCAGAGAAAACAGACGAUGAAGAUAGAGGAAGGAAAACAAGUGUGCUGGUUUUUUCAGUGUGCAAAAAACAGAAGAGGAGGUGCCUUUUUAUAGUCAUAUGAGGAUGUAACAGCUGCUUUGUAUUAGAUUUCCGAAUUCAAUAUGUUUUACUUAAUUGUUAUAACAACCAAAUCAAUUCAUUGAAUUGAUUUUAAAAUUGAAUUAAAAAAACAUGAAUUAUAUAACAGCUAAAAAUAAUUGUUGAAGCUGUUACAAAUCCUUUGAAUUCAAAACGUGAAUCUAUUACAAUAAAAAAAUUCAAAAGGAAAUUAAAAACGUGCCAAGCUUGCAUGGAUGAUUUUGGGCUGACAUUCGCGUACGCAGACGAGUUCAACCAAAUCGGUCUUGGACUUGCACCCCCCCUGCACACGCACGUGUGGAGAGAGCCUCUAUCCUUAUAAUUCUUGAACAAGCAUGGUUAAGUGUUUAUAUAUAAAUACUAAUCCCUAGGCUUCUUUUUCCCAUGUGGGAUAGGCCUCAUUUCCCUUCAAAUUUCCAACUUCAAAGGUGAACUUUGAGAGACAAUUUCUCAUUCACCCAAGCACCAUUUUGAGAAAAUAAGAUUAUACUUUUGAAGUAUCAAUGGAGUAGAAUCCGAACCUCACAAGAUUUUCCACUUUCGUUAAGUGGGACCCACUCAAAAUAUGCCCUCAAAAUAGCAUAUAUACAUGCUAUUUUCCACUUUCGUUAAGUGGGACCCACUCAAAAUGUGCCCUCAAAAUAGCAUAUAUACAUGCUAUUUUUUCAACACAUAUCUCUCUAUGUCACCUCCCUCCAUUUCACCAGAAAAUCAACAAACACUUAGCUUCAAAACAAACACUCUAAAAAAGCUAGCUAGUUGAUGGCAAAAUCAAGAAUUCUUGCAAUGGCAAUGUUGUUUCUUGUUAUGGCAGCAACAUUGAUGAACAUGGCAUCAAAGCAAAUGCUCUGAUGCUGUACACACGAUCACCUUUCUUUGACGUAAUGUUCCCAAUGACGGAAGAUCCUUUCAGGGUUCUUGGACAAACCCUGUUAACAAUCCCAAAAGGAGCUGAACAUCAUCAAACUCUAGCACUGGCGAGAGCAAACUGAAAUGAGACACCAACAUCACACGUGAUCACACUCGACAUUCCAAGGAUGAAGAAAGACGAUGCGAAGAUAGCAGUUGAAGAGAACAGGGUACUGAGGGUGAGUGGGGAGAGGAAGAGCGAUGAUUAUUAUAAGGAGGAAGUUGAAGGAGAAAAAUGGCACAGAGUUGAGAGACCAUUUGGCAAGGUUUGGAGGCAGUUCAGGAUGCCUAUGAGUGCUGACUUGGAUCAUGUUAAGGCUCAUUUGGAAAAUGGUGUUCUAAGGAUCACAGUGCCAAAACUUGUUGAGGAGAAGAAGAGGCCGCCUAAGGUUAUUAACAUUGAUGAAGAGCCUGGUAAUUCUUCCGAUGAAGAUGUUAAGGCCGCCAAGGCUCAAAUGUAAUUGAUUAAAGAAAGAAGUGUUUGAUUUGCUUGAUGUGCUAUUUGUUUUGUGAUCUUUUCUUGGUUUUGUUGUGGGAUGUUUUUCUUUGGAUGUUCUGUUUAUUGUAUUUUGAUGGAUUUUUAAAGAUGGCUUUUAUGUAUUAACAACAAUAAAGUGUUUUUUAUAAAUCCGGGUCCUAAAUUUGUAAAAGAAAUUAAUAAUACUCUUGGUUUAUUGUUAAUAAAAAUAAAAAAGAAGAAUCUUUUUCUUUAGCAUAUAUUAUGCAUUUUAAGGAAAAAAAAAAUUAUCACAUUCUAAUACAUAAAGAUAUUCCUCUUCUGUCAUAUUAAUGUGUUAAUACGAAGGUCUAUUGGAAUUAUAAUAGUUUAGAUGAAUCCAAAAUAUUCAAUAAUUGAUAAAUAGUAUAUUGACACACAGAAAAUGUGCGUGUGUAUGUAUAUAAAUGAGGUUUCAACAGCUGAGAAAGAGAUAGCCAUUAUACAUUACACAUUUGCACUCAAUAAGAAAUCAAUUCAUUAAUAUAGCCAUUAAUACGCCUGGUUUAUUGUUAAUGAAAAUUAAAAAAGAAAAAAAGUCUUUUCUUUGGCCUUUAUUAUGCAUUUUAAGAGGAAAAAAAAUUUAUCCCACUCCAAUUCAUGAAGAUAUUCUCUUUUCUGUCAUAUUGAUGUGUUAAUAUGAAGAUCCAUUGCAGUUGGUGAAUUCAAAUAUUCAGUAACUGAUGAAAUUGUAUUUAUAAAUUCAUACUAAUAGCAAUUGAAGAUUAUAAUUAAUUUUGUAAUAUGGUCUAGCCCUCCUGUGUUUAAUUAGCACUCAAAAACCACUUUACAAUAGGGCAUUAAAAGAACAUUAUAACGUCAUUGCUGAUGAGUUCUGGCGAAGACAUUAAGUUAAGGCCACAAAAAUCGAAAUGCACGUAGCUUCGUUUGUUUUUUAUUUUUGAUUCUCUUUGGGGGCAAAUGCUUGGCUUCGUUUGCUUUUUCGUUUUUGAUAUUUUAUUGGGCUUUAUUGUGUGGCAUCUUCUUGUUUUCUUUUGAUUUUCUGUUUUGGUUGUUAUGGGAUUUGAUGACGACGUACAUGUACGAAGAUUAUAUAAUAAAAUGUUUUUGAUAAAUUAUGGUCGGUUUAGAAUUAAUUAACUAAAUUUAAUUUACUUGAUCAAUUGAUAUUUGUAAGCAUUGUUGUUAUACAAACACAACAAAAGAAGAACAUUAAUGUACUAAUUAAUUACUAAUAAGAACAUUAAUAACUUUUGCCGAAGAAGAGAAAUAUUACACAUAUGUAACCGUGCAGCAUAUGUAACCGUGCAGCUAAAUAAAAGAAACUGAAGUUUAUUUCAACAGCUAAAGAAUGAGAUACGCAUAAGAAAUUAAUCCAUUAAUUAAUUAAUUAAUUCAUAGUCCCCCGCUGCUAAAAUAAAGCGAGCGUCUUACUCUACCUAACAUUUUUCCUUUUAUUAAUUUAAAAUAGUUUUCAACUGAGAUUUGAAUUUUAAAAUUACACGCUUGAUUUAGAAGAAAAAAAAGUCAAAUAUAUGUAACCGUACCGCGGAAAAGACAAAUAUAAGAAACUGAAGUUUCAACAGCUGAGAAUGAGAAAUUAAUUCAUUAAUUAAUUAAUAGAGUCCUCCUUUGCUAAAUAAUGCGAACCCAUUGUUCUUUUUAUUUCCAAAACCCAUUAAUCACCAACACAUAAUACACGCCCAAUUUAAAAAAAAAACUAAUAAUAAAAUAUUUCAGUCUUCCUUUGUUGAGUCGUCAUUAAAAACCCAUUUACCAGCUAUUCGAGCAUAAGGUAUAUGGGUUAACAAGUCCCAAUAUUGUCCUCCAUCCUUUCUGCACUUCUCUUCUAUCAACGGACAGCGAUAGAUUCUUAAUUGCAAAAGUGAGGAAGGCAGGCCCUUCUCCGGAAAGUAUUUGAGCUUGGGACAAUCAUAGAGUGUCAAUUUAGUGAGGUUUUGAAGAUCAACAAUUGAAGAAGAUAGGCUUUCCAGAUUUGGAAAAAAGGCAAUGCUCAGAGAUGUUAGAGAGGCAGGAAGAGGAAGCGUGGUCCCCAGUCUUCUGUCCUCUGGCUCUGGUGGAAAUGACACCAUGUCGUCAUCGCAUCCUCUGAUUAAAAGAUAUCGCAGAGAGGAGAAUCUGUGAAAUCCCCGGCCCCGCUCAAUCAUUGACUUCCAAAUCCCCAUAUUACCCUCAAUCCUCAGUGAAUGAAGGUUGGUGGGAAGGCCAUCUUCUUCAAGGCUUGGAAGCUCACCUCCUAUUAUUGUUAAUUGUUGAAGAGAGGUCAGAUUGUGCAAUCCCUUGGGUAAGGCCUCUAGUCUCUUACAAUCAUAUAUCUCCAGCCUCCUGAGUUUCGCACAAGGCAAUCCCCCUUUGGGAAAGGACUCCAGAUUUCCACAACCCCCAAUACCAAUCUGUUGAAGCUGGCACAGAUUAUGUAAACCACUCGAUAAAAUUUUCAGAUUUUCACAGUUAGAAAUGUUGAUUGUUUCAAGAGAUGUGUUGUUGUCCAACCUUUCUGCUAUUGACUGCAGCUUUGGACAUCCAUAAACAUCAAGUACCUUAACGGACGGAGGUAGAUUGCCAACUUCAAGGGACUCAAGCGUGGCAGGUAACUCGUUUUUUGAAAAUAUACAUGUCAGAGACGGACAACUGGAAAUUGCUAAGUUCUCAAGAAGAGAUGAGGUGUACCUUCUGCUGCUGCUACUCUGGAUGCCCUCUUCCACUGUCAAAGUCCUUAUUUUAUUGCACCUCUGGAUGUCCAACCUCUUAAGGCUCAGUGGUAGCUGGACUUCAGCAAUAUAUGUCAACGAAUGGCAAUCCCAAAUUUUCAAGAUCUCGAGAGAUGAACUAGUGUCGCACAUCCAUGGCUCUGGUAACGAUUUCAGUGCAUCACAUUCUCUAAUCUCAAUUUUCUUCAACUUGGAAGGCAGAGCAACCUCAGGAAAGGAAACAAGGGAACUGCACUUGUAGAUUUCUAUCUCUUUCAAGGAACUAAGGCUGAGAGAUGAUUGUGGCAGCUUCACAAGGCCUUCGCAAUAUCUCAAUCUUAGAUAUUCGAGUCUGCAUGACAACUCGCAGAGCUGCUGUUGUUGGUCUUUCUCUUCCUCCGCCACCAAGGAUUGAAGUUUGGGACACCCUCUUAUCUCCAGACUUUUGAGAGAGCAAAUGUCUUGUAGUAAUCCGUCAUGACUCUUCCAUAUAUAUGUUUGCUCUUUUGUCGACAAAAUUAAUUCUUCCAAUUUCGGUAGUUGUGGCUUCAACGGCCCCGCAAGAAACACUUGAUUUGAUGUAUCUCUACAAACCACUGAAUUCUGUGAUCCGAGAUGACCAGUUGCACUUUCCCACACAACCUUUUUGCAUCCACCAAUUAAGAAUUUGCAAAGAGUUGGAAGACUCAAAACUGAAACUAACAAUUCUUCACAUCCUUCAAUAACAAGCAUCUCUAAUACAGGAAGGUGUUCUGGAAAUGUUCCUCGCAGUUUAGGACAUUCUAAAAUGUGAAGCUCUCUCAAUUUAGGAAACCCUUCAACCCCUUGACCGGAUCCAUGAGAAAUCCAGACUUCCCAUUCUUGCAGGUCUUCAAAACGAAGAGUCUCCAAGCAUGGAAAUGGAAUUGGAGAGUCAUCCCCAUAGAACUCUGAACCCAAUCUCUUUACUCUACUCACUCCACGCACUGUAAGAUGCUUUAGAGAGGGCAGUUGCCCGACAGACGGCAGGGCAGUACACAUGCCGCAAUCUUCAAAUUCAAGUGUUACUAAAUUUGAGAAUAAGGAAUCUCCUAACCAUGUUGGAAAUUUUGUACCUCCAUAGCCACAGAUACCAAAUUGUUCCAGAUUUUUAUGGGGUUUGAGCAUGUCAAGCACACCCAUUUCAGUUUCUGCCUCCCUUGAAGAUGAACCAUCGGUACUGCGUGUCCAUCGAAGCAAUAAUUCUUUAAGAUUCUUCUUUCCAUCCAACCGAGCCUCCUUCGCAUUACCAACGUCUUUUACGUUCUCCAAUUUUGAAAUUUCAAGUGCCCCACGAAGAUGCAUCAACAACUUUAGCUCUGAUAACCCCGAACCACUGUCUUUUCCCACAACAAAAUUACACAACGUCUGAAGACAAGUCAACUUGCCAAUUCCUAGUGGCGUUUCCUCCAACGAAUCUGUAUUUGAAUUAUUGAGAUGAUGCAAUUUGAUGAGAUUUCCCAUGUCUGCACACAACUUCUUCAGCCGAUCACAAUCUUCCAACAAAAGACUAUGCAAAUUGUAAAGCUUGUUGACUGAUUCAGGCAGAGUUCUAAUAUUAGUUCCAGACAGGUUAAGGUACCUUCAAUACCUCAAAUCACCAACUGAAUCUGGUAGCUCGGAGAUGUGAUAUCCACGCAAAGAGAAGACCCUCAAGCGUUGGAGUUUGAGCAACUUAGGAAGAAUGCUAGGAGCCAAGUAGCCAGGCGAACUCUCUGUCAACAUUACUGGUAAAAAAGUUCUCAAAUGUUGGAUAUCAUACAAGUCCCCAAACCUUUUACCGCCAACAUAAUAUUCAGGAAUAUAUGACAGAUGACGAAGAUAUCGGGAAAAACUUUGUUGCUUGUUAACCUCAGAGGUAUACUCCAUUGUGAAGUAUAUUUCCCCUGCAGCCCAAUGCGCAAGGUCGUUGAUAAGAUCGUGCAUCACAAAUCGUGAUGCAUCGUUGCUUGAUUGCUGGAAAAAGGAUCUUGAAUGUAGCUCCUUAAAGAUUUCAAGACCUAAAUCUUCACCAGUUUUCUCACGCUCUUUGCGAUCCAAGAAGCCCGAGGCACACCAUAACAAAAUUAUCUCCCCCUCUUCAAAUUCAUAAUCCUUUGGAAACAAUGAGCAAUACGCAAAGCAUUGUUUCAAAGGUGCCGAAAGAUAAUAGUAGCUCACUCUAAGCGCCGGCAUAAUGUCACAUCUCUCUUCUUGCAAUUCCCAUAUCUUGGUACUGAGCACUCUCUCCCAAUCACAUCUGUCAUCUUUUCCUCGCAAAAGUCCUCCAAGUGUUUGCGCUGCCAAGGGCAAGCCAUCGCAUUUGGCCACUAUCUUCUUGCCAAUUUCCUCCAAUAAGUUAUCUGACCCCAAAGAAUGUUGAGCAAAUACAGCUAGACAAUCAUCAAUUGACAACUUUUUUAAUUGAUAAGCUGAGGCAGUUCCCAUGAUGUCUGCAACCUCUUGAUUACGAGUUGUGACAAUAAUCUUACUUCCCUUCGCUCCAGCUUCAAACGGACGGCUGAGGCGAACCCAAUCAUUGUAAUUCUCAUUCCAAACGUCGUCUAAAACAAGCAAAAAUUUCUUUUGAGAUAACUUCUUCUUCAGCUCCUCUUGAAGCAAAUUUAAAUCACUGUCAUCAAUAGUCUGCUUGGUAACGGAUCUUAGAAUUGUUUUUGUUAGCCCCUUAACGUCGAAAUCCUCAGAGACACAAGUCCAUGCCUUGAGAUCAAAAUGAUCCCGCACUUGCUUAUCAUUGUAGACAAGCUGAGCAAGAGUAGUUUUGCCCAGCCCGCCCAUACCUAUAAUAGGAAUAACUGCGAAUCCACCAUCGUUGCUUAAAUCAUCCCUCAACAGCAGUUCAACAACAUCCUUCUUUUCUGUUUCCCUGCCAUAUACUUUGGCUUCAGUCACUAAAGAGGUUGUCUCUAGCCUUUGACUGGCUUUUUUGGACCCUCCAGCUGAACUUUCUUUCAAAUCUAGCAAGUUUUUCUGUGUCACAAUUUCUUGAAAUCUGCUGUUGAUCUCUUUGAUUUUGGACAUCAAGCCAUAAUCGAACUGAAUCGAUUGUGGAGUAAAAGUGGUGCAGCAAGUAGGAAUGAGCUUCCGAAACUUACUUGUUCUUGUACGACUGCUACUGGGUUGAUCAUGAGCAGCAGCUGGUUCUCCAUUCCCAAGCAGCAACCUCCUCCGGAAAGCCUCAGUUUGAAACUCAUCCAACAAGUCUUCAACAUCGUAAGCCAAGUUCUGAAGCUUGCCAAGCCACUUCUUCACAAACUGAUUAGUCGUCUUCUUCUCCUCAGCAUCAUCAAGCACCGCCUUGAUCAUCUCCAACAUAUUCUCCCACUUCAUUAGAUCGUCUUGGAUCUUCUCUUGGCGUGCAAAAAACAGAAUCCCCUCUGAAGCUAACUUAUUGACCAGCAAAUCAACGGACGCCGUAAGGAUUGCCUCUCCGAUGAUCGACAUUUUUUUUUCUUUUUUUGGGCAAAGGAAGAAAGGAGCAGAAUUAUGGGUUAUGGAAAGCAGAAUGAGAAUAUUGAACGGGUGAGAAAAUGGAUAAUUAAGCGGAAUGAGUUUGUGAUUGUGAAGGGUCUGGUUCAGCAAGCUUAGUAGAAAUCACGCGUUUGUACUUUAUUGACCAAUGACUAAAUAAUUUGGCAAUGCACCCACCACCACCAGUUGGCGAGCAAAAUGAAAAAGUUUAAUAAGUGCAGGGGUCGAGCAAAAUACGACGUAAAAUGUGGCAAGUCUCCCCACUUGUUGUUCCUUGCAGCUAAGAAAAGAAAAAACAGAGCCCACCACCCAUUAAUAAUUUAGCAAUUCACCAAUCAUCACAAAAUUCCAUUAGAUAUUCGUCGAUCAAGUAGUUAAGUAUUUUUGCUAGAAUGAAUGCAACCAAGAUUCUAUGGGAUAUGUAUGAAGAUGAUGUAAUAAAGUGCUUUUGAUAUAUUCCCCUAGUCGGUUUACUUCACUAACCAUUAACGAGCAAAUCCUCCCAAUGACCCUCAAUACUCUUGUGCACAAUUAAAAUAAUUUCAAUUAUAUAUAUAUAUAAAUAAAAAAACUCUCAAAUAUAUUAUUUGAUAAUCACCAAAAAAAAAAAAAUUCACCCCAAUAAAUCACAUUACAGUCUAUGUUGCAAGUGUUUUUAGGACUAAUUCAAAGAGAAAAUGCGAAGGACAUGUAAUUGAAUUUGGGACACUGAAUAUAUUCCCAAUUACCCUUUAGUGUAAAUAGUUCCACUUCAGAUAUAUAUAAUGAUGAUGAAAUUUUGUUUUCUCAUAGCAAUCAUUCUAGUGUUUUACAAUGAGUAAUUGAUUCAAUAUUAACACAACACUAUUUUAACAUGUGACAUAUUCUAUCAUAGUGUGCUUCAACUCAGACUUCUAAGUUUCCAUUUUAGAACAAGUUAAAACAGUUCCAACUCAAAAUCAGUAGUGCGCAAUUGGGUUGUUAUAAAUAUUUCUAAAUUUUAGUCUAAUUUGAAUUAUUUAAUUGUGUUUGUACAAACUAGCUUUAUCACUUCUUUUAUAUUGAUACCCUUAAAUUUCAACCUUAUUUUAUGUUGAUGCACAAUCUAACUUAACAAAAAUAAUAUUCAAAUUGUCACAAUUUUUUUUUUUAAAAAAAAUAUACAAAGUUAAUUUUUCUUCUUCUUUACUCUAGGAUCCAGCUCCAUACCCCUCUUUUUUGUCGUUAUGCUACUCAGCCGUUAGAUUUUAAUUACGUUAAUCUAAUGGUUGGGAUUUGCAAAUGAAUAAUGAAGUGGUGUUCGGCUACUAUCCGAGGCCAUUGCAUCUAAUUGGUUUUGUGAUUUUUCACUUUCUUCCCUGUAACACUUGACUAGUUCUGGAAAUUGCUUUUUGGCAUGCUAAUUGUUGUGAAAAUUUUAAUAUACUCGCAAGCGCACGAAUCUAGAAAUAAAAUAGUGGUAACGAGGUCGAUCCCACAGGGAUUGGCACCCAUCACGCCUUUAGUUGUCGUGAAUAAAUCGAAAAUCAAAUUGAACUGGUUUUUACCGGGUAGCAACAAUCGUGACGUUUUGAGAUUAUAAUAUAUGACAACACUGAUUAGUGUUGUCUCCCAUGUGAAUUGAGACAAAAAUGAUUUUCCCAAUUGCGCUUUCAUUUGAACAAUUCCACUGUAGAUUUAUAAAAUAAUCACGAAAUUGUGUUUUAUAAUAAGUUACGAGUAAUUGGUUCAAUAUUAAUACAAAACUACUUUAAGUAACACGUGGCAUAUUCUAAUUCUAGCAAAGUUUCCAACUAAGAUUCCCAAAUCAAAAGAAUUUCAAUCUCCAGAACAUUCUACAAAAUGUUUCUUCUAGCCUCUACGUUGUGCUAGAAUUUUCUCUUGAGUUUUUUAGCAAAGACUUCUAAAGAACUAUCCAGAUAUCGAGCUAUAAUCCAGUCAAAGUGUAUAUAUUUCUCUAAUUCACCUCCCUCCAUUUCACCAGAAAACCAACAAACACUUAGCUUCAAACAAACACUUUCAAAUAGCUAGCUAGCUACCCAGAUGGCAAAAUCAAGAAUUCUUGCAAUGACAAUGUUGUUUCUUGUUGUGGCGGCAACAUUGAUGAACAUGGCAUCACAAGCAAAUGCUCUGAUGCCGUACACACGAUCACCUUUCUUUGACAUGAUGUUCCGAAUGACGAAAGAGCCUUUCAGGGUUCUUGAACAAACCCCUUUAACAAUCGCAAAAGGAGCUGAUCAUCAUCAAACUCUAGCCCUGGCGAGAGCAGACUAGAAGGAGAGUGGAUGGAGCCUUUACUUUCUAUUAUAUUUGUAAAGCGUGCCACAACACACGUGAUCACACUCGACAUUCUCGGAAUUAAGAAAGAUGAUGUGAAGAUUGAAGUUGAAUAGAACAGGGUAUUGAGAGUAAGUGGGCAGAGGAAGGCUGAUGAUUAUUAUAAGGAGAGGGUUGAAGGAGAGAAAUGGCACAGAGCUAAGAGAGCAUUUGGCAAGUUUUGGAGGCAGUUUAGGAUGCCAAUGAGUGCUUGACUUGGAUCAUAUUAAGGCUCACUGAGUGCCAAAGCUUGCUGAGGAGAUGAAGAGGCAGCCGAAGGCUAUUAACAUUGAUGAAGAGUCUGGUAAUUCUUCCAAUGAAGAUAUUAAGGCUACCAAGGCUCAAAUGUAAUUGAUUAAAGAAAGAAGUGAUUGCUUUGCUUGAUGUGCUAUUUGUUUAUGAUCUUUUUUUGGUUUUGUUGUGAGAUGUUUCUCUAUGGACGCUUUGUUUAAUGUAUUUUGAUGGGUUUUUUAGGAUGGCUUGUAUGUAUUGACAACAAUAAAGUGCUUUUUAUAAAUCCUAGUCCUACAACACUAAAAGAAAUUAAUACUCUUGGUUUAUAAUUAAUAAAAAUAUAUAUUUUUUUUAAAAGUCUUUUUCUUUGGCAUAUAGUAUGCGUUUUGAGGGGAAAAAAAUUUAUCCCACUCCUAAUUCGUCCUCUUCUGUGAUAUUAAUGUGUUAACACGAAGAUUCAUUGUAAUUGCAACAAUUUUGACGAAUCCAAACGUUCAAUAACUGUUAAAUUGUAUUUAUAAAUACUAAUAGCGAAGGUACAGAAACGAUUAAUUCAAGAAGUUGCUUAAAGUGCAUUAAAUUAGGGAGUAUAAAUAAUUGUGUGAUACAGUCCAGCCUUCAUCUGCUUAUAAUUAGCAACCAAAAACCACUUUGCAACACCAUUAAAAAAACAUUUUAACAUUAUUGCUGAGGGAAGAGGCAACUUAGGCUUAUUAACUCGUAUUAUUAAUGCUGAUGACGCAGCUGGUAAUCCUUUUGGUGAAUAUAUUAAGGCAGCUGAAGCUUAAAAUUAAUUAAGCCCACUAAAGCUUAAAACUAAUUCUUCUAGUGACGAUGCUUUGCUUAGUUCGCUUUUUGUUUUUAAUUUUUUUGGGGCUAACGUUUUGCUUAUUUUGCUUUUAAAAUUCUAUUGGCGUUGCUGUGGAAUAUUGUUUCUCCUUCGAUUUUCUGUUUUUGUUGUUAUCGGAUUUGAUGAUGGUUUAUAUGUACGAAGAUUAUGUAAUAAAGUGCUUUUGUAACAAUAUAUAUAUAUAUAUAUAUAUAGAUGUUUCAACAGCUAAGAAAGAGAUAGCCAUUAUACAUUACACAUUUGUACUCAAUAAGAAAUCAAUUCAUUAAUAUAGCCAUUAAUACGCCUGGUUUAUUGUUAAUGAAAAUUAAAAAAGAAAAAAAAAUCUUUUUCUUUGGCCUUUAGUAUGCAUUUUAAGAGGAAAAAAAAUUUAUCCCACUUCAAUUCAUGAAGAUAUUUUCAUUUCUGUCAUAUUGAUGUGUUAAUAUGAAGAUCCAUUGCAGUUGGUGAAUUCAAAUAUUCAGUAACUGAUGAAAUUAUAUUUAUAAAUUCAUACUAAUAACGAUUGAAGAUUAUAAUUAAUUUUUUAAUAUGGUCCAGCCCUCGUGUGUUUAAUUAGCUCUCAAAAACCACUAAGGUAAAGGCAAAAUCAUGAUAAAUUGUGGUCGGUUUAAUUUACUUGAUCAAUUGAUAUUGGGUAGCAUUGUUCUUAUACAAACACAAUAAAAGAAGAACACUAACGUACUAAUUAAUUACAAAUAAGAACAUUAACAAUUUUGCCGAAGUCUGAUGAAGAGAAAUAUUACACAUAUGUAACCGUACAACUAAAUAAAAGAAACUGAAGUUUAUUUCAACAGCUAAGAAUGAGAUACGCAUAAGAAAUUAAUCUAUUAAUUAAUUAAUUAAUUCAUACAAUUUUCAACUGAGAUUUGAAUUUUAAAAUUACAUACACAAACACACCUGAUUUAAAAGAAAAAAAUUUUAAUAAUAAAAUAUUUUACGUAUGUAACCAUACCGCGGAAAGAACAAAUGUAAGAAACUGAAGUUUCAACAGUUGAGAAUGAGAUAGGCAUAAGAAAUUAAUUAAUUAAUUAAUAGAGUCCUCCUCCUUUGCUAAAUAAUGCGAGCCCAUUGUUCCUUUUAUUUCGAAAACCCAUUAAUCAUCAACACAUACACGCCCAAUUUUAAAAAAAAAAAAUAAUAAUAAUAAAAUAUUUAAGUCGUCCUCUGUUCAAUAAUCAAAAACCCAUUUAAAAUCUAUUUUAACUUUAGGUAUAUGGGUUAACAAGUCCCAAUAUUGUCCUCCAUCUUUUCUGCACUUCUCUGCUAUCAACGGACAUCCCCCGAUGUAUAAUUGCAAAAGUGAGGAAGGCAGGCCCUUCUCCGGAAAGUAUUUGAGCUUGGGACAAUCCUCGAGUUCCAAGUGAGUGAGGUUUUGAAGAUCAACAAUUGAAGAAGAUAGGCGUUCCAGAUUUGGAAAAUUACCAAUCAUCAGGGAUGCUAGACAGGCAGGAAGAGGAAGCGUGGUCCUCAAUCUUAUGUCCUCCGGUGGGAAUGACACCAUGUCGUCAUCGCAUCCGCUGAUUGUAAGUUGUCGCAGAGAGGAGAAUCUGUGGAAUCCCCGACCCCACUCAAUCGUUGACUUCCAAAUCUUCUUAUUAUCAAUAAUCUCCAGCCUAUGAAGGUUGGUGGGAAGGCCAUCAUCUUCUUCAAGGCUUGGAAGCUCACCUCCUUCUCCUAUUGUUAAUUGUUGAAGAGAGGUCAGAUUGUGCAAUCCCUUGGGUAAGACCUGUAGUCUCUUACAAUAAGAUAUCUCUAGCCUCGUGAGUUUCGCACAAGGCAAUCCCCCUUGGGGAAAGGACACCAGAUUUUCACAUUCCCAUAUCCCUAUCUCUUGAAGCUGGCGGAGAUUAUGUAAACCACUCGGUAAAAUUUUCAGAUUUUCACACUCAGAAAUACUGAUUGUUUCAAGAGAUGUGUUGUUGUCCAACCUUUCUGCUAUUGACUCCAGCUCUGAACAACUCCAAACAUCAAGGGACUUAAGAGACGGAGGUAGAUUGCCAACUUCAAGGGACUCAAGCGUGGCAGGUAACUCGUUUUUUGAAAAUAUACACGUCAGUGACGGACACCUGCUAAUAUGCAAGCCCUCGAGAAGAGAUGAGGUGUACCUUCUGCUGCUGCUGCUGCUCUGGAUGCCCUCUUCCACCGUCAAAGUCCUUAUAUUAUCGCAAUGGCGGAUCUCCAACCACUUAAGGCUCGGUGGUAGUUGGACUCCAGCAAUAUAUGUCAACGAAUUGCAAAUCCAAAUCUCCAAGAUCUCGAGAGAUGAAUUGGUGUCGCACAUCCAUGCCUCUGGUAACGAUUUCAGUGCAUCACAUUCUCUAAUCUCAAUUUUCUUCAACUUGGAAGGCAGAGCAACCUCAGGAAAGGAAACAAGGGAACUGCAGCCGUAGAUUUCUAUCUCUCUCAAGGAGCUGAGGCUGAGAGGUGAUUGUGGCAGCUUCACAAGGUCUUGGCAAUCUCUCAAAUCUAUAUAUUCGAGUAUGCACGACAACUGGCAGAGCUGCUGUUGUUGGUCUUUCUCUUCCUCCGCCACCAAGGAUUGAAGUUUGGGACAACUUGUAAUCGUCAGUCUUUUGAGAGAGCAAAUGUCUUGCAGCAAUUCGUUAUGACUCUUCCAUAUAUAUGUCUGCUCUUUCAUAUCAUUUAUCUCCAAUUCUUCCAAUUUUGGUAUUCGCGGCUUCAAUGGCCCUGCGAGAAACACUUGAUUUGAUGUAUCUCUACAAACUACUGAAUUCUGCGAUCCGAGAUGACCAGUUGCACUUUCCCACACAAUCUUUUUGCAUCCACCAAUUAUGAAUUUGCAAAGAGAUGGAAGACUCGAAACUGAAACUAACAAUUCUUCACAUCCUUCAAUAACAAGCAUCUCCAAUGCAGGAAGGUGCUCUGGAAAUGUUCCUUUCAGUUUAGAACAUCUUAAAAUGUGAAGCUCUCUCAAUUUAGGAAACCGUUCAACUCCCUGACUGAAUCCAUGAGGAAUCCAGUCUUCCCAUCCUUGCAUGUCUUCAAAAUGAAGCGUCUCCAAGCAUGGAAAAGGAAUUGGAGUAUCAUUCCCAUAGAACUCUGAACCCAACCUCUUUACACUAGUCAUUCCACAUACUGCAAGAUGCUUUAGAGAGGGUAGUUGGCCGACUGACGGCAGGGUAGGACACAUGCCACAAUAUUCAAAUUUUAAGGUCACCAACUUUAAGAAUGAGGAAUCUCCGAACCAAGUUGGAAAUUUUGCGCCUCCAUAGCCGCUGAUACAAAAUUGUUCCAGAUUUUUAUGGGGUUCUAGCAUGUCAAGCACGUCCUUUUCAGUUUCCGCCUCCCUUGAAGACGAGCCAUCGGUACUGUUUGUCCACCGAAGCAUUAACACUUUAAGGUUCUUCUUUCCAUCCAAUUGAGCCUCCUUUGCAUCACCAACGUCUUUUACGUUCUCCAAUUUUGAAAUGCAAAGUGUCCCACGAAGGUGCGUCAACAACUUUAGCUCUCGUAACCCGGAACCACUGUCUUUUCCUACAACAAAAUUACACAACGUCUGAAGACAAGUCAACUUGCCAAUUCCUAGUGGCAUUUCCUCCAACGACUUCGUAUUUGAAUUCUUAAGAUGAUGCAAUUUGGCGAGGUUUCCCAUGUCUGCACACAACUUCUUCAGCCGAUCACAAUCUUCCAACAAAAGACUAUGCAAAUUGUAAAGCUUGUUGACUGAUUCAGGCAGAGUUCUAAUCUCAGUUCCAGACAGGUUAAGGUACCUUAAAUACCUCAAAGCACCAAUUGAAUCCGGCAGCUCAGGGAUGCGGUAUCCACGCAAAGAGAAGACCCUCAAGCGUUGGAGUUUGAGCAACUUAGGAAGAAUGCUAGGAGCCAAGUAUCCAGACAGUGAGCUAUUUGACAGCAUUACGGGUAAAAAUGUUCGCAAAUGUUGGAUAUCGUACAAGUCCUCAAACCUUUUAACACCAUCGUAAUCUCCACGAAUAUACGACAGAUGACGAAGAUUUCUUGAAAAACUUUGUUGCUUGUCAACCUCUGAGAUAUACUCCAUUCUGAAGUACAUUUCCCCAGCAGCCCAUUGAGCAAGGUCAUUGACGAGGUCGUGCAUCACAAAUCGUGAUAUACUGUUGCUUGAUUGCUGGAAAAAAGAUCUUGCACGUAGUUCUCGAAAGAACUUUCGACCUAGAUCUUCACUAGGAUUCCCGCUCUCUCCGUGAUCCAAGAGACCCACAGCACACCAUAAUAAAAUUAUCUCCUCCUCUUCAAAUUCAUAAUCCUUUGGAAACAAUGAGCAGUAUGCAAAGCAUUGUUUCAAAGGUGCCGAAAGAUAAUAGUAGCUCACUCUAAGCGCAGGUAUAAUGUCACAUCUCUCUUCUGGUAAAUCCCAUAUCUUGCAACUGAGCACAUCUUCCCAAUCACUUCGGUCACGUUUACCACGUAAGAGUCCACCAAGAGUUUUCGCAGCUAAGGGCAAGCCGUUGCAUUUGAUCACUAUAUUCUUGCCAAUGUCCUCCAAUGACUUAUGUGAACUGAAAUCUGUUGUCCCCAAAGAGUGCUGAGCGAACACAGACAGACAGUCCUCAGUUGACAAGCUUUUGAGUUCAUAAGCUUGAUCCAGGCUCAUGAUUUUGGCAACCUCUUCAUUGCGAGUGGUGACAACAAUCUUACUUCCCUGUGCGCCAGCUUGAAAUGAAAGGCUGAGGUGAACCCAAUCAGUGUAAUUCUCAUUCCAAACGUCAUCUAAAACAAGCAAAAAUUUCUUUCCAAAUAGUUGUUUCUUUAGCUCCUCUUGAAGCUUAUUCAAGUCGUGAUUAUCCACAUUCUGGCCAGGAGCAAUGGAAAUUAGGAUUGAUUUUGUAAGCCUGCUAACAUCAAAAUCAUCGGAGACGCAAGUCCAUGCCUUGAGAUUAAAAUGAUCCUCCACCUGCUUAUCAUUGUAGACAAGCUGAGCAAGAGUGGUUUUACCCAGCCCGCCCAUACCUAUAAUAGGAAUAACAGAGAAUCCACCAUCCUUUCUUGAAUCAUCCUUCAACAACAAUUCAACAAUUUCCUUCUUUUCUGUUUCCCUGCCAUAUACUUUGGCUUCCUCCACCAAAGAGGUUGUCUCUUGCCUUUGCCUGGCUUUUUUGGAUCCCCCAGCUGAACUUUUUAUCAAAUUCAGCGAGCCUAUUCUUUCUUCAAUAUCUUGAAAUCUAUCGUUGAUUUCUUUGAUUUUGGACAUCAUGGCGUAAUCGAACUGAAUCGAUUGUGGAGUAAAAGUGGUGCAGCAAGUAGGAAUGAGCUUCCGAAACUUACUUUUCGUGCUUGUACGACUGCUGCUGGGUUGAUCAUGAGCAGCAGCUGGUUCUCCAUUUCCAAGCAGCAACUUCCUCCGGAAAGCCUCAGUUUGGAACUCAUCCAACAAGUCUUCAACGUCAUAAGCCAAGUUCUGAAGCUCGCCAAGCCACAACUUCACAGAAUCAUCAGUCGUCUUCUUCUGCUCAGCAUCAUCAAGCACCGCCUUGAUCGUCACCAACUUCUUCUUCCACUUCACUAGAUCGUCUUUGAUUCGACCUUGGCGUUCAAAUAAACGAAGCCCCUCCGAAGAUAACUUAUUGACCAGCAUCUCAACGGACGCCUUCAGGAUUGCCUCUCCGAUGAUCGACAUAUAUUUUUUUUUUUUUGGGACAAAGAAUGAAACCAGAUUAUGAGCUUGUGGAAAGCAGAAUGAGAAAAGUGAAUAAGCAGCGUGAGUUUGUGAUUGUGUCUAGCAAGCCUAGAAAUCAAGAAAAACCCACCGUAAAAGUGAAAAGUAAAACGGAGCCAACCACAAAUAUAAAAUCAGAGGAUCACAGAAAUUAAAAAAAAAAAUCAAACACGUAAUGAUUUGUAAAGUUAUUAGCGAUUUGUAAAAAUCAAACAUGCGUCUUCUUCCUCUGAGUGUUUUUUUUUUUUUUUAACUUUAUUAAUUAAUUAGUGAAGUAAAUUUGUAAAGAUCACGGGCAUCAAAUUAUUGGGAGGUAUUAAUUGCGCUUAGUAUUUACAAUUUUUUGUAAAACUUUUUAAUUUCGUUGAAAAUGUAUCGUUAUUAAGUUAUUAUUGAUUUCACUCUCUUUUACUUUUUGACGUUGCGAAAAAGACAGUAAAAAACUUGCUAAAUGUCAUCAAAUACUUGUAUCUCAUCUCACAAAUUAGCAAUAUUUGUUUGGUAUUUCAUCUCAACGGGACGAAGGAACGAUAGAAAACGCGUUCCCUCAUCAAAAUUUUCUUUCGUGAGACCGAUAAUAAAUAAUAAAAUAUUCUUUUAUGGGAUCGAUUAUAAAUAGUAAAUUAAAGAAGGGUCGACAGAAAACGCGUUCCCUCAUCUAAUUUUUCUUUUGUGGGACCGAUAACAAAUAAUACAAUAUUCUUUUGUGGGACCGACUACAAGUACUAACAUAAAGAAUAAAAAAAUGAAAAAAAGGAUAGUGAAAUAACUCAACGGAGAAGUCUAUAAAUGCUUUUGUUUGGUAGCUGGCUAAAGCAGAAUCUGUAAGUUGCAGAGUCAAGUUACACUUAGCCUGCUCCAUAACUCUAAUGUGAAACAAAAAAAGUCCUGCCACCAAUAAUUCAGCAAGCUUCACUUUAUUACACGAAGGUGAAAGCAAAAAGCCAAAAACAGCCCCCACCACCAUCAAUAAUUUAGCAAGCUUCACGCGCUUGUGCUUGUCUUGUCUGCUUGACGAACUGGACAUGGGUGGACCAAGCAUCCAUUGAAUAACUGGAAAAAGUAAAAAAUAAAAAACAGUGUCCCGCAAAAAGAAUCCAUCUUUAUGUGUUGAUAUGCACAUCUACCGAACAUCUACAAAAUGGAAGUAGAAAUUGAAACUUACGUUUUUUAGUUAUGGCUCAUAUAUAAUACAAGUAUCAAUAUUUAAGUAGAAUAGAGUUCACAUAUACACAUGCGUCUAGUUUUAAGUUUUAACCGAGAGAUAAAUUAAUCAUUAAUACUCAGGUGUUUCUAAAUAAUUGAAUAAUGAUAUUAUACGAACCUUCCCUUUACAAGUCUUCAAACUCAUAAACCAAGUUAAAAUAAAAUUAAAAAAAACGUUUCUCUCUCUCUCUCCUUUUGCUAUAUGAUUACUUUAUUUAUUGAAUUAAUUUCCAUGCUAUAUCAAAGACUUAAAAGUACACUAUAAUUUUUUAUAAUCAUAAUGGUAAUUUCUAUCAUCAUAUUAAAUUAUUGUCGUGUCAAAAUAAAUUAUAACAAAAUUUUAGCUGAACAUAAGUUCGACUCAUUUAUUAAAUAUAUAUACUUAAUAAAAUAAUAAGACGAUUAAUAUGUUAUCAGUGAUAUAGACCCAACUGAAAUAACUCUAAUGUGAAAACAAAAAAAAUCCCGCCACCGAUAAUUGAGCAAAUUAACUUCACUUUAUUACACGAAAGUGGAAGCAAAAGCCAGAGGCAGUCCCCACCACCAUCGAUAAUUGUGCUUGUCUUGUCUGCUUGACGAACUGGACAUGGGGGGGGGGGGGGGGGGGGGGGGACCAACCAUCCAUUGAAUAACUGGAAAAAGUAGAAAAUAAAAAAAUCAGUGUCCAGCAAAAAGAAUCUACCUUUAGGUGUUGCUUCCUAUUCAGUACAUGCAUAGAUAAUGUACAUCGACCUGGAAUUAAAAAAAUGGAAGUAGAAAUUAAAACUUACUUUUUUAGAUAUGGCUCAUAUAUAUUACAAGUAUCAAGAUUUGAUUAGAGUUCACAUAUUUACAAUGUGCCUAGUUUUAAUUGAGAGACAAACUAAUCAUUAAUAAUCAGGUUUUUCUAAAUGAUUAAAUAAUGAUAUUAAUUAUUGAUAUUUAAAAAAUUUGUAAGAAGUAUAACUAAUAUGUUGGGAUAUGUAUUUGUGUAGAAUGGCAAAUAUAAAGAAUAGCAAUAAAAAUAGUGGAACUUUAAUAUGAUGAAAAAAGGUAAACUGUAGAAAAUUAAUAUAUAAUUCAAGGUACGUUACAAAUAUCACUUUCCUUCAGACAUUAUUUACCCCACCAAUUGAGUGAAUGCACAUGAGUUAAGCAAAUAUGUCUCUAGGAUAUAAUGAAACGCUUCUUUGUUUGCUUGUAUUGUGCAUCGACAAAAGUAAAUCUGAAUAUUCCUUAAUGUUGCAAGCUUGCCACGAAUUAAUAUAUUGUUAUUGUAAAAAAAUAAAAAAAAUAAUGUAUUGGAUAUUUGAUGCAUAAAAGAAAUAGAUAUUAUUAGAUGAAAUUCAUUUUGAGAAAUAGGGCUACAAAAAGAGUGGUGUAAUGUCGUUUUAUUAAUGUCUAAAUGGCAUAAAUAUGACAUCUAUUUACAAAUAUAUUUAUGCUCUUUUAUUUAAGUUAUCGUCUUUAGUAAUGCCCUUGAUUCAUAUCCAUUAGAUCAAGCAACCUAAUCCCCACUAAAACUAACUUAUUGAACAGUAACUCAACGGAUGCUGUAAAGAUUGCUCUUGGAUGAUUGACAUUUUUUUUAAAAAAAAUUUGGGCAAAGAAAGAAACUGAAUUAUGAGUUUAUGGAAAUUAAAGCAAAUGAGAAAGUGAAUUAGCACAAUGAGUUUGUGAUUGCGAAGGAACCAGCAAAUCAAAAAACAAUUAAGCAAGAGAAAAGGACAAUGAACACUUUAAUAUUCUAGAAAAGGGAUAUGAAACCUCUAAACAUUUUAAAAAAGAUAUAUAAUCUCCUUUUUAUUAGUAAAAUCUGUUUAUUUCAGUAGUAACAUAAUCUUUAAUUUACAUUUACUAUCAUGUCCCUAUAAUAAAUAAAUUAAUAUAUUUAAUUUAAAAGAGUGAGCCCUCCAAUUUUACUUCCCAUUUGCUCAAUUGCCUUUCAUUCAUAUACAAGCAUGUUUAACAUCUCAUUUUGCCUAAUUUGCCUUGGAAGAAAAUAAAUUUGAUUUUAUUUUUAUCUAUUAUUCAUCAUUUUUUAUCAUCUUAACAUUGGGAAGGAUAUAUUCAUAAUUUAAAGUGAAUAAUUUGGAUAAAAGAUAAUUAUAUCUUAAUUUUAAGUUUUAAAUAAAAAGUUGUUGGUUUUAUUAUACAUGUCAUUGAUGACAUGUCUUAAAUUAAUAUAUUUAUUUAUUUAUUAUCGGGAUAUAAUAAUAAUUAUAAAUUAAAAAUAAAUUUAUUAUUAAAAUAAAUGGAAUUUAUUAACAAAAAUAGGAAUUAUAUAUCUUUUUUAAAAUAUUAAAACAUUAUUUUUUUUUAGGGUAUCACUAUCCAUUUCCCAUUAAGCAAAACAAAAGUGAAAAGAAAAAUCAGAGCCCACUAUAAAUAUAAAAUUAGUGGAGCUCAUGAUGAUGCAUUUGCUUUACAUACUAAAUUAAAUAAAAGCCGAACCAAGAAUCUUUGCCUUAGCUUAACAUGAUUAAUUAGGCACUACUUCAUAGAAAACGCGAAAGCAAUGAACCCUUUUUUUAAUCUUAAAUGUCAUGAAUAUAAUUCUUCUGCGUUAAUUAAUCAUUCUUCUCUGACCGUCUCUUCAGGUUCAUUUCAAAAGUUUGAAGAUAGUUUAUCAAUUCUUCUACUUAUAAAAGCAAGUUAAAUUAAAAGAUUUUAAUCUCUCUUCUUAUUACUAUAAGUGCACUGUGCACGACAUUUUUUUACAAUAAACAAUGCCAAUUUGUAAUGUAAUGUUAUAUUCAUAUUCCCAUCGCGUCGAACUCUUUUUUUCCCUCUUUUUUAAAAGGAGACGGUGCGGUUUGGUUGUUCGCAAAAUUAGUGGUGUGGGGCUCUAUUUGCUUUUGUUUUCACUUUAUUAAUUAACUAGCGAAGCAAACAUGUAAUCAUUUGUAAAGGAGUCACUAGCACCGGAUUAUGUAAGAUGAAUUCGUAAGACUUAUUAAUUUCAAUUGAAAAUGUAGCGUUAUUAGGUUAUUAAUUCACUAAGUUAACUUGAGGUUCUAAUAUUUACUAAUUGUGGUGAUUAAUUUAUUUAACUUGUCAUAAUUUUCAUUUGAGAAUGAAAUUCAAUCAAUGUAUGAAAAAAGAUAAUUUUUUAAAAUUUUUAAUUCCUAUGAUUUGAUUUCACUUUUUUCCGGAUAUUGACGCUGUAAAAGCUUGCCCAAUGUCAUCAAAUGCUUGUAUCCCAUCUCACAAAUUAGCAAAUAUCAUUUGGUUUCUUUAUACGUGGCCAUCACAAAUUAAAAGUAACAACAUCCACCAUAUAUCGAAAAUUAAUUUUGAGAAUACUUUUGACUUUUAAAAGAAAAAUGCGAGUACAAUUUAAUAAGAGAGAACAAGAAUUGAUCAUGUCCCAAGAGACUGAAAAUAAGAUUAUAUAAACUUGAAUGCAGGCAUAUCAUAUGUUAAUCUUAAUUUUUUUUUGUUGCUGAAAAUUAAUUAAUUUGUUCCACUAUUCCUUUUUUAAUUGUAUGGUGAGAAACACAUUGGCCACUUCUGAAUCAUGUUGCAUAUUUGUUAACUCAAAGAAACAGUACACUUUUGUAUCAAUCAAACUCACUUUGUUAAUAUUCUUCAUUAUUAUGGUUAAUGGCUUAGCAAAUGUAGAAGGAGGAGUCAACCAAAAUGUAGCACUUUCUCUUGUAUUAACCUUUUAUUAAUUGUUGAAGUUAAAAAAAAUGUUAAAACAAGUUAAAAUAGUUCCAUCUCAAAAUCAGUAGGGUGUAAGUAGGUUGUUAUAAAUAUUUUUAAAUUUUAGUCUAAUUUAAUUGUGUGAUGCACAAACUUUCUCACUUCUUUCAUAUAAAUAAAGGGGAGAACUAUUUGAACUCAUUAAAUCACUUUUUAAAUUCCUCUACUUAUUAAGGCCAUCAUAAAAAUUCAAAAAUCCUUUUUAUACUCACUACAUCUCUUAAAAAUAUCGCAAAUAUGACACAUUUGUCUUCACCUUCUAUUUAUCUUCAACAUUCACAAUUUUUAUUUGAAUCUGUAAUAUGUUUAACACUGUUCAUUCACUCAUUAGAGUUCCAAUAAUAGAAUAUAGAGAUUAAAAAUAUCAUUAGCAAAUUAUUUGUUUGUGUUCUAUAUGAUAUUCUUGGUUUGGAAAAAGCUUCAUCGGCAAUAUAUGUAAAUAAAAGACUAAGAACUUCCAAUAAUUCAGAUUUGAUCGAAACUUCACAAACUUAUUUUCACUUAAAAAAAUAAAAUAAAGUAAAAGAAAUUCUCGUGUUUUAAAAGAAAAACUGCCAGACAUGUUUCUAAAACAACUAGAAACCAAACUAGGCUUGAAGCAGUGAGUUUUGAAUUAUAAAAAAUACAUAAUUGUAAUUUCACCUAAAUCAAAUGAUGAAUUUCAUGACAACGGAUUUAGACUAUAGACCAAUACACAAAGAAUUGGAUGUUCAUCGCAUUUGUUCUUGAAAUUGUUUUGCGCAAAAAAGUUAACUAUUGUAUUAUGUUGUAUUGCAUUAUUUUAAUAUAAGUGUAUUAUAUUAUGCUGUAUUGCAUUAACACUGUAUUAUAUUAAUACUAUACAACGUUUGGUUCUACAUUGUACUAUAUUAAUUUUUAAUUAUACAUACACUAUAUUAUGCUAUACUAUAUUAUUUUUUUGGUGGUUAAUUUCAAUUAUAUGUUUGGAAAUAAUAUUUAUUAGUACUUAGCAAAAUAUAAAAUAUAGAACCUUAAAUUUUAGAAUAUUUACAUCAAUUUUUUUUAGUAUAAAUGUAAAUAAUUAUAAUAAUUCUUCAUUAAACUUAUGUAAAAAUAACAAAUUCUGAAUUUUUGCUAUCGUAACAUUUUUUUUUUAACGGCGUUUUUCAAAUGUAUACCUUAUUGAUGAUGCACCAUAAAAAUAAAUAUCAAAUUUUGCGAUCAUGAUCAAGUCGAGUUUUACAUUAUGAAAGCAUGACACAAAAAUUGAAAAAAAUAAUGGCCGGCAAAAAGUUAUACAAGCAACAACAAAAGUGCUAAUUACUCGGAAAAUAAACAAUCAAGAGCCGCUGAUAGAUAUGAGUCAUAUGACAAGGUAGAGGAAUACAGAUAUCUGCAUACAUUUUUAACAAAGAUCAUCUUUGUAACCAAUUGUUGGCUUUGGCAUUAAAAGAUCAUCUUUGUAACCAACUGGGUAGCUAUAAAAUGAAUACUAAGUCAAUCAAACGGGAAAGCUUGCUACAAGACUUUGAAGCAUUAUUCUGUUGCAUCACCUUCCUCCUCUGCCUCACUUCCUGCAUCCCAAAUUAAAGAACAACAAAUAUUAAAUAACAAAAACAAAAUCUUCAAUAGACUUUUCAUACUCCAUGGAGCAAAUCUAUGGGAAUCCACAAAAUAAUUGAAAUAUAUCAAUGCUGCAGGUCAUAGUAACAAAUUACAGAUACACAAUCAUGCAUAUGCAACUAAAAAAUGCUUAUUUAUUACAGCCGCUUUUUGGCAUGACUACUUCAUAAGUUAUAUAUGAUAGAUAACAUUAUUAUUCUAAUCACAUGGUUAUGAUUUUAGUUGGACAUACAAAAGCUACGUGCAUGAAUCUGUAUCAUGCCACCUUUCAUGAGUCAAAAAUUUAAAUCAAAUCAAUUUGGUUGAGCCUUCAAAUUCCUAUUCCAGUCAAAGGAGAUGAUUUUUCCAAAGGUAAAGAAUGAGUCCGGUUACUUAAGCAUGUCAACCUUUUUUCUAGGCUAAGGUUUAUCCCUUUCCAUUUCACUAACUCUCCUCUCACUACCUUGCGUCAACAUUUGCAUACUUGAUAUACUUUCACAACCUUAAUCUAAUACUUUCAUUUAUGCUGAUAUAAAGAAGAAGUUUGAUUUAAAUCUGGACAGGUAACAAGAUUAAAAAACUGCCUUGUAGUAGAGCCAAUUCUUCCAACAAACAUUUCUUGAACCAAUAUCUAAGAUUAAGCUGGAUCACGUAAGACAAAUAUGCCAAGAAGAUUUUUAACUCACCUGACACUAUGGAUCUCCAAAUGUACUCAAUUAGCUUAGGUAAGCCAUACUUCUUCUCAAUUAUGAGCCCAGUAAAUAGGACCCGAAAAACUUGCAUUCCUCUGCUGACAUUCAUUUCAGUGUUGCAAGAAUUACAGAUUCCAUGACCAUGGACUGAAGUUCUUUUGUUAAGACAGGCGCAAGAGAGUACGCCCCUAUCCCACUAGUAUUUGGCCCGGUGUCACCAUCACCAACUUGUUUAUGGUCCUGACAAGACAUUAGAGGUAUGGGCGUAUGGCAUUCUCCCCAUCCACGAAGUCCUUUAGAACCAAAAGCAUUGUUUACAAGCAUCGAAUCAACAACUUCUAUGAAUCAUCCAAUGUCAUAGUUAGAGCUGGUAAAAUUUGACACGAUCCAAUUAUUCGACACGAACACGACACUAAUAAAUGGGUAUGGGUCGUCAAAUUUAACACGAUUAUUAAAUCGGUCGGGUCCGGGUCAACACGAUUUUUUUCCGUGUCGGGUUAGGGUUAAAAUUCUUGACCCAUUUACCCGAUCAAUGACUCGAUUAUAUUUUUUAUUUUAAAAUAAUUUAUAGAUUCUUGUCAUCAAAACUUAAAUAUUAGAGAAUUUUUUUUUAUUCUUUAAAAAGAUGAAUAUAGACACAAUAUUUUAUUUAUAAAAUUUUAAAUAUAUUUAGAGCUUUAAUAAUGUAAAUGUAUAAAAUAUUGGUAGAUACGUAUAUUUUAUAAUAUUGAUAUAUAAUAUUAUUUACAUAUAUAUAAUUAAAACCUCAAUAAUGUGUGUAAUAUUUUAGUAGAUAUGAAAAUUUUAUAAUACUGAUAAAUUAUGUAUGUAUGGAUGGAUGUUGAGACAAGCUAGAGAAGCCAUGAAUGAGAUUUUUCCUUUGACUCCUGCUAUGUGGCAAGAAUUUGCGAGAGAUGAAGCCUCUAUUUCAACCGGGUAUCUGUCAUUUCCUUUUUACAGUGGUUUUUGAUUUUGUGAACAAAUACUUUUUUUUUCGCUUAGAGAUAUAGAUGUUUAUGUUAGUUAUUUGCUAAUGUAAAAAGGAACAAAAACUGCUUAAAAGGUAUUAAAGAAAGAAAAAAGGAACCAAUUUGAAGAAGGGGAUACUCAUAGCGGGAGUUCUGCUUUGGGGUUUAAUUGAUGGGAAGAAGAAAUAGUUUAUAUGUUUACAGAAUUAAACAAUUGAUCACUGAGUUAGUUGAGGAAGAUAAUUAAUCACAAUGUCUGAAGCUGUUGCUGUUGGCGUCACCUAUUGUUAAGAUUUCAUCCUUUUUUAUGGUUUUACAUAGCUGUGACCUAAAGCUUAAUGUAUACGUUGAUAAUUACAUAAUUGGUUUCUUGCUGAUACUUGGCUUUAAUUUGUAAGCCUGAGGCUCUUUCGGGAAUUGAGAAGAUUUACGGAAGAGGAGUUUCUGAUUAUCUGGUUUGUUCUCUUUAUGCUUACAGAAUUUGAAUUAACGCUCUGCAUGAAUUUAUGAUUCAUUUUUUUUGGAGAAAUAUUUUAUGAAAUUGAAGCAUUGGAGUAAAGCGUACUAGUCGUAAGCUUGAUUCACUUUGUUUUGAUUUUAUUACCAAGAGGUGCUAACAGUUCAUGAUGCAUAAAAGAGGGGGAAAAAAACUCUUCUUGGUAGAUACAUAAAUUUUAGUUUCUGAAUCAUUUUCAACGAAAGAAAUAAUUUUACAGAGGCUGAAGAGCAGCAUUUUCAUUUAUAUGAAAGUUCAAUUGUUAUAUCAUCUGUUUCCAUAUCUUUUGUGGUAAAUAAAGUCCUUGAUGAUGGCAUAAGAGCACAGAAGAGUUGUUAGUUUCAUAUGUGGAGAUUUUCAUCAUAGUAGUUCAUUGAAAGUGAAGGCAGCUGAAUACCCUUUUUUCUGAUGCAGUCUGUCCCUCUUUGGUGUGAUUAUUUAAAAUUUGUGCAAGAAUAUGAUCCAUCUAUACGCGAAUGUUUACCCAAUGGCACUUCAAAGGCAAGGAAUCUAUUUGAGCGGCUAUUACUGCUGCUGGUCUGCAUGUUUUAGAAGGCAGUGAAAUAUGGGAAUUGUACAGAGAAUUUGAGCUAGCUAUAUUUAGUAGGAUUGAUAAGAUUAACUUGAAUGUGAAAUAUUUUAAUUUAUUUUACUUUUUUUUGGGCUUAAAUAACGAGUUUAUUCCCAUCUAUAGAAAGAAAAAGGGAAGGUUUUUUUUUUUUUUGCUGGGGGGGGUGUUUCCAACCCUAGCACAUGACAAGCAUUCCAAGACCCUUGCUGCUUGUUUUGCAGGAAAAGGAAAAACAGGUUCUGCGGAUUCGAAGUAUAUUUCAUCGCCAGUUGUCUGUUCCCCUUGCUAACUCAAGUGCAACUCUUCUUGCCUACAAAUCUUGGGAGCUCAAACAGGGGGCUGUUCUUGAUGUUGAAUCUAGUAAUGUAGAUGGGAUUUCUUCUAAUGUUGCCGCAGCAUACCAAAAGGCAUUGGAGAUGUGUAAUGCACGAGCUCAUGUUGAAGAGCAGAUUUCUAGGCAGGAUUUAUCUGACUCAGAGAAAUUUCAACAAUACAUGGCAGAUGACUUUACUAUCGUCAUUUGAUAGCUUUUUAUAGUAAGUGAAAUCCAGCCCUAAAAAUUUUAUUAAUAUGAAUAUUUUUUUGGGGGGAUUUCUUCUUAUGGCAUUAUUAUUUUGCUUUUGUGUAGCUAACAAUUAAUAUGUGCACUUUAAAUAUUAUCUAUUGUUUCUUAGCAAAUAAUAGUAAUAAUAAUAAGUAAUAAAUAAUUAAUAUCUGCAUUGUCAAAUAAUAAUAAUAAUAAUGUCUGCUCUUUUUACUCUUGGGGGGGGGGGCAUGCAGUGUCAUUAUCUUCCUUCUUCUCCUUUUUCUAUUUUGUGCUUUCAAGUUUAAUAUUAUUAUAUUAAUCUGUUAUUGUUGUAGAUAUACUUGAAGUAUGAGCAAUCUUCUGGAGAUCCUGGUAGAGUUCAACUUCUUUAUGAACGGGCUAUUACCGACUUUCCUGUAUCAAGUGAUCUCUGGCUUGAUUAUACUCGUUAUCUUGACAAAACAUUAAAGGUUUAUCCUUCUAUUUUCUAUUUUACUUCUUCUGUUGCAGCUAUUUGUAUACUAAUCGACUCUCCUCUUCAGGUUGGUAAUGUUGUGAGAGAUGUUUAUUCCAGGGCUACAAAAAAUUGUCCCUGGGUAGGAAAACUUUGGGUACGAUCUUUGCUUUCUCUGGAACAUGGCCGUGUUUCUGAGGAGGAGAUAUCCACUGUAGGUUUAAUUGUUACCCUUCAUUCUGAGCUUAAUCAAUUUUCCUGAAUGUAUUCAUUCUGAGCUUAAUCAAGUUUCCUGAAUGUAAUUGAUUUUGAUUGUUUGAAGUUAAAGAAAUGAUCAGCUUCCUAGGCAAAUUUCUUGGCAAGCACUUGAUUGUGGGAGUAACUGAGGAGAAGCAUUCCCUAGUGUUUUUUUUUGUUUUUCUCCUCCCCUAAAAUUGCAAUAUACUUCCCUUGAAGAGUAUUUUUUGCUUUAGCAUUUACACAUCUGUACAGAAGCAAACAUGAAUCAGAGAGAUUUAGUGGGCAAAUUCACCUGUGCUGACAAAUUAAAGCAUAUUAAAUACCGCGGUGGUUGUUGGAAUGCUCCAAAAAGUGUUUUCUUGGUGCUCCUGCUCCUUUUGCACUUUCAUAGUGUUUUAAUAACUGGGUUGUUUAAAUGUCCUGUACUUAUUUUCUUUACAAAUGUCUUUGUAUUUUUUUAAAUUUAUAAAAGAUUGUUCUAAUUAUAUUAAUAGCAACAAAUUGCGCAAACUCAAAUCUUAAUUUCAUUCUGCCCCUAUUACAUAUAUACGGGAUUCUCCUAUUAUUUCAUCAAAUUUUCCAUUACUAAUUUCAGGUCUUUGAGAAGUCACUACUAUGUACUUUUUCAACCUUUGAGGAGGUAGAGAUAUAAUCUUAUGUCUUCUGUACAUACCUUGGUUUCUUGAGCUGUAUGAUUUGGUAUAUAUCUACUUCUGAUUCAUCAUGCAUUUUUUUGUUAACUGGUUCUUUUUUGUUUGAGUACCUAGAUCUAUUCCUUACUUGAAUAGAUGGUUUGAGGUGGAGAAUUUUAUUCUCCGGUGAAGUUGAGGGCGCCUUGGAUUAUUCAUUGAUAACGGAAACCCUUCAGGUUUGUAAACUUAUACUGUUGGCUAUUCAAUAUUAAAAUUGGUUAUACUCCUUAAUAUCAAGAAAUUGAAGCUUCCCAAAUCAUACCCAAGAAAUGCUCUAUUGUGGAUUACUGGAUGGAGCUAGUUGCUAGAUGAUACCUUUAAGAUUCAAGACAUAUGUUGUUUUGUGUAUGGCUAUCAAGUACUUUGGCCUGCAAUUGUGGCAUAUUGGUCUUACGCCAGCAUCAGGUAUAACAUUGUGUCUGGCAUAUAUACCAUUGGAAUUCUGGGUUUCUGUUGAGUGGGCUCCAACAGCUAUAUUUGUGUCCAAUGUUGUGGGGUCCUCUUCUUUGGUGCUUUUAAGUGAAGUUUUAACUUUCCUUGUCAAAAUUUUGUUACAAAUCAAGUAGAAGGCACUGCACUGAAGCAUUGGUACUUCUAGAUUGCUUGUUUUGCAUGGUAGAUUUCAAUCCAUUGCUUUUAUUUCUUGGAUCAUGUUUAUCAUUGAGGACUUUCUUGGCCAGUCAUAGAGCUGACUAGUGCUACCAUCAUCAUUGGUAGGGCAAAAAAGUCAAUUCCUAUGGGAUGCUUUCUGACUUAGAGAAGAUGUCUUCAAGAAUUUGUGGAUUUAAGUCUUCACACGAUGUUCAACUCUUGAUAGUCUAACCUUGGUACAGGAUUUAUAGCUGUCUUCCAAGUUUGUGCUCAUAAAUGAGUAACCUGUCUGUCUUUAUGAUACCAGUUAAAUUUGUUAGCUUUCCGGGAUUUGGAGGUUGUAAAUGUCCAUAAACAACAAUGUCUUCUCUUCCUUACAGCGUGCAUCAGAUUACUUGUCAGAACAGAUGAAAAAUAACAAUGGUUUGCUGCGUUUGUAUGCUUAUUGGGCACGUCUUGAACAAACUAUGGGAAAAGAUACGGUUUCAGCUCGUAGUGUCUGGGAGAGGCUACUUAAGAUCAGGUUCACCAAUUUUAAUUUUUGCCAGUGCAUACAUAGCAAAAUUUCUUUAUAUCUAUAUAUUUUCGGAUAACUUGUGCUUCUCUUAAUGCAGUGGUACAAUGUUGGAAGCCUGGCAAAGUUAUAUAUCUGUGGAAAUUGAAUUGGGUCAUAUUAAUGAAGCUAGAUCCAUCGACAAGAGAUGCUACAGUAAAAGAUUUACAAGGACAGGUUCAGAGGUAAAUUUCUUUCAUCCUGCUUCUUUAAUGAAUAUUAACUGCUUAACAACGUACCUUGUUGUUUCCAUCUUGUUUGUUUAACUGGUCUUAUUUGUAAACACCUGAAAUCAUACAUCUUAAUUUCUGAUAAUUAGAUGUUAUUUUAGAUAUCUGUAUCUGUUAAUGUUCUUUCAAGUCUGAUUCCAAUGCAUAUUUAGUUAAACUGCUCUUUACUGCAUUUUGGAUUAGUUGAUAUCUUCCUUUCCUAAAAACAGAAUCAUUCAGGACAUAUGCCAUGCUUGGCUGCAAUUUGAAUGGGAAUUUUGUAUAAAAUUUUUAAUGAAUUUAUGGGUUUGAUGAGUAAAAUUAGGGGUUCAUAUAGACUCACCCAUAAAUUGAACCCUUAUUUUAUGUUGAUGCACAACUUAACUUAACAAAAAUAAUGUUCAAAUUGUCACAAAAUUUGAAAAAAAAAUCAUACAGUUAAUUUUUCUUCUACUUUACUCCAUUAUUCAAUGGGCAUAUAAUAAAUUAGGAGAGGGGAGAAAUAAAGGGGAAAAUUAGAGUAUUGUCGCAAUGAUACACUGAUACAAAUGCCCAUUGAGUGAUUGUCAAUGGGCAUAUAAUAAAUUAGGAGAGGGGAGAAAUAAAGGGGAAAAUUAGAGUGAUUGUCACAAUGAUACACUGAUACAAAUGCUUAUGUAUGUGUAGUGUGUGUGUGGGGCGUUCUUUAAUUUGACCAAAAAUAAAUGCAUUUAUUUGUAUUUUUAAUCAAAAUCGAGGGAUAUAAACAAAAAUUUUACCACUCCAGAGUCCAGACAUGUAUCAUUGCCUCGUUAAAAAAAAUUGCAUAAAAUUAAAAAACCAUUAGUGGCUGAAAGAGAGAAACAAAUUAAGAAAGGGUUCAAAAGAUGGAACCCGAAGAGAAAACCCUAGCAACAAUCCCAGAAGAAGAAGAAGAAGAUGGAGACACGGCCAUGCCCGACGUCAAGAACAACCCUAAACCAACAACAACAGCCAACUCUUCGGACUCGAGCGAUGCCUCUGACUCAGACUCGGACUCUGACUCAGAAGAUGAAGCAAAACAGAACAUGGAGCUUCAAACCCUAGAGUAUCAGCUAUCCAAUGAACCCUCCAAUUACGACACCUAUGUUCAAGUAACUUCAAUACACAUAUUUAUUGAGUGAUUUUGUGGAUAACCGUUUGCUUGUUCUUUCUUGGGUUGUGAUAAAAAUGGUUUUUAUCUUUUUUUUUUCAGUAAAUAAAGGUUUUGAGAAAAAUGGGUGAGAUAGAGAAAUUGAGACAAGCUAGGGAAGCCAUGAAUGAGAUUUUUCCAUUGACUCCUGCUAUGUGACAAGAAUGGGUGAGAGAUGAAGCCUCUAUUUCAACUGGGCAUCUGUCAUUUCCUAUUGCAAUGGUUUUUUAUUUUGUGAGCAAAUGUUUUUUUUGCUUAGAGAUAUAGAUGUUUAUGUUAGUUAUUUGCUAAUGUAAGAAGGAACAAAACCUGCUUAAAAGGUAUUAAAGAAAGAAAAAAGGAACCAAUUUAAAGAAGGGGAUACUUAUAGUGGGAGUUCUACUUUGGGGUUUAAUUGAUGGAAAGAAGAAAUAGCUUAUAUGUUUACAGAAUUAGACAUUUGAUCGCUGAGUUAGUUGAGGAAGAUGGUUAAUCACAAUGUCUGAUGUUGUUUCUGUUGGCCUGAACUAGUUGUUAAGAUUUCAUACUUUCAUUCAACAAUACAAUAGACUUUGAUUGGGUCCACCGUAGUUGGGUGUUCUGAGGAAUCAAUGAGUGUCUUGAGAAAACUUGGGUGGAGUGCUGGUCAUUUUCAGGAUUCAGUUUCCAAGAAAACAAAAAUGAAGUCGUAGUUGUAGUUUAAAUUAAUUUAUGUUUUUAUCUUUUUCUGUGAGCCCAGUGAGCUUUUAUUUUCACUUUGUUCGCUUUUGUUUCUUUCCCUUCUUUUCCUACAGUUUCUUGAUAAUCAAACAGAUCAGGAUUAAGUGUUUACUUUUGGUUAGGGGUGGGCGUUCGGUUCGGGUUAACCCGAACUAAACCGAACCUGAAAUUUAUUUCGGGUUCGGUUCGGUUUGGGUUAACUCGUGCAACCCGAACGGAUUCAAAGCUUCAAUCUGUUCGGGUUAAAUUUCGGUUCGGGUUCAACCCGAACCGAAUUUUCAACCCGUUCGGGUUGAAGCUUUUUUUUUUUUAAAGAUUUAGCUUUUAAAUUAAAAAUAUAUAUACAUUAAUUAAACCAAAAAAUCCCUAAAAAUGAAAAAUCCCUAAACAAAAAUCUCUCCCUCUCGGCCUCCCCCUCCUUGCUCCCUCUUCUCACUUCUCAGUUCUCACUUUCUGUGAACUGUGGUUGAUGACAUCAGCACUUCAGCAGCAGCCACAGCAGCCCCGUUCAGCUCCAACAGACACCAGCCGGCCUCAUCGUCUCACUCCCUCCCCCUCCUUGCUCCAUCGUUUCACUCCCUCCCACGACGACAACACUCACAGGCCACAACAGCAGCCAGCAGCCCCGUUCACAGCAGCCCACUCGCGUCAGCCAGCACGCCUCGCCCGCAACUGCGCUGUGCGUUCAGCUCGCGUCCCACUCAGCCCAGGAAGUCUCGAUCUGCCAACGCUGUAGCUGCUCUGACCUCCGAGAUUAAGGUUUGUCUUGCCUUGCCGACGGCGACGCUGUAACUUGCUGACUUGCACGCAACUGAUGGCAACAACCCGAAUUGAAUUUUAAGUUUUUAACAGCCUGUUGCUAUUAAUUAAAUUGUAAAUUUUUAAUUAAUUGAUUGACAAUUAUUCAAUUAUUUGAAGUGGGUUUGUUGUUGUUGAUUGAUAAUUGAACCCGAACUAAUCCAAACUAACCCGAAUUAACCCGAACCGAAAUUGUAACCCGAAUUAUCAACCCAAUCCGAUCCGAAUUGUCAAUCCAAACCGAACCGAACCGAAUUGGUUCGGGUUGGCGUUUUCAACCCGAUUGGGUUCAAUUCUCCAACCCGAACGGGUUGAAACCCAAACCGAAACCCGAACAACCCGAACCGAAACCCGAAACGCCCACCCCUACUUUUGGUGUAAUUAUUCACUCUAACUCGAAUAGUACUUAGGUUUAGUGCUAACAAAAUAGGAAGUGAAUUAAUAUCUGAAGUUGACCUAGGAGUGGAAUGAAUGUUACCAAAAAUAUACUAUAUGGUAGAUAGAAUUUGCCUUUUAGGUAAGACAAAAAUAAUUACAGCUGUUAAUUUAUUUCAAUAAGUUCGUACAUCAUUGAAUAAUAAGUCCAAGAUUUUAAUGGUUUUGUUUCCUGAAAAUUUGUCACGAGUGCAUGAACAAAGUUCUAUGGAUGAACUUCUCUUAGUUAAUUUGAGUUCAAUGUCGCAGUUCCUCAUAUUAACUAUAUAAAACACUAAUCUUGCUCUUUACUUUGGAGCAUUUUAAUAAUUGAUGCUAAUUCCUUAGCCAUUUUAUUCAUCUUGUGCAUAAAUUAUGCAAUCAAUAAGCCAACUCCACUUUCAUCUUUAUUUAGUGAAAAAUUUGCAAGGUCACUAGGAGGUUUUUGUAUGUCUCAUGCUAACAUGGACGCCAUGGUUUCACUAUGUAAAUUUUCCCCACUGAAAUUCAUGAUCCCUCAUAUACCACUCAUCACUCAUGAAGCUGUUUCUGGGGCUUUAAAAGCGCCAAAUUUUAGUUUUAUCCUUUCUAGCUUAUUAACCUGUCCGCAUCUGCAUUAUUAUCUUUCCUGUCAUACGAAAGUUUCAUUUAUCAUCUUCCCAACAUAAACAUCCGUAGGUCAUUGUUGACUUUUUUGCUUUGACACUUAUUGUUUCUAAGUAUAGGCUACCAAGGGAGAAAAAAAUUGACAUUGAUGGUCAUCCCCAGCAUUUUUAUCCCAGGAGACUGGUCAUUCACUUUCUAUGAAGGACUAUAUAGACAUCCAGACUCUAUUUUGAAGGACAAAGCUGUGGCUGAGCUUGGUUGUGGAAAUGGAUGGAUAACCAUUGCCAUAGCUGAGAAGUGGUUGCCUUUGAAGUUUUGUUGGUUUGUCGUCCUUAUGCCAUGUGAGAGCUUUUAUUUCCUUCCCUACCAGUGCCUUCAGGGGCUCCAUCAUGAUUUCUCUCAUCAUUUUCUAUCUCUGUGUUUUGCAAGGCCAUUUGAUAUUUAUAACAGCAUUGGCACCAGGUUAUGGUGAUUUAAUGCACUCCUAUUAGGAAAAAUUACAUAAUUAUCAACUCUGUCCUUGUCCAAAAGUCUUUGUUGGAGUAUGUUGAAAAUAUAACCUUGUAGGAGUUCUUUUAUGCUGUCUGAAUAUCCUAUUGCAGGUCUAUGGCCUUGAUAUUAAUCCCAGAGCAAUAAAGAUCUCUUGGAUAAAAUUGUACUUAAAUGCAUUAGAUGAAUCUUUUUCUAAGCUUUUCUGUCACUGUCACUGCAAAAGGUCUUUUGUAUUGAGGGUUAUCUGUGGGGCUAGGAAAGGUCAGCCCAUCUAUGAUGCGGUGAAGAAAACCUUACUGGAUAGGGUGGAGUUUGAUGAAUCUAAUCUCCUAGCAUAUUGUAGACAUCAUGACAUUCAACUUGAAUGAAUAGUGGGGUGCAGACCUCAGGUACUCUCACUUUCUGCAACUCAUGAUAUUUCUAGGGGAUUAAAUUUUAGUGAAGUUUGUUUACCCAACAUCAAGUUGGAAUUUUAGUGUGCCCACAUGGAUUACUUUUAACUCCUAGUUUAACUUAUUCUGUUGUCUCCAUGCAGGUUCUCAACCCCAAUUCCAAUGCAAUGUCGAAAAUAAUCACUGAAAAUGCAAGCGAGGAAUUUCUGUAUUCAUUGAGUAACUAUUGUGGAUUGCAGGUUGGAAGAUAUUCUAAAUAAUUUAAUUGUGAUGCGCAAUUGCAAUUGCCGGGAAGUUAGCAAUUAAGUUGAUAGGCUUCUUCUGGUUUCACAUAUUUCUAAGUAACAACUUUGGUUUGAAGCUUGCAUACCUUAGGUAAGGUUGAUGUCUUUAGUUGGUCAAUAUCAAUUGGGAAAUAUAGCUAACCAGUGAAGACAGUGGGAAAAGGAUGAUGUGAGUUUGACAAAUGCUGGGAGGAGAUAGGGAAACUUAAUCUGAAAGAUUUCUUUUUUUUUCUUGGUUUAUUUAUUUAUUUACUCGUGUGACCUCUUCACAAUGCCAUUGAUUCCCAUAGUUCAUGUUGCUAGGUGAACUUAACAACAACCAUCUAUUAUGCCUUGUGGAUAACUGAGAAAAUUUAUUGCUUUGGACAAGUUGCUUUUUGAAAUAGAGUGCAAGUAGAUUGACUAAUAAUGAACUUAUUGUAUCAAGUUGUUACAUUUGAAUAUAUUAAGGUCAUAUAAAGCUUACUUGUUAUACUUCUUUUUUUCUUUUUUCCCUCCCCAUUUCCCUGUAUGGAGGGUUUCUUGGACGAUCAGUUUGGCUUAGGUCUAAUUUUCUCGAGCAGUUAAGGAAUUACUGUUAUCAAAAUAAAGUUUCCUCUCACUCACUAGCCAAUUGAGCAGCUCGUCACCGGUCGGAUUCAUUGCCGAUUGCAGCCCACCUCCAUCAUGUCAGUUCAGUAGCUUGUCGCUGCAGUCAUGAUCGGCCUCUUUGUUGUCGUUGAAGAACCAAUCAAUAAUGAUGAUGAUUGAUGAUGAUGAUGAUUACCAUUGUUGAUGAUUAAUAUUAUUGAUGAUGAUGAUGUAGAUGAUGUAAUUGCGGUGAGAUGAUGAAGAUGAAACUGAAUUGUGAUGUUGAUAAUGAAAUUGACAGAAGGAAGAAGAAGAUUGUGAAAAAUCUGACUUCUUCACUCGUAUUACAUUAGAGAAGAAUACAUAUUUAUAUACAUUACACCCUAGGAAUAAAAUGGUAAAAAAAAAACAGCUAAGAUAUUGCAAAUCAGUAUCCCUGAAAAUUAGGGAUUAUAUAUCCUAAAAUCUAGUAUUUAAGUCAACACAUAGCUGUAAAAUACAGCUAACAUCUACAACAAUAGUCAACACACAGCUGUAAAAUACAACUGACAUCUGCAACACUCCCCCUCAAGCUGGAGCAUAGAUAUUCUUCAUGCCUAGCUUGCAUACAAACUCUUCAAACUUGUGUCCAUGCAUUCCUUUUGUCAACAUAUCUGCAGUUUGUUGUCCUGUUAGAAUAUACACCAAACAGAUAACUCCAGUUUCCAAUUUCUCUUUAAUAAAAUGUCGGUCUACCUCCACAUGUUUUGUCCUGUCAUGAUGGACAGGAUUAUGGGCAAUAUUAAUUGCUGCCUUAUUGUCACAGUAAAGUUGCAUAGAACUAUUUUUUAUUAACUGUAGUUCUUUGAGAACACGUUCUAUCCACAUAAGCUCACAUACCGCAUGUGCUAGUGCUCGAAAUUCUGCUUCUGCACUGCUUCGUGCCACUACAGUUUGCUUCUUGCUUCUCCAAGUUACAAGGUUUCCCCACACCUUAGUACAAUAACCCGUUGUAGACUUCCUAUCCAUGAUGUUUCCAGCCCAAUCCGCAUCAACAAAAGCUUCUACAUUCCUUUUUUCUCCCUUCUCAAAAUAAAGUCCCUUUCCCGGUGUUGACUUCAGGUAUUGAAGUAUUCGGUUUACUGCCACUAAGUGAGCUUCUUUUGGGGCGUGCAUAAACUGGCUCACUAAGCUAACCGCAAAAGCAAUAUCAAGUCUAGUAUGGGAAAGAUAAAUUAAUCUCCCUACUAGCCUUUGAUAUCUCCCCCUCUCCACGGGUGCACUAUUUUCUUCAAGACCCAACUUGCUAUUUGGUUCAAUUGGUGUGGCAGCAGGUUUACAGCCAAUCAUACCAGUAUCCUUUAGCAAAUCUAGGGUGCAUUUCCGUUGUGUAACUAGAAUACCUUUAGCUGUUCUAGCUACCUCCAUUCCCAAAAAAUAACGUAGUGGUCCAAGAUCCUUGAUUUCAAACUCACCAGCUAAUUUUUCUUUUAAUCCUUCCAGCUCUUCUUUGUCAUCUCCUGUUAGUAUAAUGUCAUUAACAUACACGAUCAAAAUAGCUAACUUCCCUUCUUUAGACCGUUUGUAGAACAUAGUAUGAUCGGCUUGCCCUUAAGAAUAACCAUAGUUCUUCAAGACUUUCCAAAUCGAUCGAACCAAGCCCUAGGGGACUGUUUAAGGCCAUAGAGAGACCUUUUUAACCGACAAACUCUUCCAGCAGGUCCUUUUUCUUCAAAACCAGGCGGCAUAUCCAUGUAAACUUCCUCUUCCAAUUCUCCAUUCAAGAAUGCAUUCUUGAUAUCAAGUUGGUUGAGAGGCCAAUCUAAAUUUGCAGCAAGAGAGAGAAGGAUCCUUACAGUAUUAAGCUUUGCCACUGGAGCAAAAGUUUCUAGAUAGUCCACCCCAUAGGUUUGUGUGAAACCUUUCGCCACGAGUCUUGCUUUAUACCUGUCCACACUUCCAUCAACCUUAAAUUUGACUGUAAAUACCCACUUGCACCCCACAGUCCUCUUGUCUUUAGGUCUUGGUACAAGCUUCCAUGUGUUAUUCUUUAUUAAGGCUGCCAUUUCUUCUUAAACAGUUUUCUUCCACUCAUUUGACUCUAGGGCUUCAUGGAUGUUUCUUGGAAUAGUGGUAUUAGAUAGACUGGCCACAAAAUUCCUAUACUCCUUAGAUAGAUUUGCAUAUGACAAGAACUUGUUGAUAGGAUGUUUAGUGCAAUUUCUUACCCCUUUCCUUAUCGCAAUAGGCAAAUCUGUGGACUUCUGAGCUUCGUUCUCAGCAUAUUCAGUAGGUGGGUUUUGAUCCUCCCUUAGUUCAGAUCUCGGUUCUGCUUGGUCUAUAAGUGGCUGUACCUCUUGAGUUUUAUUCUUCUUUCGUGAAUAGACAUGAAACUCGCCUAUAGGUUCCUCCAAAUGUGAAUUGGUUUUUAUUCCUUCAUUCCUUGGUGACACUAUUGGUUGAUUAAGUUCUAUGGUGUUAGGUAGGUUAGGAUGAAUGUCUGGACUGAGGAAGGAGGUAUUUGGUAGAUUGAGUUCUAGGCUGGAAUUACUGGACAUAUUAGGUUCUAGGCUGGAACAUCUGGACAUAUUGGGUUCUAGGCUGGAACUACUGGACAUAUUGGGUUCUAGGCUGAAAUUACUAGGCAUCUUAGGUUCUAAAAUGCCAAGAAGAUCCCAGGAAUUAUCUUCUCUCAAAUUCUGCCCCUGAAGAGAAUUACUCGUGUAAAAAGGCUGAUUUCAAAGAACUUGACAUCCAUUGUGACGAAUAAUUUUUUGGUAAGAGGAUUAUAACACUUGAACCCUUUCUUGGUAGGAGAAUAUCCUAGAAAUAGGCACUUGAUGGCUCUAGGAGACAACUUUGUUCUUUGAAGACUCGGAAGAUAUACAAAGGCUGUACAACCAAAAGUUUUGAGUGCAAAAUUAGAGGUAACAAGGUGAUUUUGUGGGUAGCUGUCAAGAAAAACAAAAAUAGGUGUCUUGAAUUUAAGAACUCGAGAGGGCAUACGAUUUAUGAGAUAAGAUGCUGUAAGAAUGGCCUCUCCCCAAUAUAUUUUUGGUACAUUAGUUGUGAACAUAAUGACCCUAGCAACCUCUAAAAGGUGUCUGUUUUACGUUCUGCAACCCCAUUUUGUUGUGGUGUUUCGGAACAAGAACUUUGGUGGACAAUUCCUUGUUGUGAUAGGUAAUUCCCUAAAAUAGAAUUGAAAUACUCAGUUCCAUUAUCUGUACGGAGUACACGAUUUUCAGUUUGAAACUGAGUUUUUACCAUGACAUGGAAUUGUUUAAAAGUUUGUCCAGCUUCAGAUUUUUCCUUCAAAAGGUACACCCAAGUGGUCCUAGAGUGGUCAUCUAUGAAUGUUAUGAACCAUUUUGCUUUUGACAGGUUGUUAACCCUUGAGGGGCCCCAAAUAUCACUAUGAAUCAAAGAGAAAGGCUGGGAUGGUUUAUAAGUACGGGUAGGAAAUGAAACACGUGUUUGUUUAGCCAUUUAACAAAAGUCACAAUAUAAUAAACUCAAAUUUUGAUUUUUAAAUAAGGAAGGAAACAAGGUUUUUAGAUAUGGAAAGCUAGGGUGGCCUAACCUAUAGUGCCACAACAUUAUUUCAGAAGAAACAAAUUCACAUUGAGAGACCUGAGCAUGUCCUUUCACGAGUCUUUUAUUCUCGAGAUAGUACAGUCCCUCAUAUUCCUUUGCAUUCCUAGUCAUCCUCCCCAAGAUUGGAUCCUGAAAUAGACAUUUAGAACCACAGAAUUUAGCUACACAGUUUGUGUCUUUAGUAAGUUUACUAACUGAAAGAAGAUUGCAUUUAAGAUUUGGGACAUGUAAAACUGAAAAAGAGUCAAACAAUUUGAUAGUUUUACUGUUCCUUUUCCAGCAACAGUGGAUAAUGAUCCAUCAGCAAUCCUCACUUUAUAAUUACCUGGACAUGGAGUGUAACUAGAGAAAAAUUGAGAAGACCCUGUCAUAUGGUCUGAGGUCCCUGAAUCAACAAUCCAAGAACCUUUUUCAAGGGAUUGGAUGCUAAGGGCUGAUGGGUUACCUGUAUGGACUGCAUUACAACUAGAGGAGGUCAAGUCAUUUUUAUUUGCUUGCUGAUUUUGUAUAAGGAGCUGUUGCAGCAUCUCAAAUUGAUCUUUUGCGAGGGCAAACUGAUUAGUUUUCUCUGUCACCAUUCCCUUUGCUUCUUGCUGCCGUUUUGGUUUCCAAUCUGCUGGCUUUCCAUGAAGCCUCCAGCAUGAGUCUCGAGUAUGCCCUUUCUUGUGACAAUAGUCGCAAUAGGGACGUUCUCCAUGUUUUUGUCCCUUUUGGUUAGCUGACUGAUCUGUCUUUUUGGUCACCAGCGCUGAUCUCUCCGCCUCAGGUUCCUUCACCAGUCCCAUCAUGACUCUCUUUCGACUUUCUUCACGCCCCACCUCAACAAAAGCUUCUCGGAUGGAGGGUAGAGGAUUCUUUCCUAAUAUUCUGCCACGAACUUCAUCAAGUUCUUUGUUGAGUCCAUAAAGGAAAUCAAAGAGACGUUCUUUAUCCAACAUCCUCUUAUUUUGAUGGCAUCCUCAGAGCAAUGCCAUUGCGAUUCAUAGUAAAGGUCAAGUUCAUGCCAUAUAUUGUUUAGAGAAUUGAAAUAUUGAGUCACUGAAAGACUCCCUUGCUUUUGGUCACGUAAUUGUGACUUGAUUUCAAAGAGCUGAGCUGCAUUCCCCAGGUCAGAGUAAGUUUCUGUCACGGCUUCCCAAAGCUCCUUCGCAGAUGGUAGGAAGAGAUAAGUCCUACCAAUAUCCACGUCCAUCGAGUUGAUCAACCAAGUUUGCACCAUUGAAUUUUCAGCAUCCCACUGUGGAUAACCUGGAUCCAAGACAUCAGGGGCUUUGGUUUCCCCUGUAAUAUACCCUAAUCGGCCUUUGCCACGAAGAAAUAGGGUGACAGAUUGAGACCAUUGCAAAAAGUUUCUGCCAUUUAACUUGUGCAAAGUUAUUUGCAAAGAGGGGUUUUCGGUACCUAAGGAGACCGAAGAGAUGUCCUGCCUUGUUACAGAACUGGAGGAAAUCUCAGAUUCUUGUGUAGGGUUUGUUGUCUUCUCCAUUGGAUGGGUUGAGAGUUUAGAAUGAGAAAAAAAUUCAGAGGCUUAGUUUAAAAGAGUUGCUCUGAUACCAUGUGAAAAAUCAGACUUCUUCACUUGUAUUACAUUAGAGAAGAAUACAUAUUUAUAUACAUUACACCCUAGGAAUAAAAUGGUAAAAGAAAAAAAAGCUAAGAUAUUGCAAAUCAAUAUCCCUGAAAAUUAGGGAUUAUAUAUCCUAAAAUCUAGUAUUUAAGUCAACACAUAGCUGUAAAAUACAGCUAACAUCUACAACAAUAGUCAACACACAGCUGUAAAAUACAGCUGACAUCUGCAACAAAGAUAAUUGUGGUGAUGAUGAUGAUGUUGAUGGAGAAGAUGAAAUUGACAUGAUUGAUGAUGAAGUAACGAAGAAUUUGUAAAACACACACACACACACACACAGAGAGAGAGAGAGAGAGAGAGAGAGAGAGAGAGAGAGAGAGAGAGAGAGAGAGGAGAAGAGGAUAAAAAAAAAGAUAGAGAAAAACAGGAGAGAAAAUAAUAACAAAAACAAAAGAGGAAAAUAAUUAUUAUUGUUAUUAUUAUUAUUAACAAUAACUUUCUUAAUAACCAUAAUCAUAUAAUAGAUAAUAAAAAUAGAAGGUAAUAAUAACUAAGGGUAUUUUAAUAAUUUAAAUAAUUUAUUGUAAUUUCAAGGUAAAGUAAAUAUAUUAAUGAUAAUACAGUUUAUUUUAAUUUUGAUUCUUAUAAUUGAAGUAAAUAAUUUAUUUUAAUUUUUAUUUCACAUUUUAAUUUUAUUCUAUUCUGAAUUAGUAAACGCAUCAUAAAAUCAUGUGAUUCUACUCUAUAUGUGAGAUUGAUUUUUUUCUUUAAGGCCUACGACAUCCCAAUACAAGUCUAUAUAGGACCAAGCUACUAAGUGGACGGUCAUAAAAACUUAAAAAGGCAUAAAAUUGGAUGGCCGUCUAAUUAAUUUCCCGUGACCUACAACAAAAAUUUAAGAAGGAACUCCGAUACCAUCAAUUCUGCAUUUUAAUUUGAAGUUGGAAAACAGUGAAAACAGAAGGAUCGGGUGAUUUAAUUUUAUACAUAUUUAAUCAAGUAAAAAUGGCACGUGCGUUGUAAUUUGCCCAGUUAUCUUACUUUGAAUAAUAACAAAGUUCAAAUUUUGUAUUCAGUGAAAAAUCAAUUCUAUAGUGAAAAACACUAGCUAGAAAAAAAUCUAUGUCCUGAUGUCUUAGUUUAUAAGCUCAAACAAUGAAUAGUAUACAUACAACGCAUGAUAGAACACAAACUCAUAUAGAUUUUUAGUUUUGAAAUUCAUUUCAGAAAAUCUGUUCUGUUCAACAGGUUAUAGAUUAUCAACUAAACUCUGCCCACAUUCUUAGCUCUGCCAUUGGAAGUACGCAACUCAGCUGCCCAUCGACCGCCAAGCCAUCAAGACAAUACCAAGAUACAACAUCAAUAAUAAUAACAUCAAGAAUUACAUAGAGGCCGUCGCACGUUACACCCACUCCAACAGGAAACUAAUUAAUACCCUCCAAGCUCCUCUGUUUCAAAUCCAAAUCCACUGCUCGACCAUUUACUAUGACGUAAGGUAUAUGGAUUAAUUAACAAGUGCCGAUAUUGUCCUCCAUCCUUUUGUGUACCUUUCUUCUGGCAAGGCCUUUUCUGGAAAGUAUUUGAGCUCCAGACAAUUGCAGAAUUUCAAUUUGCUGAGGUUUUGAUGAUCAGCAAUUGAAGAAGACAGGUGUUAAUAAUUAUGAAGAACUGGUGUAAUUUAUAUCAUGUAGGAAGCCCUUCAGUUACUUUUUUGACCGUGCUCAAGCUCUUUUAAGGGCUAAUAUUAAAAUUUCGUGAUAUUGUGCCAAAAGAGCUUCGUACGUCAUUGUAAACUGUUCAUCGUUAUGUGCUGCUUCCCCAUUUAAUUACAUUUAUUUAACAUUUUAAAGAUGGAAGUAGAAAUUAAAACUCAGUUUUUCAGAUAUGGCUCAUAUACAAUGCAAGUAUCAAGAUUUAAUUAGAGUUCAAUAUACAUGCGUCUAGUUUUUAUUGAGAGAAACAAAUCAUAAAUACUCAGGUGUUUCUAAAUGAUUGAAUAACGAUAUUAUUGUUAUUUAUAAAUUUAUAAGGAUAAAUAACUAAUAGUCCACCAUAAAUACCGAAAAGGGUCCCCAGCAUAACUUGAACAACUUUACUUGUGUUUGCUCAUUGAAUAAUGUUAUAAGAAAGAAAUACAUAUGUCAGAAGAUUCAUAGUAUAUUGGAGUGUUUUUUGUACUUGAAUGAGAAUGAAUGAAGGUAUGUUAAUUUACUUUAAAUAAUUGUCUAAAAGGAAUAGAAAUGCUCUAUAACAUACCAAAUACUACCUUAAUCAAAAUUUAUUUGACAAAAAUUUUUAAAAAAUGGAAUAAUUAACCCUAAUUAAAUAAUUGUCUUAUAUCACCAAACUCUUUUUUUUUUAAUUAAGCCAUCACCAAACUCUGUAAAGCAUAAAAUAUAAUAGGCAAAUUUGAGUUAAAAAAAAAUGAAGUUAGGAAAAUGACUUGCAUAUUGUCUUUGAUGAGCGCAUAAUUUUCUUUUAAAAAAAAUGUUGAAAUGAACUCAAACUCGUUAGUGCAACUUGUCGGUUUUAAGUUGUAGAUACGAGUGACAUGUCAUUUUAGCUGAACUAGAUUCCAGAGCUCACAUUUGGGCAGUGUCAUCCAAGAACAUUAAAACUCACGUGACUAUUGCACGCAUGGUUUAAGCUGAAAUGACGUUGCUAGCAGUCGUUUAAGGAAGGCCUUUAAGUGUCACAUGAGUUGCUCGUGAUAGGAGGUUAAAAGCUGUUGGUUUUGGAGGGAAACCCCUGAAGCUGUUACGCCUGCAUCUUCUGGUAUAUAAACGAGCUGGUUCUGGUGUCAUAGUCAGUAAUCAAGGAAAGAGAGAUAAAGCAUCUGUACUGAGAGAAAAUCUUGACAGGGUGGUCUCUGUAUUGUGUAUAAUUUCUCUAUAACCUUGGAAGCUUAAUAAAACUGCUCUCUGUGUUGGUUUUCUCCAGUGGAUGUAGGCACCCUUCAACAGGUGCUGAACCACUUAAGCUCGGUGUGUUCUUUGUCUUUGGGUUAUGAUCUUUGAUCUGUGCAUUGUUCUUUGUUAACGUAAGAUUAGUUCUUGAAUCUUUGAGUCAGAGUUGGGUCUUGGGGUAAGGUUAAUCUAGUAACUAAAGGUUAAUUUCACAACAAUUGGUAUCAGAGCUCUAAACUCUGAUUUCAAGGUUCAAGAAUGGGUUCAAAAGUGGAUCUUGAGAAGUUUACGGGGCAGAAUGAUUUCAAUAUGUGGAAGAUCAAGAUGGAGGCUUUGUUGAUUACUCAAGAGCUGGGAGAAGCCAUAGAUCCAGUCACUAAGAUUGAAGAAGGUGAGGCUUCAUCAUCUAAGAUCCCAGAACAGGUAGCAGAGAUAGACAAGAAAGCCAGGAGCACAAUCAUACUAAGUCUUGGUGACUCUGUAAUUCGAGAAGUGGCCAAGGAAAGGACUGUUGCUGGUUUAUGGGCUAAGUUGGAGAACUUGUAUAUGACAAAGUCUUUGGCAAAUAGACUUUACAUUAAGAAGAAGAUGUUCUCACUGAAGAUGAUUGAAGGGGCAUCAUUAACAGAACAUGUUGAUGAAUUCAAUAAGGUUUGUGAUGAACUGGAGACUAUAGAUGAAGGGCUGAGUGAUGAGAGCAAAGCCUUGCUACUAAUCAGCUCUUUACCAAAGUCUUACGAGCACUUUGUGGAUGCACUGCUGUAUGAGAGGCAAACACUCUCCCUAGAAGAGGUUAAAUCUGCUCUUGGCACAAAGAAGCUGAAAGAUAAGCAAGAUAAUCCAGAAAGUGAAUCAAGUGAGGGAUUGAUGGCAAGAGGCAGGUCUGAGAAAAGAGAUAACAAUGAAAAAAGCAAGGCAGAUCAAAGUCUAAACAAAAGAAUUUGAAGUGUUUUCAUUGCCAUAAAGAAGGGCAUUUCAAGAGAGAUUGCCCUGAAAGAAAGAACAAGAAUAAAGAAACCAAAGAAAGAACAGGUAAUGCAGCCAUAGCCACAGAAGAAGAAUGUAACUUUGAAACAGCCGGAGUACUCAUUGCCACAAGUCAGAAACCUCAAGGUCAGUGGGUCCUUAACUCAGGUUGUACCUUUCAUAUGUGUCCAAAUAGGAGUUAUUUUACAACAUAUCAGCCAUGUGAUGGGGGUAUGGUUCUAAUGGGUAAUAACUCAAUGUGUAAGGUAGCUGGUAUUGGGACUGUUAGCCUUAGGAUGUUUGAUGGGGUGAUAAGGGAAUUGACACAAGUGAGAUUUGUCCCUGAUCUAAAAAGGAACUUAAUCUCAAUUGGCAUGCUAGAUCAAACAGGUUGUGUAAUUAAGGCUGAGAAAUGUGUAUUGAGGGUAAUUAAAGGAUCAAUGGUGAUCAUGAAAGGCAUAAAACAAAAUGGUCUAUAUGUGAUGGAUGGACAUACUGUUGUUGGGGAGGCAAGUGUGACUGACAGUAAAUGGAACAGAUCAAUGAUGUGGCAUUUAAGGAUGGGGCAUAUGAGUGAAAGAGGUUUGAGAGAGUUACAAAAACAAGGAGUGUUUGGGGAUGAUCAAAUAGGAGCUUUGGGGUUCUGUGAGGAUUGUAUUCUAGGAAAAUCCUCCAGGUUAAGGUUUGAGAUUGCAGCUCAUACCACCAAAGAGAAGCUUGAAUACAUACACUCUGAUUUGUGGGGGCCUGUACAAGUAAACUCACUAGGUGGAUGUAGAUAUUUUCUGACUUUUAUAGAUGAUUUUUCAAGGAUGGUUUGGGUCUUUGCACUCAAAAGCAAAGAUGAGGUUCUGGAAAAAUUCAAAAACUGGAAAACUUUUGUUGAGAACCAGACUGGUCUGAAGGUGAAAACUCUGAGGACAGACAAUGGCUUGGAGUAUUGCAACAAGCUGUUUGAAGAAUUCUGUGAAAAGAAUGGUAUUCAGAGGCACAAAACUGUCACCUACACCCCUUAACAGAAUGGCCUUGCUGAGAGGAUGAAUAGGACUCUGGUGGAGAAGGUGAGAUGCAUGUUAAUCUAUUCUAAGCUCCCAAAAACCCUUUGGGCAGAAGCUUUAAACACAGCAUGCUAUCUAGUCAACAGGAGCCCAUCAACUGCUAUAGAUUGUAAAACACCAAUGGAGCUUUGGUCAGGAAGAAGGGCUGACUAUACAAAACUCUGAAUCUUUGGGUGCACAACAUAUGCUCAUGUGAAGUAGGGUAAGCUGGAACCAAGGGCAUUAAAAUGCAGAUUUCUGGGGUAUCCGGAUGGGGUCAAGGGCUAUAGAUUAUAGUGUGUUGACACAAAACCACCACAGUGCAUCAUAAGCAGGGAUGUAAAAUUCCAUGAAGAAGAGCUAUUGAAUAAACCAAAGAGCUCAGAUAACAAUAUGGAAUCAAGCACUGAGACUGAUAUAGUGAAGUUUCAGGUGGAGCCUCAAAACUUGAAAGAACUUGAGCCUGAAAUUGAAGGUACUGAAGCAGAACCUGAAGCUGGUGUUGAACAUGAAUCAGCUGAAAGUGAAGAGAACACCUAUCAGUUGGCUAGAGACAGAAAGAAAAGGACAAUAAAGCCACCUAAAAGAUAUGCAGUAGUUGACUUGAUUGCAUAUGCUUUGAAUGUUGCUCAAGAGCUGAAUGAUGAUGAACCUAGGACCUAUCAAGAAGCUAUCACAGGCAAAAACAAGCUGGAAUGGAAGAGGGCAAUGGAUGAAGAGAUGACAUCCCUGAUUAAAAACAAGACCUGGACAUUGAUUGAAAAACCAGACAAGAGGAAAACAGCAAGCUGCAAAUGGAUCUUCAAAAUUAAAAAUGGUGUACCUGGAGCUGAACCUAGAAGAUUUAAAGCUAGAUUGGUGGCAAGGGGUUUUACACAGAAGGAGGGAAUUGACUUCACUGAAGUAUUUUCUCCUGUGGUGAGACAUGCUUCCAUCAGAGUUAUUCUUGCACUUGUGGCUGUGCAAGAUAUGCAUCUUGAGCAGAUGGAUGUAAAAACAACAUUUCUGCAUGGUGAGUUACAAAAAGAAAUUGUAAUGCAGCAGCCUGAAGGAUAUGUAGCAUCUGGAAAAGAAGACUAUGUUUGCUUACUUAAGAAGUCUCUGUAUGGGUUGAAGCAGUCACAUAGGCAAUGGUAUCUGAGUUUCAGAUAUUUUUGACAUGUCGGUUUAUAACCUUGAUUGUGCAUGCCCUGUCGGUUGCGUGAUGAAACAGGAGAAUAUUGACAUCUGUGUAUUAUCGUUUACUUCCUGCAAUUAAAUCACAUGUUGUUCAUUCCAUUUACACUAUACGGCACAUUUGGCAGUUGUUUUGGUCACUUAUUGAAGCACGGGUUAAGUACUUGAUUCAAGGUUGUUAACUGACCUUUACAAGGCGGGAAAAUUCUGGGUUUGUUAUAACAAACCCCGGAAUGCAGCUAGUGAGUGGGGACUUUUCUAGACUCUUCAUGAUAUGUAUAUAUAGUCUUAGAGGCUAUAGUUGAGACAUAUGAAAAGCUUCUUAAUGUUUGUAGUUUGAUCUCGGUGAUGGAGAUAAGAUUGCUGCCCUGUUCUUCAGUGGAUAUAGGCUAUCUCCAAGCCGAACCACUUAAAUUGUGCCUCUGUUUUGCUUGAUGACUACCAGUGGUGAGAAAACACCUACAGAACAAAUCAAGCUUGAUGACUCAAAUAUUAGGGAAGCCAUAGUCAAGGUAUCUGGUUUAUGCAUCAACAGUGGUUCGUGGACUAGAAUUCCUAUCUAUUGUCGCUUCACAAUUGCACUGGAAGAAAGCGAAUUUGAUCGAGCUUUGGAUCGCAUAGCUAAAUUCAAAAGCAUCGUACAAAUAGUUAACUAAAAGACGGUAUUGUCAUUUGUCAUGAUUUAUUUCUAUUGCCUGAUGAUGAUACCCAUCACGCCUUAGUUGUCGUGAAUAAAUCUAAAAUCAAAUUGAACUGGUUUUUACUGGUUAGCAACAAUUGUGACGUUUUGAGAUUAUAAUAUAUGACAACACUGAUUAGUGUUGUCUCCCAUGUGAAUUGAGACAAAAAUUAUUUUCCCAAUUGCGCUUUCAUUUGAACAAUUCCACUGUAGAUUUAUAAAAUAAUGAUCAAAUUGUGUUUUAUAUUAAGUUACGAGUAAUUGGUUAAACAUUAAUACAAAACUAUUUUAAGUAACAUGUGGCAUAUUCUAAUUCUAGCCAAGCUUCCAACUAAGAUUCCCAAAUCAAAAGAAUUUCAAUCUUCAGAACAUUCUGCAAAACGUUUAGUCUCUACGCAGUGCUAGAAUUUUCCCUAAGUUUCUAUUGCAAAGACUUCUAAAGAACUAUUCAGAUAUCGAGCUAUAAUCCAGUCUAAAGUGCAUAUAUCUCUCUAAUUCACCUCCCUCCAUUUCACCAGAAAAUCAAUAAACACUUAGCUUCAAACAAACACUCUCAAAAAGCUAGCUAGCUAUCCAGAUGGAAAAACCAAGAAUUCUUGCAAUGACAAUGUUGUUUCUUGUUAUGGCAGCAACAUUGAUAAACAUGGCAUCACAAGCAAUAGCUCUGAUGCCGUACACACAAUCACCUUUCUUUGACAUGAUGUUCCCAAUGACGGAAGAGCCUUUCAGGGUUCUUGAACAAACCCCUUUAACAAUCGCAAAAGGAGCUGAUCAUCAUCAAACUCUAGCCCUGGCGAGAGCAGACUGGAUGGAGACACCAACAGCCCACGUGAUCACGCUCGACAUUCCAGGGAUGAAGAAAGAUAAUAUGAAGAUUGAAGUUGAAGAGAACAGAGUACUGAGAGUGAGUGGGGAGAGGAAGAGUAAUGAUUAUUAUAAGGAGGGAGUUGAAGGAGAGAAAUGGCACAAAGCUGAGAGGACAUUUGGCAAGUUUUGGAGGCAGUUUAGGAUGCCAAUGAGUGUUGACUUGGAACAUGUUAAGGCUCACAUGAAAAAUGGGAUUCUGAGGGUCACAGUGCCAAAGCUUGCUGAGGAGAAGAAGAGGCAGCCUAAGGUUAUUAACAUUGAUGAAGAGUCUGGUAAUUCUUCCAAUGAAGAUAUUAAGGCUACCAAGGCUCAAAUGUAAUUAAUUAAAGAAAGAAGUGAUUGCUUUGCUUGAUGUGCUAUUUGUUUAUGAUCUUUUUUUGGUUUUGUUCCGAGAUGUUUCUAUUUGGAUGCUCUAUUUAAUGUAUGUUGAUGGGUUUUUGAGGAAGGCUUGUAUGUAUUGACAACCAUAAAAUACUUUUUAUAAAUCCUAGUCCUACAACACUAAAAGAAAACAAUACGUUUGGUUUAUAGUUAAUAAAAAUAUAUUUUUUUAAAAAAUUCUUUUUCUUUGGCAUAUAGUAUGCGUUUUGAGGGGAAAAAAAUUUAUCCCACUCCUAAUUUGUCAUCUGUGAUAUUAAUGUGUUAGCACGAAGAUUCAUUGUAAUUGCAACAAUUUUGAUGAAUCCAAACGUUCAAUAACUGUUAAAUUGUAUUUUAUAAAUACUAAUAGCGAAGGUACAGAAACGAUUAAUCCAAGAAGUUGCUUAAAGUGCAUUAAAUUAGGGAGUAUAAAUAAUUGUGUGAUACAGUCCAGCCUUUAUCUGCUUAUAAUUAGCAACCAAAAACCAUUUGCAACGCCAUUAAAAAAACAUUUUAACAUUAUUGCUGAGGGAAGAGGCAGCUUAGGCUUAUUAACUCGUAUUAUUAAUGCUGAUGACGCAGCUGGUAAUCCUUUUGGUGAAUAUAAUAAGGUAGCUGAAGCUUAUAAUUAUUUAAGCCCACUAAAGCUUAAAACUAAUUCUUCUAGUGACGAUGCUUUGCUUAGUUUGCUUUUUGUUUUUAAUUUUUUUGGGGCUAACAUUUUGCUUAUUUUGCUUUUAAAAUUCUAUUCGCGUUGCUGUGAAAUAUUGUUUGUCCUUCCAUUUUCUGUUUUUGUUGUUAUCGGAUUUGAUGAUGGUUUAUAUGUACGAAGAUUAUGUAAUAAAGUCUUUUUCUUUGGCCUUUAUUAUGCAUUUUAAUACGAAAAAAAAUUAUCCCACUCCAAUUCAUGAAGAUAUUCUCAUUUCUGUCAUAUUGAUGUGUUAAUAUAAAGAUCCAUUGCAGUUGGUGAAUUCAAAUAUUCAGUAACUGAUGAAAUUGUAUUUAUAAAUUCAUAGUAAUAGCAAUUGAAGAUUAUAAUUAAUUUUGUAAUAUGGUCAAGCCCUCGUGUGUUUAAUUAGCACUCAAAAACCACUUUACAAUAGUCAUUAAAAGAACAUUAUAACGUCAUUACUGAUGAGUUCUGGUGAAGAUAUUAAGUUAAGGCCACAAAAAUCGAAAUGUACGUGGCUUCGUUUGUUUUUUGUUUUGAUUUUUUUUGGGGGCAAAUGCUUGGCUUCGUUUUUGAUAUUUUAUUGGCUUUAUUGUGUGGCAUGUUCUUGUUUUCUUUUGAUUUUCUGUUUUUGUUUGUUAUGGGAUUUGAUGACGAUGUACAUGUACGAAGAUUAUGUAAUAAAAUGCUUUUGAUAAAUUGUGGUCGGUUUAGUAUUAAUUAACCAAAUUUAAUUUACUUGAUCAAUUGAUAUUUGUUAGUAUUGUUGUUAUACAAGCACAACAAAAGAAGAACACUAACGUACUAAUUAAUUACUAAUAAGAACAUUAACAAUUUUUGCCGAAGUCUGAUGAAGAGAAAUAUUACACAUACGUAACGGUACCGCGGAAGGAAAAAAUAAAAGAAACUGAAGUUUAUUUCAACAGCUACUCUUUCUUUACCUAAAUCCUGCACCUCUCAUACUACCAACAAGAUCGAAAACCUUAUCGAAUACUCCUACAUCCCAGACUCUGCCCAAAUCAGUGAAUCCACAUACCUCCAAUACAGUACCCCGUUGCUAAAAUAAAGCGAGCGUCUUACUCUACCUAACAUUUUUCUUUUUAUUAAUUUAAAACAGUUUUCAACUGAGAUUGGAAUUUUAAAAUUACGUACACAAACAUACCUGAUUUUAAAGAAAAAAAAUUCUAAUAAUAAAAUAUUUUACAUAUGUAACCAUACGGCGGAAGAACAAAUAUAAGAAACUGAAGUUUCAACAGCUGAGAAUGAGAUAAGCAUAAGAAAUUAAUUCAUUAAUUAAUUAAUAGAGUCCUCCUCCUUUGCUAAAUAAUGCGAGCCCAUUGUUCUUUUUAUUUCGAAAACCCAUUAAUCACCAACACAUAAUAUACGCCCAAUUUAAAAAAAAGAAACUAAUAAUAAAAUAUUUCAGUCCCUCUGUUGAGUCGUCCUCUGUGGAGUCGUCAUCAAAAACCCAUUUACUAGCUAUUUCAACAUAAGGUAAAUGGGUUAACAAGGCCCAAUAUUGUCCUCCAUCCUCUCUGCACUUCUCUUCUAUCAACGGACAAUCAUAGAUACUUAAUUUCAAAAGUGAGGAAGGCAGGCCCUUCUCCGGAAAGUAUUUGAGCUUGGGACAAUUCUUGAGAUACAAUGAAGUGAGGUUUUGAAGAUCAACAAUUGAAGAAGAUAGGCGUUCCAAAUUUGGAAAAUUGUAAAUCUCCAGAGACGUUAGAGAGGCAAGAAGAGGAAGCGCAGCCCCUAAUCUUUUGUCCUCUAGUGGAAUUGACACCAUGUCGUCAUCGCAUUCGCUGAUUUUAAAAUGUCGCAGAGAGGAGAAUCUGUGAAAUCCCCGGCCCCGCUCAAUCAUUGACUUCCAAAUCUCCAUAUUACCCCUGAUAUCAAGUGAAUGAAGGUUGGUGGGAAGGCCAUCUUCUUCAAGGCUUGGAAGCUCAACUCCUCUUCCUAUUGUUAAUUCUUGAAGAGAGGUCAGAUUGUGCAAUCCCUUGGGUAAGGCCUCUAGUCCCUUGCACCAACUGAUAUUGAACUUUAUUAGUUUCGCACAAGGCAAUCCCCCUUCGGGAAAGGACACCAGAUUUUUACAUUCCCAUAUUUCGAUCUCUUGAAGCUGGCGGAGAUUAUGUAAACCACUCGGUAAAAUCUUUAGAUUUUUACAAAAAUCAAUUCUGAUUAUUUCAAGCGAUGUGUUGUUGUCCAACCUUUCUGCUAUUGACUCCAGCUUUGAACAACUAAGAACUUCAAGGGACUUAAGAGACGGAGGUAGAUUGCCAACUUCAAGGGACUCAAGCGUGGCAGGUAACUCGUUUUUUGAAAAUAUACAUGUCAGAGAUGGACAUUCGCUAAUAUGCAAGCCCUCGAGAAGAGAUGAGGUGUACCUUCUGCUGCUGCUGCUGCUGCUACUCUGGAUGCCCUCUUCCACUGUCAAAGUCCUUAGAUUAUCACAAUUAUGGAUGUACAACAUCUUAAGGCUCGGUGGUAGCUGGACUCCAGCAAUAUAUGUCAACGAACGGCAACUCAAAAUCUCCAAGAUCUCGAGAGAUGAAUUGGUGUCGCACAUCCAUGCCUCUGGUAACAAUUUCAGUGCAUCACAAGAACUAAUAUGAAUUGUCUUCAACUUGGAAGGCAGAGCAACCUCAGGAAAGGAAACAAGGGAACUGCAUUGGUAGAUUUCUAUCUCUCUCAAGGAGCUAAGGCUGAGCGAUGAUUGUGGCAGCUUCACAAGGUCUUGGCAAUCUCUCAAUUCUAUAUAUUCGAGUCUGCAUGACAACUCGCAGAGCUGCUGUUGUUGGUCUUUCUCUUCCUCCGCCACCAAGGAUUGAAGUUUGGGACAGCUGCCAAUCGUCAAUCUUUUGAGAGAGCAAAUGUCUUGUAGUAAUCCAUCAUGACUCUUCCAUAUAUAUGUUUGCUCUUUUGUCGACAAAAUUAAUUCUUCCAAUUUCUGUAGUUGUGGUUUCAAUGGCCCCACAAGAAACACUUGAUUUGAUGCAUCUCUACAAACCACUGAAUUCUGUGAUCCGAGAUGACCAGUUGCACUUUCCCACACAACCUUUUUGCAUCCACCAAUUUCCAAUUUGCAAAGAGCUGGAAGACUCGAAACUGAAACUAACAAUUCUUCACAUCCUUCAAUAACAAGCAUCUCCAAUGCAGGAAGGUGCUCUGGAAAUGUUCCUUUCAGUUUAGAACAUUUUAAAAUGUGAAGUUCUCUCAAUUUAGGAAACCCUUCAACUCCUUGACUGGAUCCAUGAGGAAUCCAAUCUUCCCAUUCUUGCAUGUUUUCAAAAAGAAGAGUCUUCAAGCAUGGAAAUGGAAUUGGAGAAACAUUCCCAUAGAACUCUGAACCCAACCUCUUUACUCUGCUCAUUCCACAUACUACAAGAUGCUUUAAAGAGGGUAGUUGCCCGACUGACGGCAGGGCAGUACACAUGUCACAAUUUUUAAAUUUUAGGGUCACCAAAUUUGAGAAUGAGGAAUCUCCCAACCAAGUUGGAAAUUUCAUACCUCCAUAGCCUUUGAUACAAAAUUGCUCCAGAUUUGUAUGAGGUUUCAGCAUGUCAAGCAUGCCCAUUUCAGUUUCUGCCUCCCUUGAAGAAGAACCAUCGGUACUGCAAGUCCAUUUAAGCGAUAAUUCUUUCAGAUUCUUCUUUCCAUCCAUUUGAGCUACCAUGGCAUCACCAACGCAUUUUGCAUUCUCCAAUUUUGAAAUGUUAAGUGUCCCAUGAAGGUGCGUCAACAACUUUAGCUCUCGUAACCCGGAACCACUGCCUUUUCCCACAACAAAAUUACACAACGUCUGAAGACUAGUCAACCUACCAAUUCCUAGUGGCAUUUCCUCCAACGACUUCGUAUUUGAAUUCUUAAGAUGAUGCAAUUUGGCGAGGUUUCCCAUGUCUGCACACAACUUCUUCAGCCGAUCACAAUCUUCCAACAAAAGGCUAUGCAAAUUGUAAAGCUUGUUGACUGAGUCAGGCAGAGUUCUAAUCUCAGUUCCAGACAGGUUAAGGUACCUUAAAUACCUCAAAUCACCAACUGAAUCCGGUAGCUCGAAGAUGUGGUAUCCACGCAGAGAGAACGCCCUCAAGCGUUGGGGUUUGAGCAACUUAGGAAGAAUGCUAGGAGCCAAGUAGCCAGGCCCACUAUUUGUCAACAUUACUGGUAAAAAAGUUCUCAAAUGUUGGAUAUCAUACAAGUCCCCGAACCUUUGAACGCCAUCAUAAUCUCCACGAAUGUAUGAUAGGUGACGAAGAUUUCUGGAAAAACAUUGUUGCUUGUUAACCUCCGAGGUAUACUCCAGUGUGAAGUAUGUCUCCCCUGCAGCCCAACGGGCAAGGUCGUUGAUAAGAUCGUGCAUAACAAAUAGUGAUGCAUCGGUGGCCGAUUGCUGCAAAAAAGAUCUUGAACGUAGCUCCUUAAAGAAAUCACGACCUAAAUCUUCACUAGGAUUCUCAUCUUCUUUGUGAUCCAAAAAACCGGAGGCACACCAUAAUAAAAUUAUCUCCUCCUCUUCAAAUUCAUAAUCCUUUGGAAACAAUGAGCAGUAUGCAAAGCAUUGUUUCAAAGUUGGAGGAAGAUAAUAAUAGCUCACUGCAAGGGCUGGUAUAAUGCCACACCUCUUUUCUGAUAAUUCCCAUAUCUUGCUACAGAGCACACGUUCCCACUCACGUCUGUCAUGUUUUCCACGUAAAAGUCCUCCAAGUGUUUGUGCUGCCAAGGGCAAGCCAUCGCAUUUGGUCACUAUCUUCUUGCCGAUUUCCUCCAAUAACUUAUGUGACCCCAAAGAAUGUUGAGCGAAUACAGCCAGACAAUCAUUAUCUGACAACUUUUUUAAUUGAUAAGAUGGAACAGUACCCAUGAUUUCUGCAACCUCUUGAUUGCGAGUAGUGACAAUAAUUUUACUUCCUGGUGCACCAACUUCAAAUGGACGUCUGAGUUGAACCCAAUCAUCGUAAUUCCGGUUCCACACGUCAUCCAAAACAAGCAAAAAUUUCUUUCCAGACAGUUGCUUACUCAGUUCCUUUUGAAGUGAAUUCAAGCUGGGAUCACCCACGUUCUGGCUAGCAACAAUGGAUGUUAAGAUUGUUUUUGUUAGCCUCUUAACGUCGAAAUCAUCAGAGACACAAGUCCAUGCCUUGAGAUCAAAAUGAUCCUGCACUUGCUUAUCAUUGUAGACAAGCUGAGCAAGAGUGGUUUUGCCCAGCCCGCCCAUACCUAUAAUAGGAAUAACAGAGAAUCCACCAUCGUUGCUUAAAUCAUCCCUCAACAGCAGUUCAACAACAUCCUUCUUUUCUGUUUCCCUGCCAUAUACUUUGGCUUCAUCCACCAAAGAGGUUGUCUCUGGCCUUUGACUGGCUUUUUUGGAUCCCCCAGCUGAACUUUCUUUCAAAUCUAGCAAGUUUUUCUUUGUCACAAUUUCUUGAAAUCUGCUGUCGAUCUCUUUGAUUUUGGACAUCAAGUCAUAAUCGAACUGAGUCGAUUGUGGAGUAAAAAUGGUGAAGCAAGUAUGAAUGAACUUCCGAAGCUUACUUGGUCUCGUAUGACUGCUACUGGGUUGAUCAUGAGCAGCAGCUGGUUCUCCAUUUCCAAGCGGCAACCUCCUCCGGAAAGCCUCGGUUUGAAACUCAUCCAACAAGUCUUCAACAUCAUAAGCCAAGUUCUGAAGCUCGCCAAGCCACAAAUUCACAGACGGAGCCGUCCUCCUCUUCUCCUCAGCAUCAUCAAGCACUGCCUUGAUCAUCUCCAACAUAUUCGCCCACCUCAUCAGAUCGGCCUCGAUCUCCUUUUGGCGUGCAAAAAACAGAACCCCCUCUGAAGCUAACUUAUUGACCAGCAAAUCAACGGACGCCGUAAGGAUUGCCUCUCCGAUCAUUGACAUUUUUUUUUCCUUUUUUGGGGCAAAGGAAGAAAGGAGCAGAAUUAUGCGUUAUGGAAAGCAGAAUGAGAAAUUUGAACGGGUGAGAAAAUGGAUAAUUAAGCAGAAUGAGUUUGUGAUUGUGAAGGGUCUGGCCCAACAAGCUUAGUAGAAAUCACGCGUUUAUACUUUAUUGACCAAUGACUAAUAAUUUGCCAAUUCACUCAUCACCACCACUUGGUGAGCAAAAUGAAAAUGCUUAGUAAUUAAACGUGGCAAGUCUCCCCACUUGUUGUUCCUUGCAGCUAAGAAAAGAAAAAACAGAGCCGUAAUUAAUGACAGAAUUUUAAAAAUAAUAAUAAGAGAAAAACCUACACAUUUUCGACUUAGAGUGGAACCGUAAUUAAUGCUAAAAUUUACUCAGCUAAAAUUUUCAAAAUAUUGUUCUUUAUAAUUUUCAAAACCGUAAUUAAGGUUCAUCUCAAAUGUUUGAAGAGACUCUAUCAAUUCUUCUGCGCUAAGAAUAUUAAAAUUCUUAUUUUUUCUUCAAACGUUGAAUAAUGAAAAAAAAUGUUAAAUAUGGAGAAAAAUAGAAUGCAUCCAUCUUUGCUGUAGAAGUCUUCUACUUAUAAAAGCAAGUUAGAAUAAACGAUUUUAAUCUCUCUUUUUAUUCCUGUAAGUGCACUACAUUUUUUUUGUUUUAAUCUCAAUGUGAAGUCGUAUCAUAAUGUUAUGUUAAUGUUAUAUUCUUGUUGGAAAAUGAAAUUUUAGAUAAAACAAAUUCGACUCAUUUGUUGAAGGUAUAUAUUUAGUAGGUUGCUAACAUAAAGUAAAUGAACUAAAAGACAAUACUACCAGCGAUAAUUUAGCAAGUUUCGCAUGCUCGUCUUUCUUGAAAUAUUAUAUGGGAAUGGGAUCAAACAACAGUGAUACAAAGAGAAAAAUGGUAAUCCUCUGAUUGUAUUUUUUUUUUCUUUUUCAAAAGAGAUGGUGGGGUUGGGUUGUUUGCAAAGUUAUUAGUGUGGGUCUAUUUAAAAUGUUAAGAAAUUUUAUGUCCUUUUUUCAAAGUGAAUUUCCAUUUUUCAUUUCUCAUUAAGUAAAACCCACAGCAAAAUUAAAAAGAAAAAACAGAGCCCACUAUAAAUAUAAAAUCGAAGGAGCUCAUAAUUAUACCUUUGCUUUACAUACUAAAUUAAAUAAAAGCCGAACCAAGAAUCUUGCCUUUACUUAACAUGAUUAAUUAGACACUACUUCAGAGAGAAUACGAAAGCAAAGAACCCUUUUGUUAAUCUUAAAUGUUAGGAAAAUAAUUAGCUUGGAAUAAAGCUGCGUUAUUCUCCUCUUACCGUCUCUUCAGGUUCAUUUCAAAAGUUUGAAGAGAUUUUAUCAAUUCUUCUUAUAAAGGCAAGCUAAAUUAAAAGAUUUUAAUCUCUCUUCUUAUUACUAUAAGUGCACUGCUUUUUUUUUAUAAUCAACAAUGUCAAUUUGUAGUGUAAUAUUAUAUUCAUAUUCCUGUUGCGUCGAAAUAAGGUAAAAUGAAAUUUUAAAUCACACAAAUUCGACUCGUUUGUUAAAGGUAUAUAUUUAAUAAGCUAAUAACAUAAUUAACAUAACGCUAUUAUUACACUAAAUGAAAUAAAAGACGGUACCCUCCACCAAUAAUUACAUUAGCAAGCUUCGCAUGCUCGUGUUUCAGGACCUAGACAUUGGCGAAUUAAUCUAGGAUAACGAAACAAUUUCAAAAAGCAAAAUGGAUACUAUACAUUUUCUUUUUUUAAUUGUACAGAAAACGGGACUAAUUUUCAAAUAUUUUUAAAUUCACUUAUUUACAAAAGCUAUACAAAAUGAUUUCCUUUUUAUUUUUGAUGAGCAUAAUUUACAUACAUAUUUUACUAUUUAUUAUAUAAUUACUAGUUAUUUUUAUUUGUUAUUUUAAUUAAUUGAAUUAUUUUAUUUCAUAGGAAAUUAAUUGGAGAUUAUGGAUGAAAAGUGCGUAAAGAAUAACAAUUUGACAGCAUUGAAGAUCAAAUCAAUUUGCGGAAGGAAUUAAGCAAAUGUGCAAGAAAUUCUAUUCGAAGAAACCGAAGCCAAUAAAUUGAAUAUCCAUACUCGUGCAAACAAAGAAGAAGUUUAAAACUAAAGUGGGCAGCACAUUAAAAAAAGCUUUUAAUUAAGUCUUUGAAUGGAAAGUCAAAAUAGAAUAAAGGAAGGAAAUCAAUAGCUUUUGGCUUUUAUUGUUUUCAAUUACGUGGCAGGCUUAGAGCUUUAGCUUGUAAGAGUUGGUUUGGUUAUUAUCACAAUAGGAUUUGGUGGCCAAGCAAUAUAAAAGGGAGUUUUGCUUUUGAAUUAAAGGCUGGACGGAAACAAAAGGGAGGAGAAUUCGGCUUUGAACAGAGAGCAGCGGCAACGGCAAUAUUUCGGCUUCCAUGGCUGAAUUUAUUUCUUUUGUUGCUCACAAUUUAAGUAUGUCUAGCUAAUUUUCUUAUACUGAGGUUAAGGAUGAAACCCUAUUCAAUGAAAUAAUUAUCUUUUUAUUUAUUUAAUUCCCUAUAUAUGUGCUUUAAUGUUUAUGGUUUUUAUUUCACAUGAUUAAUUGGACGUUAUUAAAAUCUUUUCAUCAAUUCUGUCAUGCAUUAUUAAUUGUUAGGAUUAAUAUUCAAUUAAUUCUAUACUUGGAUCUAUAAAGUUUAUACAUGAUUAUCUUUGAUUUUAUGUCUUUCAUUAAAUUAUUUACAUAGAGUGCUUAGGAAAACUUUGACUCUUUGUUAUUUAAUAUGUUUACAUGAGAUGCUUACAUGUCAUACUAUUAAGUAGAAAAAGAACCUACAUUACAUUUAAUUUUAAUUGGGCUUAAUUGUUAUAUUUAUGAGAUGACAUAGAUUGAUUUUGAGUUGUCACUCUAAAAUUAGGGAUUCAUUAAUAUUUGGAUAAUUACAAAUUAAAUAGUGGUGGAUUCCGAAACCUUGAUAAUUUUUAUUUUAUUGAUUUCUCAUUUGCUUUAAUUGUUUUCUUAGUUUAAUAAGUUUAAUUUCUUUUAAAAAUUCAAAUUACUCAACUAAGUUAGGAUUAAUAUUAAUUUUAGAUUUAAAUUAGACUUUUCAAUUUAUAACAAUCCAUGUGGGAUUGACCUCGUUACUACUAUUCUAUUUCUAGAUUCAUGCGCUUGUAAGUAUAUUAAAACUUUCACAACAAUUUUGAAAGGAAUCAAAUAACAGUGAUACAAAGAGCGCAAAGUUGCAAUUCUCUUAUUAUAUUUUUUCUCUUUUUUAAAAGGAGAUAGUGGGGUUUGGUUGGUUGCUAAAUUAUUGGUGUGAGGGUCUAUUUGUUUUUGUUUUCACUUUAUUAAUUAUACCAAGCAAACAUGUAAUCAUUUGUAAAGGGGUCACUAGCAUUGGAUUAUGUAAGAUGAAUUCAUAAGACUUAUUAAUUUCGAUGAAAAUGUAGCGUUAUUAAGUUGUCAAUUCAUUAACUUGAGGUACUAAUAUUUACUAAUUGUGGUGAUUAAUUUAUUUAACUUGUCAUAAUUUUCAAUUGAGAAUGAAGUUCAAUCAAUGUAUGAAAAAAAUAAUUUUUUUAGAUUUUUAAUUCCUAUGAUUUAAUUUCCCCCUGUUUCGAUUAUUGACGUGUUAAAAGCUUGUAGAAUAUCAUGAAAUGCUUGUAUCUCACCUCGCAAAUUGACAAAUAUUGGUUGGUUUCUCCAAAGGCUACCAUAAUGAAUUGAAAGUAAAAACAACAACCAUUGAAAAUUAAUUUUAAAAUCAUUUUUACUUGAAAUUUUUUAAAAGAAAAAUUAAGCAAAUUAGAUUACAGAUAUCAAUCUUAAUAUUUUGUUGAUGAAAAUUAAUUAAUUUAUCUCAGUACUUUCUUAAUUUUGUGUUGUGCACCGCAUUGGUCACUUCUGAUUGUGUUGCAUAUUUGUUAAUUCAAAGAAAUAGAACUUCUUUAUCGAUCAAACUUAUUUUAUUAGUAUUCUUCAUCAUAUGGUUAAUGGCUUAGCCAAUGAAGGAGAAGGGGUCAGCCAAAACAAAUAAAGUACUUUCUCAUGCAUUAACCUUUAUUAAAAAGCUUUAUUAACUGUUGUAGUUAAAAUAAUUUUAAAACAAGUUAAAACAGUUCCAACUCAAAAUCAGUAGGCUGCAAUUGGGUUGUUACACAUAUUUCUAAAUUUCAGUCUAAUUUAAUUGUGUAUGGACAAACUAACUUUAUCACUUCUUUCAUAUUAAUACUCAUAAAUUUCAACCUUUUUUUAUGAUGAUGGACAAUCUAACUUAACAAAAAUAAUGUUCAAAUUAUCACAAAAUGUUCUUUUCUUAAAAAAGAAAAGAAAAUCAUAUAUAGUAGUUAAUUUUUCUUCUUCUGUACUCCAAGAUCCAACUCCGUACUCCACUUGUUCGUUGUUAUUAUACCCAGCCAUUAGAUUUUAAUUACGUUGAUUUAACGGUUUGGAUUCGUAAAUGAAUAACGACGUAAAGUUUGGCUACCAUCUGAACCCACCGCAUCUAAUUGGUUUUGUGAUUUUUUGCUUUCUUCACUGCAACGCUUGACUAGUUCUGGAAAUAUCGACCGCCAUCAACGGCAAAUCUGAACCAUGUAUUAUUUGCGAAUACAUUCAUUAAACUAUUAAACAUUCAGAGAAGAAAGCAAACCGUGGCAGUAUAACAAAAACUGCGAAUGGUCAUUCCCAACACGAACCCCUAUGGUUGUUUUCCUUUUAAUUUUCUUCUUUGAAUUCUCCUUUUAUUAAUCAUUAGAAAAACUCCAUUUUUUUUGUUUUAAAUCAUGUGUUAUUAACAUUUACAUGGUUAAUGUCAUCGAAAUCGAAUGGUUGUUAUCUACGAAAAGAGAAUUGCUAGAAAUUUUGUUAGUCCCAUUGCAACAAUAUAUUGUUAUAAAUUGCAUUGUUUUCCAUAUAACAAAUAUAAUAAAAUCUCAAUAAAUUAAUAGUUUUUGGGACCAUAAAAAAAUUAUUAAAAUUAAACAAAUAUCAAUUAAUCAGUAAAUUAAUAAAUUAUUAAUUUAUGAAAAUAUUCAUUAUUUUGGAAAAACAUGAUCACGCUUUUAAUAUUGAUUUACCUUGAGUUAGUAUCUAUUAGGUUUUAUUUGUCUAUUAGUUUUCUCUUGGGAAGAUUUUUUAAGAGUUAGCUGCUUUAUAUUAACAGUAAUAAAAUUAUUAUUUAACGGUUUUGUUUUUCCAUGCUAAAGACCGAUUAGUCGUCUUCUUCUCCUCAGCAUCAUCAAAACCAGGGUUUUUAACUCCUAAAACGUUUCUUUUUAGAAAUAUAUUACUUUAUUCAUCUAAUAUGUUAUCUAACAAAUAGACACAGAUGAAAUCACUCUAAAGUGAAGAUGAAAGGGGAAAAAAAACAUUCCAACCACCAAUAAUUUAGCAAGCUUCACUUUUAUUCCACCAAAGUGUAAAUAGUGCCAGCCCCCACCACCAUCAAUAAUUUAGCAAGCUUCACACGCUUGUUGUCUUCUCCUUGACGAACUGGACGUGGGUGGACCAAGAAUCAAUGAAAGAAUUUUAAAAAUAAUAAUAAAAGAAAAACAUAAACAUUUUGGACUCGGAGUAGAACCGUAAUUAAUGCUAAAAUUUACUCCGCUAACGUUUUCAAAAUAUUGUUCUUUAUAAUUGUACAGCAAAUAAGACUAAGUUUUGGACAUUUUCAUAUUCACUUACUUUCAAAAGCAGUAUUUCGAAACAUUUUACAGAAUCAAGUAACAGUUAUAUAACGAGAAAAGUGCAAAGUUGUGUAAUUCUAAUGUUUUUUUUUUUUUAUCACAGACACUCAGAUAAUUUUUUAUUUGGGUCGCCAACUCGCCAAUUAACCCAUGAUUGAAUGAGUGUUUAGAAAGAAAAUCAAUAAAAAACAGUUUUUUUUUUGGUCGUCGAAAUAUAGUAAGUGAGAAAGAUUAUUCUGUUUUUUUUGUUAAUUAGGUUAGUAAUUAUGAUUGAGUGACUCAGAACUAUAUUCUAGAUUGAGAAUCAACGGUUCUCCCACACUGAGAGGCUGUAAGUUUAAGAUUGUCGUUUGCUAUUUCAUCGACAAGAGAACACUUGAAUUUAUUAAAAGGAGAAGGCCAUAAAGAUUUUCCUUUAUGAGAAAUGUAUCUGAUCAUUCCUUUUUACUUGAAAAUUUCAUAUAUAAAAACUCAUUAAUAAAUGACAGAAUAUACAUAAAUUAUUAAUUCAUUUGAUAGUUGAUUAUCGAAGGACAUGUGACCCAUGGAAGCAUGCAGUCUAUAAAAUAAUUCUUUUUUUUUUUUAACAAAAAAUUGGUGAUGUUGAAAAGCAAAAUUAUUAUUUCUCUAAUUAGGGUGAACAUUCAUAAAAAGAAUGCCGUAUGAAACUAAAUUAUUAAUUCGUUUGACAUGUGACCCACAAUAAAUAGUUAAAUUUGGCGGCAACAAUAAUUACAAGACGAACUUAAAGCAGCGCAUAGGUUUUUCUUAAAAAUACAUAAACAAUUCGAUAUUUUUUAUUUGACAGUUUUUAAGAAAUGUCAAACAUAUAUGACAUUUUGUGAAAAACUGAGUAAUUGUGAAAUAUAAAUGAUAAUUUAUUUAAACGUCAAAUAAUUGUGACGUUUUAUCAAAUAAGUGAUAAAUAUCUUACAUAUUUAUUGAAUAAUUAUCAUUUACCUUUUCCUUUUAUUGACUCGAGCAAAAAAAACAAAAAAACUGACUAUACUGCUUUUAUUUUCGUUCUUAGAACAGAUUUUAGUUUCUUUUGAGAAAAUUCAAACUCAUUCCCAUUACUUUCUUUUCAAUAAUCACCUCUCAGUUUUUCAUCAAUCACUCAAUUCCGAAUUUCAUCUCCAUUCUCUUUUGAAGAAGAACGCACGAAGAAUUUUAGCUUGCUUUUGCUGCUUCUCGAAUAUUGGGUAUUGUUUCCUUUAAUUUAGAUAAUUGUUUUUUAUAUCUCUCUUUCUAGUUUGAUAAUUUAUGGUUAUACUUGAAUUAAUUGUAUUUUUAAUCAACCAAGGUUGAUUUAAUUGAUUCCAAGUCUCAAUUUCCUGUUCAACAAUUUUCAUACUCAAUUUUGAAAGAAUCAAUGUAUUUUAUCUUUGGUUAGUACACUUCUGUUCAAUUUUUGUUUAUUUAACUUAAGAUAUCUUUUUCUUUCUUUUCUUCAAGCAAAUUAUAGAUUAUAUUGAGAACAGAGUUUUCUCCUUAAUUCCGCCAAGAGCAACGUUGAUUUCAGGUGAUAAUUGAAUGUGUAAUAUUUUCAAUUGAAAUUAAUUGAGUCUCGUGAUAAUAAUAGGGAUUUGAGAUUUACAUCCUGUUGAAAUGAUUUUAGAGUGUUCUGUUAUUUGAAUGCGCAUUAAUUGUUUGAUUAAAUGUCUCUUUAAAAGAUUAUUUUUGUUUUUAGCAAACAUCUUAAUGCACUUUACAAAUUGAAUCCAACAAGGGAAAAUUAUAGAACUGCAGCAGUUUUCAAAUUGAUUGCAUAUUAGAAGUAAUGUUAAUUUAUGCUGCAACAGUUCAAUGGGCUGGGCACAAGUUUAGGACUUCAGUUGCUCAAUUAAUGAAUCCACCACUCAUCAGACUUGGAACUUAUAUCUAUUGAAUCAAUAAAAAUAGUUGAUGGAAUCAAUGCCGAAAGCUUCAUUUGAUAUUUAUUUAUAACAUCUGUUAGAUUCUGGACAAUCACAAAGAUAUAGUAGCAGAAACUAUGUUAGAGACACUAUAGUUGCUUAAUUAGUGAAAUUGUGCUCUCAUUGCCCCCUUUUUUUGGUUGAUUCUAUAAUUUUAUUAGUUGUUCUUGUGGUUGUAAACAAUAUCAAUUUCUAAUAUUAAUAAAACUGAAUGAAUAAAAUGCGAUGCAUUUGCAGGAAAGUUAAUAGUUUAAAUAUGGAUAAAUCUUGGAUGUUGAUGGAUAGAAGGUCUAUAGAAUAUGAGAACAUGGUAAAUGAGUUUCUCAAGUUUGCAGUACUUCAUGCUAGUCAUCUUGAGCUUUUGAGAUGUCCAUGCCAAGCAUGUCUUAGUUUAUAGGCUCAAACAAUUAACAGUAUAGAAAAUGCAUGAUAGAACACAGAACUCAUAUUUUAGCAACAAUCCUCAGCUCACUGGCCCUUAGUUCAGAAUGACAAUUCUUAUUAGCCAAAGGUUCAAAAUGAUUUUUAGUUGUUUAUAAGUAGAGAACUAGAUCAACAAAUAAUUGAAGACCUGCAGCUUGGCUAUUGAACUAUACGAUGAUGCCAAUUCGAAGACUACAACUUGGCUCUGCCAUUCGAAGUAAGCAACGCAGCUGCCCAAAGUCUGCCAAACCAAGAAAAAUAAAGACUUCUCCUUAGCAAUUAAGUUAAUAUAAGGAAUGUUGCAUGUCCACAAAACUAGGUAGACGCAACUGGGACUUCAAUAUAUAUAUAGAUAUAUAUAUAUAUAUAUAAGCAUUUCCUAGAUCAAUAUUAUUCUCAGUAACUGAAUAUUGAAGCUGACCAUCACAUUUAAUAAUAAAUCAAUAUCAGGAAUGUUGUUGAGGAGUAUUUUGAUAUUUACAAAAGUGUUCAAAGUAAAAAUUGAUUUCUUAAAACCCAUUAGCUAGCGCACAUAAUAAUGGGGAGAAAAUUUUAGACUACGAAUAGUCCCACCCAUUUAAUAAUAUUCUUCAAUCAAUUAUGUUUACUUCAAAAAAAAAAAACCAUCUCUUUAUUACUUUCUAACUAUUCAUAUUAAUGUGUUCAUAAUUAUGAAGAACCGGUGUAAUUUAUAUGAUGUAGGAAGCACAUUAGUCAAAAUCAUCAGAAUCUCAAAAUUUCGUGAUGUUGUGCCAAAUAUGCAAACCAAAGCUUCCUACAUUCUUUGUACGUUUGUGUUAGUUACAAGCAAUCACAGUGGUAAACGAAAAAAAACGAAUUAAAACACAUGAGGAGAUUUAAAUGAAAAUGUCUUAAUCAUAUAUCGCAUGUAAGACCUUUUGUACUCAAAACUGAUCAGCACCCAUUCUGCCCGCCGUGUGAUCACAUCUUGAAGGGAGUGUUGCUUCAGCAUUUUUAUCAUUUUUACUAUUUCUAGGAUCCAUUUUGUCACCUCCCUCCCUCCCCCCGGUUUCUAAAAUAAUUAUAUAAUAACCAUAUAAUUAUUGGUUGUUCUAGCAAAUAAAAAAAAUAUAUAUAUAUAUAUAUAUAUUAAUCUUUUAAUAACAUUAUCACUUUGUCAAAAUAAAAAAUCUCCUCAUUAAAUAAUUAUAUUAUAUAUAUUCAUUUAUUUAUCCAAAUAAAAAAGUAUGAAGUCAAAUAGUACACAAUAAUUUAACUAAUUUGAAUUGGUUUAUUUUUAAUGAAACAAAUAACAUUCCUAAAUGCUUCUCUUGAUCCUUAAUUUAUUGAUAAUUUUGUCAAUUUAAGGUCGGCUAUAUAUUGAUUAAAUUACAAGCUUAGACUAUCGAAAGCUGGUUACAGUUAUGGAGGCAGGAAAAAUUUUAUUGUACCAGAAAUUUUUUCUACAACAGUCCAUGCAAAGUAAACAUUUGUAAGGAAAUUGGAGAAUAAUUACAAAGCCAACUAAAUUUUAUGAGAAUCAAUUUGGAGUUUUUGUUAAUCGCCAUUUUGCGUUCAUACAAAGCAAGUGUAGAUACCGGCACAAUAAGCUAAAUGCAAAAUCCAAUGUAGGACAGUGGGGUUGGGACAACGAAAUGGGGAAAUGGGAAUCUAGGUAAUUGCACUGAACCUUAAACUGAGAGUACGGGCACUUAAAAUUUUUAAAGUGUCUAAUAAGUUUCAGCUAAAAAGGAAAUAGGCUGUAAAAUUGCUAAAUUCAUUUUGAUUUCUAAAUUCAUAAAUAACCUUAAAAGUUCUCUGAUACAACUUGUCAAUAAUGGUGAAAAUUCAAUUUCAGAAUGACAAUUCUUAUUAGUGAAAGAAUCAAAAUGAUUUUUAGUUGUUUAUAAAUAGAUCACUAGAUCAACAAAUAAUUGAAGACUGGCUUGGCUAUUGAACCAUACGCGGCAAUUCGAAGACUGAAACUUAACUCUGCCGUUCGAAGUAAGCAACUCAGGUGCCCAAAGGCUGUCAAGCCAUCAAGACAAUACGAAGAUACAACAUCAAUAAUAAUUACAUAUUACACCUACCCCAAUAAGAAAUUAGUUAAUACAGUCCUAGAAAGAAAUUUACAAACCCAUGCUGUAGGAAUAAUUAAUUAAUUUAUACAGUUCGGUACUCAUUCCUCUUCUGUUUCAAAUCCAUAUCCACUGCUCUGCCAUUUAUUACUACGCAAGGUAUAUGGGUUAGCAAGUGCCGACAUUGUCCUCCAUUCUUUAUGUGCCUUUCUUCUAUCAAGGGACAACCCAAGAUCUCUAAUCGCAAGAAAAAUAUUUCAAAGUAAAAAGUGAUUUCUUAAAAUCUAUUAGCUAGUGCACAUAAUAAAAGGCCAUUCAUGGUAAAUUUUAGAUUACAAGUAGUCCCAAUAAUAUUCUGCAAUCAAUUCCGUUUAUUUUAAAAUAAAAGAAAUCCAUCUCUUUAUUACUUUCUAAUUAGUCAUAUUAAUGUGUUAAUAAUUGUGAAGAACCAGCGUAAUUUAUAUGAUGUAGGAAACCCGUUAGGCAAAAUAACCUGAAUUUUUUAAAGUAGGGGCUAGACAUAUUGGGCAUAACCUCAGUUUCUGUUACUUCUUUGACCCUGCCUAAGCUCUUUUAUGGGCUAAUAUCAAAAUUUCGUGAUAUUGUGCCUAAAGAGCUUCCAAUUCAAGGAGCUCCCCUGUUUUUGACUGAAACAUAUGUAAUCCGAAAAAUUUAUAAUUAGAUAAAUCAUUCAAAAUCUCCCUGAAUCUAACCCACAUUUCUAUGGUUUAAUAACAUAUCACAAAGGUGCCUAAUAUAAUGAAAUUAGCACUAGUUCACGAGAUUGCCAUUAUAUAUUACAAGUCUUUUUAUGAUGUAGAUUAGAAGGGAAAAUACGAAGGACAUAUUAUAUAUUAUAUAUGAUUGAAUUUAAUCCAUGAUAAUUAGACAAAAUAACACUAAUCUAGCUAACUAAUCCACCCAUCAUAAUAAUUUGAUUUUCAUUAUUUUAUUGUGUCCAAUCAUGCUAAUUUAAUAAAAAAAAUACAGAACACUUGAGGAUUUAGAUAUUCAACAACUUUGGCCAAGUUUGAAAAAGAUUAGAGCUUCCUUCAUGCUUUGUGUUCUUAUGUUACACAUGAUCAUAUUAUGUUACAUUUGACAGAAAACUGAAAAUUAUUGAAAAAAAAAAAUCUUAGUUAGCACAUGAUCAAAAUGAGAGAUUAAUGCACACACAUCACAACAAUGUUUCAUUCAUUUUGAAUCUAUAUUUACAAAACUUGUAUCCGAUGGUUUACAUUUGUUUAAUCUAACUGCUAUGACAUGUGUACUGUCAAAACGCUACAGCUGCCAUCUCUGUUUGUCCUUGUUGCAUCCUUGAUCUUAUAUUAUCCUGGAGAUUAUUGAAUGUUCUUCUCAUUCUCAUGUGCUCGAGGGUCCUUUCUUGAGACAUUUCAGCAAACACCUGAUUCAUCCUAUUAAACAUUAGCAUCAUUAAUCAGUAAAUGAUGUAAGGUAGCCCUGUUUCGUGAAGUCAACAUAAAUCAGUCACCUUAGAUUUUCUGAGUCUCAGAGCACAAUGGGUGAUGAUUUGAUGAGAAAUAUUAAUAUGCCUUCAUCCCCUGAAUUAGCUAGAGCUGGUUGUCAUUUUCUUCUUUCUUUUGGUACGGUUUUAGAUUUUUAAUCAAUCAGAUUCAGCUGCAUGUUUGCUUUUAGUCCAAACCAAAAUAAGAUAUUAAGUACUUUUGCCAGAAUAGACGCAACCAAAAUUCUAUGGGAUCUGUAGUUCCUAGUUCAUGCAGAAGCGACCGAAUGCUUCCUGCAACUCAGGCAGAUAGAACCUUGGUUGAUUCGUUUUUCUUCAUCUGAAAUUCUACCUAAUGCCUAUCCUCUUAAUUGGUUUAAAUUCUUCUUUUUUUUCUUUGAAUUGUUGAUUUAUAAUGUCUUGUAUGCAACAUUUAUAAUUUCGGAUGAUGAUAAUCUUGUUUAAGAAGAGAUUUCUAGUUACGGCAGCAGCGUUCUUGAUCAUGGCAUCACAAGCACGUGCUCUGGUUUGCUUAGUUUCCUUUUUGUCUCUGAUAUUUUCUUGGCAUUGUGGGAUAUUGUUUCUCUUUUGAUUUUCUGUUUUUGUUUGCUUAGUUUCCUUUUUAUGUCUGAUAUUUUCUUGGCAUUCUUGUUCUCUCUUAUAAUAAAGUGCUUUUGAUAAAUUCGCCUGGUCGGUUUACUUCACUAACCAUUAAUGAGCAAAUCCUCCCAGUGACUCUCAAACUCUUCUACACAAUUAUAAUAAUUUCAGUUUUACAUAUACAAAAAUGAACAGCUCUCAAACAUAUCAUUUGAUAAUGACAAAAACAAUAAUUCACUCCAAUAAAUCUCAUAAUAAAUACAUGAUCUACAUUGCAAGUCUUUUUAGGACGCAUUCAAAGAGAAAACAUAAGGAAUGGCAAUGCAAGAAUAUGGAAUCAGAAUAACAGUGAUACAAAGAGAAAAAAAAAGGGGAUGGUCGGGUUGGGUUGCUUGCAAAAUUAUUGGUGCGGGGGUCUACUUGUUUUUGUGUCACUUUAUUAAUUAAUUACCGAAGCAAACACGUCAUCAUUUGAAAAAGAAUCACUAGCACCAGCUUAUGAAAAAUAAAUUUGUAAGACAUAUUAAUUUGAAAAUAUUUUGGAAUUUCAGUCUAAGUUGAUUUGUCUAAUUAUGUAUGCACAAACUAGCUUGACCACUUCUUUCAUAUUGAUACCUAUAAAUUGCAACCUUAUUUUACGUUGAUGCACAAUCUAACUUAACAAAAAAAAUAUUCAAAUUGUCACAAAAUAUUUUCUUCUUAAUAUAUAUAUAUAUAUAUAUACAUACACACAGUAGUUAAUUUUCCUUAUUCUUCACUCCAGGAUCCAGCUGCAUACCCCUCUUUUUUGUCGUUAUGUUGCUCAACCGUUAGAUUUUAAUAACGUUAAUCUAACGGUUGAGAUUUGUAAAUGAAUAAUGAAGUGGUGUUUGGCUACUAUCUGAAAAUAUCGGCAGCCAUCGACGGCGAAUCUGAACAAAGGCAACAGGAGGUGAUCGUGGUGAAAUUGUUUUUUGGCAUGCGAAUCUAACGACUUUCAAAUACGUUCAUUCAAAUAUUAAAUGCAAUUCAGGCAAAUAGAAACUUGGUUGAUUGAUUGCUUUUCAUGUGAAAUUCUACCUAAGGGCUAUCCUUUUAAUGGUUUGUACUGUCUUAUAUGCAAAUUAAAUUCGGAAUUCGGGUGAUAAUAAUCUUGAUUUAGAACAGAUUAGGUAACAUGUGGCAUUCUACAUUCUUGCAAUGCCAUUUCUUUUUAUGGCAGCACCAUUUUUUAUCAUUGUUUGUGUGGACCUAUUUGCUGAAUUCAAAACUUGGCGUGUUAAAACGGCAUCGUUUUGUCCAUUAAGAUGUUUCAAGUUGUCCCCGGCUGGACAUAUGACUCACUUAAUGAUACCAAAACGGCGAGGCAUGAAGGUGUUUCGGCUAAGGGCUUAAGUUCUGCAUGUGACAAGCACGUGAGAGAAGAAUCAAGUUAGUUAUAAGUUGUUAUACACGUGGCUGGAUCUGGUGCAAUCUGGGGUAAUGAACAGCCGUUAUAUAAGCUGAGCUUUCAGGCAGUUUCAGCAAGAUGUAAAGAGCUUCUAGAGAGAAUGAAGAGAGAGAAAAUGUAUCAUCUUAUUCCUUGUUAGUUUCUCCGUGUGAGCUCUGUAAAAUACUUUGAUUCAUAAAUAAAACUCAUUUUAGUCGAUUCUCCCUUGGAUGUAUGUUCUGCCUCAUUGCACAGCCGAACCACGUAAACAGUGCUGGUUUCUUUUUUUUUCAUUUGUGUCUAUCACUAAAAAGCAGAGCACUUGCUUGAUUGAAUAAUGUCAUAUUACAUCACAUAAACUCUCUCAAUUAUUGAAAAAGAAAAUCGUAAAAGAGAUGUGUUGAAUUGAUAACUGAAAAAAUCUUAAAAAAUCUUCAAAGUUUUCAAUUAUUGAUAACUGAAAAUUAUUGAAAAAAAAAAUCUUAAAAGAGAUGUGUUGAAUUGUGAAAUUAAAACUGAGUUUCAGACAUUUCUGACAUGUCGGUUUAUAUUCUUGAUUGUGCAUGCCCUGUCGGUUGCUUGAUGAAACAGGAGAAUAUUGACAUCUGUGUAUUAUCGUUUACUUCCUGCAAUUAAAUCACAUGUUGUUCACGUGAUUCCAUUUGCUCUAUGCGGCACAUUUGGCAGUCGUUUAGGUCACUUACUGAAGCACGGGUUAAGUACUUGAUUCAAGGUUGUUAACUGACCUUUACAAGGCGGGAAAAACAAACCCGGAAUGCAGCUAGUGAGUGGGGGACUUUUCUAGACUCUUCAUGAUAUGUAUAUAUAGUCUUAGAGGCUAUAGUUGAGACAUAUGAAAAGCUUGUAACUUCUUCUUAAUGUUUGUAGUUUGAUCUCGGUGAUGGAGAUAAGAUUGCUGCCCUGUUCUCCAGGCCGAACCACUUAAAAUGUGCCUCUGUUUUGCUUGAUGACUACCAGUGGUGAGAAAACAGCUACAGAACAAAUCAAGCUUGAUGACUCAAAUAUUAGGGAAGCCAUAGUCAAGGCAUCUGGUUUAUGCAUCAACAGUGGUUCGUGGACUAGAAUUCUUAGCUAUUGCCGCUUCACAAUUGCACUGGAAGAAAGCGAAUUUGAUCGAGCUUUGGAUCGCAUAGCUAAAUUCAAAAGCAUCGUACAAAUAGUUAACUCAAAAACGGUAUUGUCAUUUGUCAUGAUUUAUUUCUAUUGCCUGAUGAUGAUACCCAUCACGCCUUAGUUGUCGUGAAUAAAUCUAAAAUCAAAUUGAACUGGCUUUUACUGGUUAGCAACAUUUGUGACGUUUUGAGAUUAUAAUAUAUGACAACACUGAUUAGUGUUGUCUCCCAUGUGAAUUGAGACAAAAAUUAUUUUCCCAAUUGCGCUUUCAUUUGAACAAUUCCACUGUAGAUUUAUAAAAUAAUGAUCAAAUUGUGUUUUAUAUUAAGUUACGAGUAAUUGGUUAAAUAUUAAUACAAAACUAUUUUAAGUAACAUGUGGCAUAUUCUAAUUCUAGCCAAGCUUCCAACUAAGAUUCCCAAAUCAAAAGAAUUUCAAUCUUCAGAACAUUCUGCAAAACGUUUAGUUUCUACGCAGUGCUAGAAUUUUCCCUAAGUUUCUAUCGCAAAGACUUCUAAAGAACUAUUCAGAUAUCGAGCUAUAAUCCAGUCUAAAGUGUAUAUAUCCCUCUAAUUCACCUCCCUCCAUUUCACCAGAAAAUCAACAAACACUUAGCUUCAAACAAACACUCUAAAAAAGCUAGCUAGCUAUUCAGAUGGCAAAACCAAGAAUUCUUGCAAUGACAAUGUUGUUUCUUGUUAUGGCAGCAACAUUGAUGAACAUGGCAUCGCAAGCAAACGCUCUGAUGUCGUACACACAAUCACCUUUCAGGGUUCUUGAACAAACCCCUUUAACAAUCGCAAAACGAGCUGAUCAUCAUCAAACUCUAGCCCCGGCGAGAACAGACUAGAUGGAGACACCAACAGCCCACGUGAUCACGCUCGACAUUCCAGGGAUGAAGAAAGAUAAUGUAAAGAUUGAAGUUGAAGAGAACAGAGUACUGAGAGUGAGUGGGGAGAGGAAGAGUAAUGAUUAUUACAAGGAGGGAGUUGAAGGAGAGAAAUGGCACAGAGCUGAGAGGACAUUUGGCAAGUUUUGGAGGCAGUUUAGGAUGCAUAUGAGUGCUGACUUGGAUCAUAUUAAGGCUCACAUGGAAAAUGGGAUUCUGAGGGUCACAGUGCCAACGCUUGCUGAGGAGAAGAAGAGGCAGCCUAAGGUUAUUAACAUUGAUGAAGAGUCUGGUAAUUCUUCCAAUGAAGAUAUUAAGGCUACCAAGGCUCAAAUGUAAUUGAUUAAAGAAAGAAGUGAUUGCUUUGCUUGAUGUGCUAUUUGUUUAUGAUCUUUUCUUGGUUUUGUUGUGAGAUGUUUCUAUUUGGAUGCUCUAUUUAAUGUAUUUUGAUGGGUUUUUGAGGAAGGCUUGUAUGUAUUGACAACAAUAAAGUGCUUUUUAUAAAUCCUAGUCCUCCAACACUAAAAGAAAUUAAUACGCUUGGUUUAUAGUUAAUAAAAAUAUAUAUAUUUUUAAAAAAAGUCUUUUUCUUUGGCAUAUAGUAUGCGUUUUGAGGGAAAAAAAAUUAUCCCACUCCUAAUUCGUCCUCUUCUGCGAUAUUAAUGUGUUAACACGAAGAUUCAUUGUAAUUGCAACAAUUUUGACGAAUCCAAACGUUCAAUAACUGUUAAAUUGUAUUUAUAAAUACUAAUAGCGAAGGUACAGAAACGAUUAAUUCACGAAGUUGCUUAAAGUGCAUUAAAUUAGAGAGUAUAAAUAAUUGUGUGAUACAGUCCAGCCUUCAUCUGCUUAUAAUUAGCAACCAAAAACCACUUUGCAACACCAUUAAAAAAACAUUUUAACAUUAUUGCUGAGGGAAGAGGCAGCUUAGGCUUAUUAACUCGUAUUAUUAAUGCUGAUGACGCAGCUGGUAAUCCUUUUGGUGAAUAUAUUAAGGCAGCUGAAGCUUAAAAUUAAUUAAGCCCACUAAAGCUUAAAACUAAUUCUUCUGGUGACGAUACUUUGCUUAGUUCGCUUUUUGUUUUUAAUUUUUUUGGGGCUAACGUUUUGCUUAUUUUGCUUUUAAAAUUCUAUUCGCGUUGCUGUGGAAUAUUGUUUCUCCUUCGAUUUUCUGUUUUUGUUGUUAUCGGAUUUGAUGAUGGUUUAUAUGUACGAAGAUUAUGUAAUAAAGUGCUUUUGUAAAAAUACUAAGGUAAUAUACAUUACACAUUUGUACUCAAUAAGAAAUCAAUUCAUUAAUAUAAGCAUUAAUACCCCUGGUUUAUUGUUAAUGAAAAUUAAAAAAGAAAAAAAAAAGUCUUUUUCUUUGGCCUUUAUUAUGGAUUUUAAGAGGAAAAAAAUUUAUCCCACUCCAAUUCAUGAAGAUAUUCUCUUUUCUGUCAUAAAGAUCCAUUGCAGUUGGUGAAUUCAAAUAUUCAGUAACUGAUGAAAUUGUAUUUAUAAAUUCAUACUAAUAGCAAUUGAAGAUUAUAAUUAAUUUUGUAAUAUGAUCUAGCCCUCGUGUGUUUAAUUAGCACUCAAAAACCACUUUACAUAAAUGAGGUUUCAACAGCUGAGAAAGAGAUAGCCAUUAUACAUUACACAUUUGCACUUAAUAAGAAAUCAAUUCAUUAAUAUAGCCAUUAAUACGCCUGGUUUAUUGUUAAUGAAAAUUAAAAGAGAAAAAAAAAGGUCUUUUUCUUUGGCCUUUAUUAUGCAUUUUAAGAGGAAAAAAAUUUAUCCCACUCCAAUUCAUGAAGAUAUUCUCGUUUCUGUCAUAUUGAUGUGUUAAUAUGAAGAUCCAUUGCAGUUGGUGAAUUCAAAUAUUCAGUAACUGAUGAAAUGGUAUUUAUUUAUAAAUUCAUACUAAUAGCGAUUGAAGAUUAUAAUUAAUUUUGUAAUAUGGUCAAGCCCUCGUGUGUUUAAUUAGCACUCAAAAACCGCAUUACAAUAGGCAUUAAAAGAACAUUAUAACGUCAUUGCUGAUGAGUUCUGGUGAAGAUAUUAAGUUAAGGCCACAAAAAUCGAAAUGUACGUAGCUUCGUUUGUUUUUUGUUUUUGAUUUUUUUUGGGGGGCAAAUGCUUGGCUUCGUUUGCUUUUUCGUUUUUGAUAUUUUAUUGGCUUUAUUGUGUGGCAUGUUCUUGUUUUCUUUUGAUUUUCUGUUUUGGUUGUUAUGGGAUUUGAUGACGAUGUACAUGUACAAAGAUUAUGUAAUAAAAUGCUUUUGAUAAAUUGUGGAACAAAAGAAGAACACUAACGAACUAAUUAAUUACUAAUAAGAACAUUAACAAUUUUUGCCGAAGUCUGAUGAAGAGAAAUAUUACACAUAAGUAACGGUACCGCGGAAGGAAAAAAUAAAAGAAACUAAAGUUUAUUUCAACAGCUAAGAAUGAAAUAGGCAUAAGAAAUUAACCCAUCAAUUAAUUAAUUAAUACAGUCCCCUGCUACUAAAUAAUGCGAGCCCCUUACUGUACUUAACAUUUUUCUUUUUAAUAAUUUAAAACAGUUUUCAACUGAGAUUUGAAUUUUAAAACUACAUACACAAAUACACCUGAUUUUAAAGAAAAAAAAUUUCUAAUAAUAAAAUAUUUUACAUAUAUAACCAUAUGGCGAAAAAAUAAAUAUAAGAAACUGAAGUUUCAACAACUGAGAAUGAGAUAGGCAUAAGAAAUUAAUUCAUUAAUUAAUUAAUAGAGUCCUCCUUUGCUAAGCUAAAUAAUGCGAGCCCAUUGUUCUUUUUAUUUCGAAAACCCAUUAAUCACCAACACAUAAUACACGCCCAACUUUUUUUUUAAAAAAAACCUAAUAAUAAAAUAUUUCAGUCGUCCUCUGUUGAGUCGUCCUCUGUUGAGUCGUCAUAAAAAACCCAUUUACCAGCUAUGACAGCAAGAGGAAUAUGGGUUAACAAGUCCCAAUAUUGUCCUCCAUCCUUUCUGCACUUCUUUUCUAUCAACGGACAAUCCACGAUUCUUAAUUGCAAAAGUGAGGAAGGCAGGCCCUUCUCCGGAAAGUAUUUGAGCUUGGGACAAUGAUAGAGACCCAAGUGAGUGAGGUUUUGAAGAUCAACAAUUGAAGAAGAUAGGCGUUCCAGAUUUGGAAAAUUGUAAAUCCACAGAGAUGUUAGAGAGGCAGGAAGAGGAAGCGCGGUCCCUAAUCUUUUGUCCUCUAGUGGAAAUGACACCAUGUCGUCAUCGCAUCCUAUGAUUUCAAGAUGUCGCAGACAGGAGAAUCUGUGAAAUCCCCGGCCCCGCUCAAUCAUUGACUUCCAAAUCUCCAUAUUACCCUCAAUCCAAAGUGAAUGAAGGUUGAUGGGAAGGCCAUCUUCUUCUUCAAGGCUUGGAAGCUCACCUCCUUUUCCUAUUGUUAAUUGUUGAAGAGAGGUCAGAUUGUGCAAUCCCUUGGGUAAGGCCUCUAGUCUCUUACAAUCAAGUAUCGUCAGCCUCGUGAGUUUCGCACAAGGGAAUGCCCCUUGGGGAAAGGACACUAGAUUUCCACAAUACGCUAUGCUAAUCUCUUGAAGCUGGCGGAGAUUAUGUAAACCACUCGGUAAAAUUUUCAGAUUUCCACAAUUAGAAAUGUCGAUUGUUUCAAGAGAUGUGUUGUUGUCCAACCUUUCUGCUAUUGACUCCAGCUUUGAACAUCCGCGAACAGAAAGGGACUUAAGAGACGGAGGUAGAUUGCCAACUUCAAGGGACUCAAGCGUGGCAGGUAACUCAUUUUUUGAAAAUAUACAUGUCAGUGAUGGACAGCUGUUAAUACGCAACUGCUCAAGAAGAGAUGAGGUGUACCUUCUAUUGCUGCUGCUGCUGCUACACUGGAUGCCCUCUUCCACUGUCAAAGUCCUUAUAUUACUGCAAUUGUUAAUCACCAACUGCUUAAGGCUCGGUGGUAGCUGGACUCCAGCAAUAUAUGUCAACGAAUGGCAAAAGCAAAUCUCCAAGAUCUCGAGAGAUGAAUUGGUGUCGCACAUCCAUGCCUCUGGUAAUGAUUUCAGUGCAUCACAUUCCCUAAUCUCAAUUGUCUUCAACUUGGAAGGCAGAGCAACCUCAGGAAAGGAAACAAGGGAACUGCACUUGUAGAUUUCUAUCUCUCUCAAGGAACUGAGACUGAGAGAUGAUUGUGGCAGCUUCACAAGGCCUUCGCAAUAUCUCAAUCUUAGAUAUUCGAGUCUGCAUGACAACUCGCAGAGCUGCUGUUGUUGGCCUUUCUCUUCCUCCGCCACCAAGGAUUGAAGUUUGGGACACCGUCUAAUCGUCAGUCUUCUGAGAGAGCAAAUGUCUUGCAGUAAUUCGUUAUGACUCUUCCAUAUAUAUGUCUGCUCUUUCAUUUCAUUUAUCUUCAAUUCUUCCAAUUUUGGUAGUCGCGGCUUUAAUGGCCCUGCGAGAAACACUUGAUUUGAUCUAUCUCUACAAACCACUGAAUUCUGUGAGCCGAGAUGAUCAGUUGCACUUCUCCACACAACCUUUUUACAUCCACCACUCUGUAAUUUGCAAAGAGCUGGAAGACUCGAAACUGAAACUGACAAUUCUUCACAUCCUUUAAUAACAAGCUUCUCCAAUGCAGGAAGGCGUUCUGGAAAUGUUCCUUGCAGCUUAGAACAUCUUAAAAUGUGAAGCUCUCUCAAUUUAGGAAACCGUUCAACUCCCUGACUGGAUCCAUGAGGAAUCCAGUCUUCCCAUCCUUGCAUGUCUUCAAAAUGAAGAGUCUCCAAGCAUGGAAAAGGAAUUGGAGUAUCAUUCCCAUAGAACUCUGAACCCAACCUCUUUACACUAGUCAUUCCACAUACUGCAAGAUGCUUUAGAGAGGGUAGUUGCCCGACUGACGGCAGGGUAGGACACAUGCCACAAUAUUCAAAUUUUAAGGUCACCAACUUUGAGAAUGAGGAAUCUCCGAACCAAGUUGGAAAUUUUGCACCUCUAUAGCCGCUGAUACAAAAUUGUUCCAAAUUUUUAUUGGGUUCUAGCAUGUCAAGCACGUCCUUUUCAAUUUCCGCCUCCCUUGAAGACGAGCCAUCGGUACUGAGUGUCCAUCGAAGCAAUAAUUCUCUAAGAUUCUUCUUUCCAUCCAAUUGAGCCUCCUUUGCAUCACCAACGUCUUUUACAUUCUCCAAUUUUGAAAUGUUAAGUGUCCCAUGAAGGUGCGUCAACAACUUUAGCUCUCGUAACCCGGAACCACUGCCUUUUCCCACAACAAAAUUACACAACGUCUGAAGACUAGUCAACCUACCAAUUCCUACUGGCAUUUCCUCCAACGACUUCGUAUUUGAAUUCUUAAGAUGAUGCAAUUUGGCGAGGUUUCCCAUGUCUGCACACAACUUCUUCAGCCGAUCACAAUCUUCCAACAAAAGACUAUGCAAAUUGUAAAGCUUGUUGACUGAUUCAGGCAGAGUUCUAAUCUCAGUUGUAGACAGGUUAAGGUACCUUAAAUACCUCAAAUCACCAAUUGAAUCCGGCAGCUCAGGGAUGCAGUAUCCACGCAAAGAGAAGACCCUCAAGCGUCGGAGUUUGAGCAACUUAGGAAGAAUGCUAGGAGCCAAGAAGCCAGGCGAACUUUUUGUCAACAUUACUGGUAAAAAAGUUCUCAAAUGCUGGAUAUCAUACAAGUCCCCAAACCUUUUACCGCCAUCAAAAUAUUCAGGAAUGUAUGAUAGAUGACGAAGAUUUUCGGAAAAACUUUGCUGCUUGUAAAUUUCUGAGGUAUACUCCAUUGUGAAGUAUAUCUCCCCCGCAGCCCAACGGGCAAGGUCAUUGAUAAGAUCGUGCAUCACAAAUCGUGAUGUAUUGUUGCUUAAUUGCUGGAAAAAAGAUCUUGAACGUAGCUCUUGAAAGAACUUUCGACCUAGAACUUCGUUAGGAUUCCCACUCUCUUUAUGAACCAAGAAACCCGAAGCACUCCAUAAUAAAAUUAUCUCCUCCUCUUCAAAUUCAUAAUCCUUCGGAAACAACGAGCAGUAUGCAAAGCAUUGUUUCAAAAUUGGAGGAAGAUAAUAAUAGCUCACUGCAAGAGCUGGUAUAAUGGGACAUCUAUCUUCUGGUAAUUCCCAUAUCUUGCUACUGAGCACAUCUUCCCACACACCUCUGUCAUGUUCUCCACAUAAAAGUCCUCCCAGUGUUUUUGCUGCCAAGGGAAAGCCAUUGCAUUUGAUCACUAUCUUCUUACCAAUGUCCUCCAAUGACUUGUGUGAACUGAAAUCUCUUGUCCCCAAAGAGUGCUGAGCAAACACAGACAGACAAUCCUCAGUUGACAAGUUUUUCAAUUCAUAAGCUUGAUCCGGCCUCAUGAUUUUUGCAACCUGUUGAUUGCGAGUAGUGACAACAAUCUUACUUCCCUGUGCGCCAGCUUCAAACGGACGGCUCAUGUCAACCCAGUCAUUGUAAUUCUCAUUCCAAACGUCGUCUAAAACGAGCAAAAAUUUCUUUUGAGAUAACUUCUUCUUCAGCUCCUCUUGAAGCAAAUUUAAAUCACUGUCAUCAAUAGUCUGCUUGGUAAUGGAUCUUAGAAUUUUUUUUGUUAGCCCCUUAACGUCGAAAUCCUCAGAGACACAAGUCCAUGCCUUGAGAUCAAAAUGAUCCUGCACUCGCUUAUCAUUGUAGACAAGCUGAGCAAGAGUGGUUUUGCCCAGGCCGCCCAUACCUAUAAUAGGAAUAACAGAGAAUCCACCAUCGUUGCUUAAAUCAUCCCUCAACAGCAGUUCAACAACAUCCUUCUUUUCUGUUUCCCUGCCAUAUACUUUGGCUUCAGUCACUAAAGAGGUUGUCUCCAGCCUUUGACUGGCUUUGUUGGACCCUCCAGCUGAACUUUCUUUCAAAUCUAGCAAGUUUUUCUGUGUCACAAUUUCUUGAAAUCUGCUGUUGAUCUCUUUGAUUUUGGACAUCAAGCCAUAAUCGAACUGAAUCGAUUGUGGAGUAAAAGUGGUGCAGCAAGCAGGAAUGAGCUUCCGAAACUUACUUGUUCUGGCACGACUGCUACUGGGUUGAUCAUGAGCAGCAGCUGGUUCUCCAUUUCCAAGCAGCAACAUCCUCCGGAAAGCCUCAGUUUGAAACUCAUCCAACAAGUCUUCAACAUCAUAAGCCAAGUUCUGAAGCUUGCCAAGCCACUUCUUCACAGACCGAUUAGUUGUCUUCUUCUCCUCAGCAUCAUCAAGCACCGCCUUGAUCAUCUCCAACAUAUUCUCCCACUUCAUUAGAUAGUCUUGGAUCUUCUCUUGGCGUGCAAAAAACAGAAUCCCCUCUGAAGCUAACUUAUUGACCAGCAAAUCAACAGAUGCCGUAAGGAUUGCCUCUCCGAUGAUCGACAUUUUUUUUCUUUUUUUUGGGCAAAGGAAGAAAGGAGCAGAAUUAUGGGUUAUGGAAAGCAGAAUGAGAAUAUUGAACGGGUGAGAAAAUGGAUAAUUAAGCGGAAUGAGUUUGUGAUUGUGAAGGGUCUGGUACAGCAAGCUUAGUAGAAAUCACGCGUUUGUACUUUAUUGACCAAUGACUAAAUAAUUUGGCAAUGCACCCACCACCACCACUUGGUGAGCAAAAUGAAAAAGUUUAAUAAGUGGAGGGGUCCAGCAAAAUACGACGUAAAAUGUGGCAAGUCUCCCCACUUGUUGUUCGUUGCAGCUAAGAAAAGAAAAAACAGAGCCCACCACCCAUUAAUAAUUUAGCAAAUCACCAAUCAUCACAAAAUUCCAUUAGAUAUUCGUCGAUCAAGUAGUUAAUCCAGUGUCUGCUACGUAGAGCCUUCACUUUACAAAUCUUCAACUCAUAAACCAAGUUAAAUCAAGACGUUUCUCUCUCUGUAUAUAUAUUUUUUAACUCCUAAAACGUUUCUUUUUAGAAAUAUUUUACUUUAUUCAUCUAAUAUGUUAUCUAACAAAUAGACACAGAUGAAAUCACUCUAAAGUGAAGAUGAAAGGGGAAAAAAAAAACAUUCAACCACCAAUAAUUUAGCAAGCUUCACUUUUAUUCCACCAAAGUGUAAAUAAAGCCAGCCCCCACCACCAUCGAUAAUUUUGCAAGCUUCACACGCUUGUUGUCUUCUCCUUGACGAACUGGACGGGGUGGACCAAGAAUCAAUGAAAGAAUUUUAAAAAUAAUAAUAAAAGAAAAACAUAAACAUUUUGGACUCAGAGUAGAACCGUAAUUAAUGCUAAAAUUUACUCCGCUAACGUUUUCAAAAUAUUGUUCUUUACAAUUGUACAGCAAAUAAGACUAAGUUUUGGACAUUUUCGUAUUCACUUACUUUCAAAAGCAGUAUUUCGAAACAUUUUACAGAAUCAAGUAACAGUUAUAUAACGAGAAAAGUGCAAAGUUGUGUAAUUCAGAUCAUUUUUUAUUUGGGUCGCCAACUCGCCAAUGAACCCAUGAUUGAAUGAGUGUUUAGAAAGAAAAUCAAUAAAAAACAGUUUUUUUUUUGUCGUUGAAAUAUAGUAAGUGAGAAAGAUUAUUCUGUUUUUUUUGUUAAUUAGGUUAGUAAUUAUGAUUGAGUGACUCAGAACUAUAUUCUAGAUUGAGAAUCAAUGGUUCUCCCACACUGAGAGGCUGUAAGUUUAAGAUUGUCGUUUGCUAUUUCAUCAACAAGAGAACACUUGAAUUUAUUAAAAAGAGAAGGCCAUAAAAGUUUUCUUUUAUGAGAAAUGUAUCUGAUCAUUCCUUUUUACUUGAAAAUUUCAUAUAUAAAAACUCAUUAAUAAAUGACAGAAUAUACAUAAAUUAUUAAUUCAUUUGAUAGUUGAUUAUCGAAGGACAUGUGACCCAUGGGAGCAUGCAGACUAUAAAAUAAUUCUUUUUUUUAUUAAACAAAAAAUCGGUGAUGUUGAAAAGCAAUAUUAAUUCGACUGAUAAUUGGGGUGAACAUUCAUAAAAAGAAUGCCGUAUGAAACUAAAUUAUUAAUUCGUUUGACAUGUGACCCACAAUAAAUAGUUAAAUUUGGCGGCAACAAUAAUUACAAGACGAACUUAAAGCAGCGCAUAGGUUUUUCUUAAAAAUACAUAAACAAUUCGAUAUUUGAAAUUCUAAUAUCUCAAUAAUAUUGAUCAUGAUUCAGUUACCAAUUAGAUCCACUUACAAUUUCUUUUUUUCUUUUUUCUGGUUUCCAAUCUUUACCUAAAGAAAAUAUUUAGUGAUCCCUUUUAUCAACUUGGUUUUAUUGACUUUCUUCCAAUCAUAGAAGUGAAAAGAGAAACAGAGGCCAGCACCAAUCAGUGUUACCAGAUUCUGUAAAGGCAAAAUCAGUGCCCAGCAAAAAGAAGCUAUGUUUUCGUUAUAUGCUGCUUCCUAUUUAGUACAUGCAUAUAAAGAUAUACACGUGCACAUGCAGUACAUCUAUCUAAAAUUUAAAAAACGGAAUUAGAAAUACAGGAUUAAUGGUAGAAAUACAACAGGAAUAAAAGUGAAAUAAGCAGAAUGAGUUUGUGAUUCUGUCUAGCAAGCCUAGAAAUCAAGCAAAACCCACCAUAAAAGCGAAAAGCAAAACGGAGCCCACCACAAAUAUAAAAUCAGAGGAGCACAGAAUUUAAAAAAAAAACAAAAGAAAAGAAAAAGCCAAGCCAAGAAUCAUAUGCCUUUGCUUUACAUAUUAAAUUAACAUAAAAGCCAAGCGAGGAAUCCUGCCUUUGCUUGAUAUUUGACAAGAUUAAUUGGACAUUACACAUUAUUUCACAGAGAAUAAAACUUGUAUAGAACCAAACCCAUCAAACCCUUUCUUUAUCUUAAAUGUCAGAAAUAUAAUUAGCUUGGAAUAAAGCUAUACUCUUCUCCCUUUUCCAUUGCUACAGGUUCAUAUAGGCAUAUCAUAUGGAUUUUGUUUUAUGCUAGGUAAUUAUUAAUUUAUAUAAUAAUAUAUUUCCCUCAAAAUAUACUACUUGAAUUUGAAAUAAUUUUUUAAAAUAAUUUAAUAUCACAAUAAUAGUCAUGAUUCAAUUCGGUUUAGUUUAAUUUUUUUAGAGAAAAAAUUUGAGAAAAUAGACAAAUAAUGAAGACGCAAUUGAAGCACAACCAAUAAACAGGGUAAAGUGAAUUGCGUCCUGUCCUUGAGCACUCAAUUCUCUUCAAUCUCAAAUUUAUACGUACAUUUUUGUAAAUUCAUGUCAUAUACUAGAGUCUUUUGGGUUCUGUUAUAUCAAUUGUUUCGUGUUUAUCUUGUUUUAUUAAUUUAUGGAGCAAGAUUGCUAGUAGCGAUAAACCUGGAAUAAAACGAUUUAUUUAUUUUAUAUAUAUUUUGCGUUGUUAUCAGCAAAAAAUAUGAUGGGUUUCGUUUGUAACAACUAGCUAAUUGCUUAAUACAUUUUUGUACUUCUCGUCGUGAAGUCACGAGGAACUUGUAAAUAAGAUCAUAGACGUGGUACGAUGUGACGUGAUAAAUUUAAAUCAAAUCUAAACUAAGAUGGUUCAUAUAUAGUUAAAUCAAAUCUAAACUAAGAUGGUUCAUAUAUAGUUACAUACUGAAUAAAGAUAUUUAAACAUAAGCAUUCAAUUUUAUGAUAUACCUAAUAGUCAUUGGCUUAUAGUUAUUAAAGGAACUGAAUAGAAAUAGACGAAGAAAGUGAAAAAGAUGAAUUAGCGCACAUGAUGAUUUCUCAGAUAAAAAGUUAAAUUUAUAUUCUUUUUUUUAAUAAGUGUGAGAUGAUUUACACCCUAAAAUUUAUUUUGAGCACUCAUAUUUUUAUUACAAAAAACCCUAUAAUUCAAUUUACUGGUAUGGACAAUUCAAUAAAAGUAAAUAGAACAAUAAUACUUUCGACACCAUCAGGCUAUAGCGCGCACGCACGCACCCACAUAAAAAUGAUACAAAUUUAAAAGCAUAUUUAACAAGUUGGCUAUAGGCAACAAUAAUACUUUCGACACCAUCAGGCUAUAGCGCGCGCGCACCCACAUAAAAGUGCUUAAUACAGUGAAAUUAACGUUCAGCUCACGAAGUCGCCAUUAUAUUUAUUGAAAAAGAGAUUAGUACAAGACAUUGAAAAUUAAUUGACAUUGGAUUAGUUGUUAAUUAUGAUCUUGGUCUUUUAAUUAUCAUCUAGCCAACACAGGUCCACUAGUUUCAUUUGUGUCAAUCACUGAAAAGUAGAGCUUGAUUGAACAGCGCAUAUUACAUCACAUAAACUCACUCAAUUUUCAUUGCCAUACGUGUAGCUCAAAAGUACAUAUUAUAUCAGUGAACAUGGAACAUUCAGCUAACCUACACUAAUUAAUACAUACGACCAUCAGUUAAUAGUACCCAGCAACAUCCAUCCAUUAGAGUGGAACUCCCAGUGAUUUCGUACGUACAAAAGACAAUAUUUGACAAUCACAAAAACAAAAACAAUUUACUCCAAUAAACAACAUAACAAAUACAUGGUUGAUAUUGCAAGUUUUUUUUUUAUGAUUUUAGUUAAAACAGAAAGUAUGAAGGACAUAUUUAUAUAUAAUAGAAUGUUAUAUAUAAUGUUAUCCUUGAUAAUUAGAUAAAAUAAGACUAAUCUACCUAACUAAUCCAAUCAUCAUACUAAUCCAAUUUUCAAUAUUUAAUUAUGUCCAGUCACGCUAAUUUAAUAAAGAACACUGAACACUUGAAUAUUUAUAUAUUCAACAACAUUGGCCAUGGUUGAAAAAGACCAUAGCUGCAUCUAUGCUUUGUGUUGUAAAUUAGGACAUGAUCAUAUAAAUAUUGAUUGUUUCAAAUUAGAUUAUACAAAGAUGAAAAAAUGCUAAUCUAGAAAAUUCAAUCAUAAUAAUUUGAUUUCCAUUAUAUUAAUUAUGUUCAAUCAAGCUAGUUUAAUAAAGAACACUCGAGCAUUUAUAUAUACUCAACUUAUGAAAUUUAAUUACAAAACAAUCUUUAACAAAGUCUGAUGAAAAGAUCAUAUUAUAGGUACAAAGUUAGACUUCCCAAUCAAGCAACUAUCCAUCAAAUUGUGUGUUGUGUUACCGUUGAGCUCUUAUGUUAAUUACGGCCAGACCGCGCUUUGGCUAACAGUGAGACAUAUGCGGACAUAAGAUCUGCAAAUGAGGUGCUGCGAACGAGCGAUGUACUGUUUUUAUGCGACAUGCUAUGUACUCUGUUUUUAUGGUCUUUCUUUUUGUGGUUGUUGGACUAACUGUAAUGUGAAUUUCUAUCUAAUGAACAUCCUAAUCCUUUGAGUUAUUUUGGGAUUGUUGAUUUAUAUAUAAUGUUUAGUAUCCAAAAUUCAGAUGAUGAUAAUCUUCGCAGUAGUUUUGUCAAGUUUUCUUUUGUGUUGGUUUUGGUAUUUUAAUUUUGUACGUACCUAAUGUUAAGGUCAAUAGGGACCUAAUUUAAAAACUAUUAUAAUUUUACAUAUAUAGAUACAAAUUCAUGUUUAAGAAUCCUUUUAAUCAACCAUUCCAGUGUUUUAUAUUGAGUAAUUGGUUCAAUAUUAAUACAAACUAUUUUAAGUAACAUGUGGCAAAUUCUAGUGAGCUCCAACUCCGACGAUCGAUUUAUUUUUUUCUUUUUUUUAGGACAAAGAAAGAAACCAAAUUACGAGCUUGUGAAAAGCAGAAUGAGAAAAGUGAGUAAGCAGAGUUUGUGAUUGUGUCUAGUAAGCCUAGAAAUCAAGCAAAACCCACUAUAAAUAUAAAAUCAGAGGAGCACAGAAAUUCUAAGGAAAAAAAAAAGGAAAAAGCCAAGCCAAGAAUCAUAUGCCUUUGCUUUACAUAUUAAAUUAAAAUAAAAGCCAAGCCUGGAAUCCUGCCUUUGCUUGAUAUUUGACAAGAUUAAUUGGACAUUACACAGAGAAUAAAACUUGUAAAGAACCAAACCCAUCAAACCCUUUCUUUAUCUUAAAUGUCAGGAAUAUAAUUAGCUUGGAAUACAGUUAUACUCUUCUCCUUUCUCCAUUGGUACAGGUUAAUCUCAACUGUUUGAAGAGAGUCUAUCAAUUCUUCUUAGCUAAGAAUAUAAAAAAUGUAUAAACUUAACAGCUAAUGACAUAAUUAACAUAACACAAUUAUUACACUAAAUGAAAGAAAAGAAUUUAACAAGCUUCCGCACAGUCUUGUUUCAGGCUGGACAUUGGUGAAUUGACCAAAAGAUCAAUAAAAGAAUCUCAAAAAACCAAAUGGAAAUGGGACUAAUUUUCAGAUUUUUUCAAAUUACACUUAUUUACAAAAGCAAUACAAAAUGAUUUCCUUUUCAAAUUACACAUAUUUACUAAUAGUGGUGAUUAAUUUAUUUAGCUUGUCAUAGUUUUCAAUUAAGAAUGAAGUUCAAUCAAUUUAUUUGGGGGGGGCGGGGGGGGGCAAAGAUAUUUUUUAUUUUUUUGGGGCAAAAAAAAACAUAAUUUUAUUUUUUUUUCUUUUAGAUUUUAAUUCCUAGGAUCUAAUUUCACUAUGUUUCGAUUAUUGAUGUUGCUGAAGAGGGCAGUACAAGCUUGCUGAAAGUCAUCAAAUGCUUGCAUCUCAUCUCACAAAUUGGGCAAAUAUCGGUUGGUUUCUCUACGGUUUGCCAUCAUGAAUUGAAAGUGACAACAACCACCAACUUAAAAAUAAUUUCAAGUAUCUUUUUUACUUGAAAUCCUUGAAAAGAAAAAUUAAUCAGAUUGAAUUAUACAUAUAUGUUUGAGGGAAAGAUAGGAAAGGUAAUAGAGCGCCACGUGUCUGCCAAUGGAAUGAUAUCAGCACAAUCGGAGGUACCCUGCAUAAUCCGAGGUGCCCGACAUGACUUGAGGUACCCCGUAUAAAUAGAGGUACCCUGCACAAUUAGAGGUAUCCCACACAAAUAGAGGUACCCCAUACAAAUAGAGGUACCCCAUACAGAUAGGGGUACCCUGUGUAAUAGGGGUACCCUGCGUAAUAGGGGGUACCCCAUGUAAUUCGAGGUACCAGGCAAAGCGGAUGCAAGAGAAUCCACCGAAAAUACCCGCCAUGAGAAACGUCUCCGCCUCCUAAAAGAUAUCAUUUGAUUUUUUCAGAAUUAGGAAUCAAAAGCGACGUGCUAAAAGGAGGGACAGCCGCCUGCUACCUCUGCCAAAAGUGAAGGACACUGUCCCAAGGACAGUGGUCCCUAGCCGCCUACCUGACAGCUACUGCAGAGGUACCCUGGACCACUCUCCAGCGCGCGCCACGUUUCCAAAAGAUGAGAUACGCCGCGAAUAUGCAAAUAACGGCCCAAAAAUAAUUAUAAAGAGGUAAAAGGACGUUAGCCAAAAAGGGUACGCCACGUGGCAGCUGAGGUACUCCAUAUAUAAAGGUGCCUAGAUUUCAUUCUCCAGGAUGCUCUCAUUCGCCCAAAAAUACUCACACUCCAAAAAAGAGGUUUUCUUCAACCUUAAACCCUAAUUUACAGAGGGCUAGCUAGCUCUCUUUGCCAUAAAAGCUUGAGUUUGCUAACUUGAGCGUCGGAGUGUGAACGCCGAGGUACCCCGGCUUCACCUCUAACCUCCAUUUCACUGUUUUGCAGGCGUGAAGCUCAUUUUGAAGGACACCUCUCUUGUUUCUGACCUUCCACCAUUGUUACCACUCUCUCUCCCCUUCUCACCUCCCACGAAUUUCAGAUACACCGCACCGCGCACAACAAACCAGUGAGGUACCCCAUCUCCCCUCAAAAUAACAAAUUUAUUGUUCUAGAUUGGUUUGGUUUUUCUUACCCCAAAAUCAGUUGAAAACAAUAUACAUAAAUUCGAUACCAGUUGAAAAUGUGAGUAUGAUUAAUUAAUAAGAGAGAACAAGAAUUGAUCAUGUCCCAAAACAGAGAAAACUAGAUUGUGCAAACUUGCGUGCGCAUAUCAUAUGUUAAUCUUAAUAUUUUGUUGCUGAAAAUUAAUUAAUUAGUUCCACUACUCCCUUUCUUAAUUUUGUGUUAUGUACCCCAUUGGCAACUUCUGAAAUAUGUUGCAUAUUUGUUAAUUCAAAGAAAUAGAACUUUUGUAUCAAUCAGACUUUACUUUAUUAACAUUCUUCAUCAUUAUGAUUAAUGGCUUAGCAAAUGUAGGAGGAGGGUCAGCCAAAAUAAAUAAAGUACUUUCUCAUGCAUUAACCUUUAUUAAAAGGCCUUAUUAAUUGUUGCAGUUAAAAAAAAAANNNNNNNNNNNNNNNNNNNNNNNNNNNNNNNNNNNNNNNNNNNNNNNNNNNNNNNNNNNNNNNNNNNNNNNNNNNNNNNNNNNNNNNNNNNNNNNNNNNNUACUCUAUUUUUUUGUCGUUAUUCAGCCGAGCCGUUAGAUUUUACUUACGUUGAUCUAACAGUUGGGAUUUGUAAAUGAAUAACGAAGUGGCGUUUGGCUACCGUCUGAACCCACAACGUCUAGUUGGUUUUGUGAUUUUUUACUAUCUUCUCUGUAACGCUUGACUAGUUCUGGAAUUGUCGACCGCUAUCGACAGCAAAUCUGAAGCAUGCAUUAUUUUUGGGCAUCGAUUUUUCUUCUUUGAAUCUGAUAUUCAUUUCUUUUCUGUGGCAAUAAUAUCAUAAACUAAUAUUUCCUAUUUUAUUACGAAGGUUUAAAGUUCACCUUUCACACUAAUGUCAUUCAGUUCUUGAAUUCUUGAUAGGUUAAAGUUUUUGUGAAGCGCUAAUCAAAUAUGUCAUACAUCAAAAUGCAGGUCUUGCAUUUCAAUCGUUGAAUACUGCCCCUUCUCUUACUAAUUUUCAAAUUCGUACUAUCUUAUAAUUGGAUCAUCGAUAUUUUAAGCGCCAGACCUUAAUAAAACUAAAAUUGUCCUUAAUAUUAAUAAUAUUAAUCACUUAUAUAAUAUUGGCUUAAAUUUUUUAGUAGAUAAUUAAAUUAACUUUUACUAAUUUACUAACAACCCCUUAAAUUAAUUAUGUAGUUCGCGACCUAUUUUCCUCAUAAAUAAGAGUAGAUGAUUAAAGCCUCCUUUAGUCGAUGGGCCAUAAUCAUUUGAAAUUUGCGUUGCUUUUUCUAUGUAGGACUAAGAGAUGUACCUCAAUUCUUUUGAACGCAUGUAAAGUAAAUUCAUAAGCUUCGAAGAAGUAAAUUAGUCAAACUAAUCAAAACAUCCAUUAAGCUGGUCAGAGGAUCAGACCGCUCUCUAUCCACCCUUAUCACCGCCUGGUCCAAACUCAUUUUUCUUUGAAAAUAGACAAAUAAUAAAGCCACUACAAGUUAAGCAGAUCAAAUAAACAGAGGAAAUAGCUGAUCAAUUCUUUGUGCAAUGGCCACAGCAACAACAAAAAUAUGUCUACAUGACUACAUUAAUCCGACUGGCGUGGUACCAUCGCCAUGCAGCAUUACAGCAACAUUUGAUCAUCUAUCAAUUUUCAUGAUAUGAGAUUAGAAACAUUGAGUUUAUAAUUUUAUGUAAUUUCAUAGAAAAGAUAUAAUUGAUUUGAGUUAGUUUAACAUAUAAGGAAGGAGUAAUGAGGAAUGAUAUCGCUGUGGCAUGUGCUGAGUAAAGAUAGACAACAAAUAUUGAUCAUGUAAUAGUGAAAUAUGUAUUUAUAGAAAAAUAUUUGGCAAUAAAAUGAUGCUAUAAGAAUUUAAUAUUAGUUGCAAGAAAAUAAAUUGACAAUUAAAUUAAUAGAUAUAUAUGCAAUGCUUCGAGUUUAUCUUAUCAAUUUGAUAACCAUUUUGUAACUACAUAUUAAUUAGAAGUUCAAUUAAUUUUGACCAAAGACUCCAGAGAAUGUGGAGAAGAGAUUUGAUUUUGGUAUUAAUAAAAAUAGAAAUGAAAUAAGUCAAAAACAAUUACAAGAACAACAAUAAAAGCAUAUUUUAUAAAAGCCACAAAUACAUAAUAUAAAUUUGAUUUUGAAUUACGCAAUUACUAAUUUAUAUAGUAAGAGGGUCUUAUAGAAAAAUAGGAAUUUUUUAAAAGAGAUUUGUUAAAGGAAAAAGUUUAGUUUGGUCUAGUUCGUGAAGGCUCAAGUAAUUGAAUGCAAUGCAAGUGAAAGAAACACAAACUUCUAAUUUUUACGAAGUAAUCGCUAAAAUAUUUGACAAGUUUGAGAUUUUAAAAAGGCUGGGAAAAUAGACCAAUAAUAAAGACCCUACAAGUUAGCAUAACAAAUAAACAGAUGAAAACAGGGUAGAUAUUUACCAUUAUACAUAGAUAUAUAACGAAUGUUGCGAAUUUUUUAUAAUAGAGAACAUAACUCAUGGUUUAGCAAUAAUCAUCGGCUCACUGGCCGUUAGUUCAGAACGACAAUUCUUAUUAGUCAAAGAAUCAAAAUGAUUUUUAGUUGUUUAUAAGUAGAGCACUAGAUCAACAAAUAAUUGAAGACUUGCUUUUGCUAUUGAACCAUGGGAUGGCAAUUCGAAGACUAGAGCUUAAGUCUGCCAUUCGAAGUAAGCAACUCAGCUGCCCAAAGACUGCCAAGCCACCAAGACAAUGCGAAGAUACGACAUCAAGAAUUACAUACAGGCCAUCUCAUAUUACAUCUCUCCUCUGUUUUAAGAGAGAUUUACGAACCCACGCACUAGGAGUAAUUCAUUAAUCUAUACAGUUCAGUACUCAUUCCUCCUCUAUUUCGAAUCCAAACCAUUUAUUAUGACGCAAGGUACAUGGGUUAGCAGGUGCCGAUAUUGUCCUCCAUCCUUUUGUAUACGUUUCUUCUAUCGGAACAAUUUACAAUUAAAUAAAUCAUUCAAAAUCUCCUUUAGUCGAACCCCCAUUUAUAUGGUUUAAUUAAAUAUCACAAAGUUGCCUAAUACAGAGAAAUUAACAAAUUCAGCCCAUGAGAGUGCCGUUUUAAUGCAAGAAAUUGAAAGUUAAUUAACACUGGAUUAUGUUGGAUUGUUACUUGUUAAUUACGAUGGGAAUAUAAUCUUGGUCCUUUUAUUAUCAUCUAGCCAACCCAUGCGCAAUAGCUUCAUUUGUGUUUGUCACUAAAGAGUAAAGUUGCUUGAUUGAACGGUAUCAUAUGACAGAAACUCAAAACUCUAUCAUUGUCCGAGUAUACCAUGCCACAUAUGUAGCUCAAAGGUACAAUAACAUUGAACAUUCAGCUAGCUAGCUCAUACUAAUUAAUUUAUAGGAUUGUUAGUUCUUUAUGAUUAACUAAAAGUGAAAAAAAAUUGACAAUCACGAAAACAAUAACAAUUCACUCCCAUAAAUAACAAAAUAAAUGCAUAGUCUAUAUUGCAAGUCUUUUUAUGAUUUUAAUUAAAAGAGAAACUACGAAGGACAUAUUAUAUAUAAUUGAAUGUUCUCCUUGAUAAUUAGACAAAAUAACAUCAAUCUGGCUAGCUAAUCUGAUCAUCAUAAUAAUUCGAUUUUCAAUAUUUAAUUAUGUCCAAUCAUGCUAAUUUAAUAAAGAACACUAAAAACUUGAGUAUUUAUAUUUUCAACAACUUUGGCUAAGUUAAAAAAAAAAUAUUAGAGCUGCAUUUAUGCUUUCUGUUAUUAAGUAGGCCAUGAACAUAUUAUGUUGCAUUUGUUUGAAAAUUAUUGAAAAAAAAUCUUAAAAGAGGUGUGUUGAAUUGUGAGCCGGAAACUGAGUUGUACACGUUUCUGAGAUGUCGGUUUACAGCCCUGAUUGUGCAUGCCCUGUCGGUUUCUGGAUAAAACAAAAGAAUAUUGACAUCUAUGUAUUGUCGUUUACUUCCUGUAAGUAAAUCACAUGUUCUUCACGUGAUUUCACUUACUCUAUACGGCACAUUUGGCAGUCAUUUUGGUCACUUACCGAAGCGCGAGUUAGUACUUGAUUCAAGGUUGUUAACUGACCUUUACAAGGUGGGAAAAUUCUGGGUUUGUUAAUGUAGCUGGUGAGUGCGGGACCUUUCUAUAUUCUUCAUGAUCUGUAUAUAUAGUCUUAGAGGCUAUAUUUGAGACAUAUGAAAAGCUUGUAACUUCUUGGUGAUGGAGAUAAGAUUGCUACCUUGUUCUUCAGUGGAUAAGAUCGUCCAAGCCGAACCACUUAAAUUGUGCCUCUGUUUUGCUUGUUUCUGUUCUUAUUCUUGGGAGGUGUGUGAUUUGCUAGCAAUUAGAGAGUUUAGUGAGAUCUUUCUGGUUUUAGGUUGAGUUUAAUGGAUCAAGAAUCAACAAGAUGUAAUGAAAACAAAAUGAGAGAAUAAUGCACACACAUCACAGCAAUGCUUCAUUCAUUUUGAAUCUAUAUAUACAAAAUUUGUAUCGGAUGGUUUACGUUUGUUUAAUCCAAUGGCUAUAACAUGUGUACCAUCAAAAGCUACAGUAGCCGUCUUUGUUUGUCCUCGUGGCAUCCUUGAUCUUAUAUUAUCCUGGUGGUUCUUGAAAGUUCUUCUCAUUCCCAAGUGCUGAGUUGCUUGCUGAGAUGAUGAAUACUUGAUGGUCCUUCCUUGAGACAUUUGAUGAGAAAUGAUGUAAUCAAUAUAGAUCUAUUUUGAAAAAUCAAUAUAAAUCAAUCCCCUUAGAUUCUCUUUGUCUCGUAGCACAAUGGGUGGUGAUUUGAUGAGAAAUAUUAGUAUGCAUGCAUCCCCUGCAUUCGUAAGAGCUGCUCGUCUUUUUCUUCUUUCUUUUGGGUACUUUUUUAUUUUCAUUCAGUCAAAUUCAGUUGCAAUCAGAUAUUAAGUAUAUUUGCCAGAAUGGAUGCAACAAAAAUUCUAUCUGAUCUGUAGUUCAUGAAAAGCGGCCGAAUGCUUCCGGCAAUUCAAGCAGAUAGAAGCUUGGUUGAUUGAUUGCUCUUCAUGUGAAAUUCUACCUAAUGGCUAUACUUUUAAUGGUUUAAAUUCUUCUUUUUUUCUUUUAAUUGUUGAUUUAUACUGUCUUGUUUGCAAAUUAAAUUCGAAAUUUCGGAUGAUGAUAAUCUUGAUUUAGAACAGAUUAGGUAACAUGUGGCAUUCUACAAUCUUGCAAUGCCAUUUCUUGUUAUGGCAGCAGCAUUUUUUUCUCAAUUGUUUGUGUGGACUAAUUUUCUGAAUUCAAAACUUGGCGUAUUAAAACGGCAUCGUUUUGUCUAUUAAGAUUUUUCAACUGUUCAUGAAUGUGUUUUUGCUAAGGACAGCCUAAGUUUUAAGUUCUGCACGUGACAAGCACGUGAGAGAAGAAUCAAGUUAGUUAUAAGUUGUUAUACACGUGGCUGGAUCUGGUGCAAUCUGGUGUUAUGAACAGCCGUUAUAUAAGCUGAGCUUUUCAGGCAGUUUCAGCAAGAUGUAAAGAGCUUUCUAGAGAGAAUGAAGAGAGAGAGAAACUAUCAUCUUAUUCCUUGUUAGUUUCUCCGUGUGAUCUCUGUAAAAUUACUUUGAAUCAUAAAUAAAACUCAUUUUGGUCGAUUCUCCCUUGGAUGUAAGUUGUGCCUAAUUGCACAGCUGAACCACGUAAACAGUGCUGGUUUCUGCGUGUGAUUGUUUGUUAAUCUUGCUUAUUUCUUGUUUCCUAAUGGCUGAAAUCUUGCUUUAAGUUCUCAACUCAUCUAUUGAGUUCAUCGAGGUCAUUCAAUUGUUCAUAUGUAGCUAGUUUGAUCUUGAACAAGGUCUUGGGCAGUGUUUUGAUAGCUUGAUUAGCGGCUAUCUUGACAGUACAAUUGGUAUCAGAACUAGUUCUUCAGAUCAAGAUCCAAGUAUGGCUACAUCAAAGAUUGAUCUUGAGCUUGUAGACUCAGUGAUAAGGGAAGUGGCAAAAGAAUCCACGCUUGCUGACUUAUGGGCUAAGUUGGAGAGUAUGUACAUGAGAAAAUCCCUUGCUAACAGAUUGUACAUAAAGAAGGGGAUGUUUACCUUAAAGAUGAUUGAAGGCUCAUCUCUUGAUGAUCAUAUUGAUGGGUUCAACAAAGUCUGUGACACUUUGAAAAGCAUUGAUGCAGAAUUAAAUGAUGAAGAUAAAGCCUUGCUAUUAAUGAGCUCUCUUCCCAAAGUCCUAUGAGCAUUUUGUUGAUGGCUUGAUGUGUGCAUAUAUGCAUAUCAUAAAUUUUAUUUUAUGAUCGCGGCUAAUCCGACGACUUUCGAGUACAUUCAUUCAAAUAUUAAACGUACCAAGUCUACAGAUUUACGUUUUGCCAUUUGUGGCAGGAUAGCAAAAAUUACAAAUGGUCAUUCCCAGCACGAACACCUAUGGCUCUUUUCCUUUAAUUUUCUUCUUAGAAUUUUCCUUUGAUUAAUCAUUAGAAAAACUGCUUUCUUUUUUUUUUUCUUUUUUUAAACAUGUGCCGUUAACAUUUACAUGGUUAAUCUCAUCGAAAUCAAAUGGUUGUUAUUCCCAUUGCAACCAUAUAUUGUUAUAAAUUGCAUUGUUUCCUAUAACAAAUAUAAUAAAAUCUCAAUAAAUUAAUAGUUCUGGGACCAAUGAAAAAUUAGUUAAAAUUUAACGAAUAUCAAUUAGUCGAUAAGUUAAUAAAUUAUUAAUUUAUGAAAAUAUUCAUUAUUUUGGGAAAAAAAUGAUUACGUUUAUAGUAUUGAUUUACCUUGAGUUAGAAGCUAUUACGUUUUAUUUGAAUAGUAGUUUUCUUUUAAGAAGAUUUUUUAAUUAUAAAGACUAUUGUAUGAUUUUUAUUUUUCCAUGUUAGAGAUGAUAGUUCUGCUAUACAAGCUGUUUCGAUCAAAGGAUUAGAUGAUAUUGACAUUGAAUAAUUUUUUGUUGCAAAAUGACAACACCAAUUAGAAUUUCUUUUCGCAUUACAAAAGUAAAAAAUGAAAUCCAAUUCUAAAUUAAUUUACAAAGAAAUAAACUAUGCUGAGAAUAUAUUUUACACAAGCCAUAUAGACAUAUCAUAUGGAUUUUAUUUUAUACUAGGUAAUUAUUAAUCUAUGUAGUAAUAUAUUUCCUUCAAAAUGUACUAUUUGAUUUUGAAAUUAUUUUUUAAAAAUUUAAUAUCACAAUAAUAGUCAUGAUUCCAUCGGUUUGAGGUUUUUUUCUUUUUUUUGUUUAAGAAAAAAGAUGGGAAAAUAGCCAAAUGAUGAAAACACAAGCUAAGCAGAGCCAAUAAAUAGUGGAAAGUGAAUUACUGUCCUUGAACACGUUCUCUAAUAAUCUCAAUAUUCUACAUACAUUUUUGUAAAUUCGUGUCGCAUACAAAAGUCUUAUGGGUUUUGUUGCAUCAAUUCUUUGGUGAUUUAUCUUGUUUUAUUAUUUUACGACGCAAGAGUCCUCGAAGCAAUACAUUUGGAAUAAAACGAUUUAAUUUAUUUUUUGUUGUUAUUAACAAAAACUAUAUAUUAUUAAUUAAUCAACUCAUCGAGAUAUUGGUUUCAUUUGUAACAAGUAGCUAAUUGCUUAGUACAUUGUUGUACUUACUCGUUAUCAUAUCAAGAAGAACUUGUAAAUAAGAACAUAGACGUGGUACGCUGUGAUGUGAUAAAUUUAAUUCAAAUCUAAAUUAAGAGAUGAUUCAUAUAUAUAGGUACAUACCGAACAAAGAUAUUCAAACAUAAGCACUCCAUUUUAUGAUAUACCUAAUGAUAAUCGGUUUAUUGUCCAUAGGAAAUUGAGUGAAUAGAAACAGAUGUAGAAAGUCAAAAAGACGAAAAAGCGCACAUGACGAUUUAUAAAAUAAUAAAUUAAAUUUAUAUCGUUUUUAAUAAGUGUGAGAUUAUUUGCAUUUUAAAAUUUAUUUUGAAUGCUCUUAUUUUUUAUUACAAAACCUCAUAAUUCAAUUUACUAUUAAGAACAAUUCAAUAUAAAUAAAUAGAACAAUAAUACCUUUGACACCCACCUAGAGCGCACACACCCAUGUAAAAUUAUUAAACCUUAAACCGAAGAACGUUCUUCCUCAACAUUAAAACUCGUGCAUUAUUUAAAAGUAUAUUUAACAAAUUUUCACAAAGAGACUCCAUGAUUCUAAUUUCUUUGACUUACAUUUCAAUUUUUGUGGAAUAUAUAUCUAUUCCAUAUUAAGAGAUUCUGAAUUUUUCACUCGGCUGUCAAGGAGAUUGCACUGAAUAAACAACAGCAGAAAAACAAAUAAAAAACCUGAUACACAUGUAGAAUAUACUCAUUAAAUUUUAAUUUUCGGCACAAUUAUGAGCUGCAUAUUUACACACACACACAAAUAACUGUUCUGCAAAUAUGUACAAAGCAAUUUCAGCCAUCCAACUUUUUUUGGAAUUUUAAUGAAUAUAAAUUUUAUAAGUUGGACAACUAUGAAACAUAAAAUUAGCAAAAUGAUAUUAUUAACAAAUAAGGAGAGGAAAAGGUAAUUAUAUCUUGGUGUGCUAAAUAUUUUUAUGGGUGUAGUGAAAAAACUAAAGAUAAUGGAAGAAAUGUUAUUGAGGAGUAUUUUGAUAUUUACAAAAGUGUUCAAAGUGAAAAGUGAUUUCCUAAAAUCUAUUAACUAGUGCGCAUAAUAGAAGGGCAUUUUGAGAAAAUUUUAGAUUACAAAUAGUCCCAUCCUUUUAAUAAUAUUCUUCAAUCAAUCUGUUUAUUUCAAAAUAAAAAAUCCAUCUCAUUUUUACUUUCUAAUUAGUCAUAUUAAUGUGUUAAUAAUUACGAAGAACCAGUAUUAUUUGUAUGAUGUAGGAAGCCCUUUCGACACAAUAACCCAAAUUUCUAAGAGUAGCGGCUGGACUUGAUUGGGAACAACCUCGAUUCAGUUUAAAAGGUUAAUCUCAAAAUUUCGUGAUAUUGUGCCUAAACAGCUUCCUGCAUCCGUAUAACAGUUUCCAAAACUUAAUGAGUCCAAAUAUCCAAUGGUGAUGACACAUACGCAUGGAAGUCCCCUGAUUUGAGUUUGACUAAAAUAAUCUGAAUAAUUUAAAACAACACAUCAGGCCAAAGUCCUUAAGAGAUGAACUGGAUUUCGGUGCAUCACAUUCCGAAAUUGAUACUAACCUUAAUUGGGAAGGCAGAACAGCCUCUCUUUCCUACUAUUGCACAAAAUGGCAAGUCAAGCCAAUGCAAGGAACUUCCCUGUUUUUUUACUGAAAAAUACAUAAUCUGAACAAUUUGUAAUCAAAUAAAUCAUUCAAAAUAUCCUUUAAUCGAACCCCCGUUUCUAUGGUUUAAUAAAAUAUCACAAAGGUGCCUAAUACAGUGGAAUUAACACUCAGCUCAUGGGAUUGAAAUUAUAUAUAUUGAAACAGAAAUUAAUACAAGAAAUUGAAAAUUAGUUGACACUAGAUCACGUUGGAUCGUUAGUUGUUAAUUAUGAUGGAAAUAUAAUCUUGGUCUCUUAAUUAUCAUCUAGCUAACGCAUGUGCACUAGUUUCAAUUGUGUCUAUCACUGUAAACAGUAGAGUUGCUUGGUUGAAUAGUAUCAUAUUACAUCACAGAAACUCACUCAAUUUUCAUUGCCAUAUGUAUCUCAAAAGUGCAUGAACAUUGAACAUUCAGCUAACUUAUACCCAACAACAUCCAUCAGUCAAAGUGAAAACCCAAUUGAUUUCAUAAAUACAAAAGAGCAAGUUUCACACAUGCAUGCAUGUGUCUGACCAACACAACAUGGCUUGUGGCAAGGAUCAAUCAAAGAAAUAUAAACUUACAAUUUUAUAAAUGUUAAGUAGAUAAGAGCACCAGCUCGGCCAUGUCGUCAUCCCCACGCUGAGGUGGACCACCUCAGCCGAGUGGUACGAGCCGAACACUGGUAAUGAGCCUUCUACAAAUGGGCCGACCAGAGACGAGUACCAGCCAGAAGAGUAUACCGAUCAGAGACAUAUACCGAGCCGGUGCCCAUCCCCCAAAGAGCGGGAACACGAUCUCACAGAAUCACGCCAGUUGCGCUUUUCCCAGAACCGUUGAGGGAGACGCGAGAUCCCACGUUUGCCCACAAUGUAGCAGUUAGAAUCCCAUGAGGGGCUGCCACUACCCGAAAAAAGGGGACGGAGGGUGAAUGAAAACGUGGGACAGCGGCUAUAAAAGGGGAAGAAAUCGAUGAAGAAAAGGACAGAAAAAAGGAGAGAGGGGAAAACUCUGCCAAAUUGUAUCCAGACCCUUUUUUAGUACCAAUAGUGAGUCAAUUCUAGGCAAUUAUUUGAACCUUAAUUGCACCGUUUUCCCGUAAAUACUUUGUGCUAACUUAGGCAUCGGAGGGUUUACGCCGGCAAAACCACCGGCGUCUCUGACCCAUUUUUGUGAACGCAGGCUUAGUGAGAAAAAGAAGGAGAAGUCUAACUCUAGCAACUAGAGCGAUCGUUGAAGCAAGGAGAAAUUGACAUCCUCAUUGCUGAUAUUACAAACGUUGGUGUAAAGAUCUGGUCGGGCAUAGGACGAGCAGAUUUCGGCAUCAACAAUAAAGUAAGCAUCAAAAUGUUUGAGAAGUUUUAGAUUUGUAGAAUAUUGGGAAAACAGACAAAUAAUCAAUGAAGAAACUGCAAGUUAAGCAGAUCAAUUAAACAGAGGAAAUAACUGAUCAAUUCUUUGUGCAAUGGCCACAGCAAAUGUGAGGUUAUAAGUUGCUGAUGUGUUGGGCUUAAAUCCAAGAUUCGAAGAGUUCUGUGUGAAGACUGACUUCAGUUGGAGGGGUCUUAUUGUAAAUUUUAUGCUGAUGUGGCAGAGUUCGUUGAGAAUUCGUUAUGCCUUUUCCAGAAAUAUCAGAAUAAAAGGCGCUGGUGAUUAGCCCCUGAUCUGAGAUCAAUAUCUUCUUCAUUUCUUGUUCAUUUUGUUGGAAAUUUGGUUCUCUGUGAUCCUUGUAAUUGCCUCUUCGUAAUCAACCUGUAUCUCGAUUGUUAUGAUCAACAAAAGAGCAGUUUUUUCCUUCAUUGACUUGUGUACUUGAAACAGUGCUCUGUGUUCUAUUCUUGGAAUUGCUUUCGUGUUUGGUUGAUCUGGUUUGAUUCUUUCAAGUCCGAUUCAUCAAGUUCUUCACGAACUAACUUGUGUAGCCAUUAAAGUUUCAACAGCAACAGAUUAAAUCUGUCUACAAGGCUACAUUAAUCCUAAUGGCGUGGUACUAUCUUCAUGCAACAUUACAUUAACAUUUCAUCAUCAAUCAAUUUUGAAGAUAUGAUAUUAAAAACAUUGACUUCAUAAUUUUAUGUAAUUUCAUAUAAAAGAUGUAAUUGAUUUUGAGUUAGUUUAACAUAUAAAGAAAAAGUAAUAAGGAUUGAUAUCAAUGUGGCGUGUGAUGAGUAAUAAUAGACAGUAAAUAUUAAUCAUGCAAUAAUGAAACAUGUAUUUAUAGAAAAAUAUUUGGCAAUAAAAUGAUGCUAUAAAGUUUAAUAUUAGUUGCAAGAAAAAAAAAUUGGCAAUUAAGAUUAACAGAUACAUGUGCAAUGUUUCGAAACAUGUAUUUAUAGAAAAAAAAAAUUUCUUGCCAAUUAAGAUUAACAGAUUCAUAUGCAAUUAAGAUUAACAGAUACAUAUACAUAUGCUUCGAAACAUGUAUUUAUAGAAAAACAUUUGGCAAUAAAAUGAUGCUAUAAAGUUUAAUAUUAGUUGCAAGAAAAAAAAUUGCCCAUUAAGAUUAACAGAUACAUAUGCAAUGCUUCGAGUUUAUUUUAUCACUUCGGUAACGAUUUUGUAACUACAUAUUGAUUAGAAGUUCAAUUAAUUUUGACAAAAAACUCUGGAGAAAGUCGAAAAGAGAUUUGAUUUUUGUAUACAAAAAAAAAGUAAGAAAUGAAAAAGCCAAAAUCAAUUACAAGGACAACAAUGAAAGCAUAUUUUAUAAAAGGCACAGAUACAUAAUAUAAAUUUAGUUUUGAAUUACGUAAUUAUUAAUUUAUAUGGUAAGAGAGUCUUAUAGAAAAAUAGGAAUUUUUAAAAUAGAUUUGCUAAAGGAAAAAGUUUGGUAUAUUUUGUGAAGGCUCAAGUAAUUGAAAGCAAUACAAGUGAAGGAAACAUAAACUUCUAACUUUUACAAAGUAAUCGCUAAAAUAUUUGACAAGUUUGAGAUUUUAAAAAGGCCAGAAAAAUAGACAAUAAUGAAGACCCUACAAAUUGGCAGAACAAAUAAACAGAGGAAAACGGAGCAAAUAUUUACAUAUAUAUAUAUAUAUAUUUUCCAAAACCAAUGUUGCGAUUUCUUUUUGUAGAGCAAGUGAAUCCAAACACAAGCCAGAAUAAACGACAGCGUUUAGAGCAAGGGUUAAGAUUCGUUAUGAAGCCACGUGAGUAAGCUCGUGAUCUCCAUAAGUAAAACGACGCUCAGCCUUGCGUUUUGCUCAUAACAGACUUAACAGAGUUGCUCGUGCCAGUCACGUGUUCAUUUAAACUCUUCUGAAUCGGUUUAACGGCUGGACACGUGGGAAGCAGCUUUGCGUUCUGGGUUCGAAGUUUGUUAUUCUUCUGUUAUAUAAGCUCGUUGUAGUGUGAUUUCGAGGGUAUUCUAGAGUGUUGUUCAGUUAAGAGGAAGGUGAUCCUUGUGCUCUGUAAACUCAUCUCUGGAUACUUUGUUUUUUCUUGUUCACGAAUCAAUAAAAGCAAGCUGAACCACAUUAUCUCUGUGAUUUUGUCUCUGAUUCAUCUCUUUCUUUCUUCUUGAUUCUAUUUCUUGGAAGUUUAAGUCUGGUUUGUUGAAUAUUGAGUUGAUUCAGAUUCGGUUCUGUGCUUGUGCAUCUUGUGUUGGUCUCAUUCAAGAUCUUGGGCAGAGUCUUUGGUUUGACAAGUUAAUUAGAUCGUCCAAAGCUCUACGUUUUUUUUUUUUUUAACAAAAAAGAAGCACAGUCUGCUAUUAAUACUGUAGCAUGUUAGCUACUAUGAAAGCUCGUGUCUAAUUACCAAAUAAAUUCCACUUUAACAAAGAAUAGAAGCUAAUUUUAUUUUUUUCUUUUUGUUAUUGAAGUUACCUCGCAAACUGCUCGGAAGCUUAUUACAAAAUUUCCUUUUACUCUAGGAUCUCUUGAAUGGUCCUGCAAUUUGUAUUCUUUUAUGUGGGAUUGGUUUUUUCUUUAAACAAAACUUCACGGAUCAGAAACCUUACCCAUCGAAUACCAACUUUGAAAUUUAUUAUUAUUCAAACUUAGAAAACUGCAGAAACAAAGUGCCUUUAAACAAAUUUCAAGGAUAAGACAAAAUUAAAUAAGUUAAUUUCAUUGUUACUACAGAAACAAAGUGCCCUCAUAGCACCAGUUAAGCUGUGUCUUGCUACCAUGCUGGUUCUAUUUUUAGUUUAUUAAAUAUAUACAAAAUUAAAUCACCUGAGCCUCUAGUUUCACUAGUUUCCAACUUGAAAUUAAAACGCGAAAUUAAUGGUAUUGGAGUUCGUUAUUUAAUUUUGCUUUGGUUCAUGGGGAAUCAGAUGGCCAUCCAAUUUUAUGUCUAUUUUAUGUACUAUUGGCCACUAAGUAGCUUGCUUAUAUAUGUGUAUUGGGAUGUCAUAGGCCUUAAAGCUGAAAAUCAAUCCCCAAUCUAAAGUGAAAAACAGUAGCUAGAACAGAUUCUAUGUUUUGAUGUCUUUGUUUAUAAGCUCAAACAAAUUAGUAGUGUAUAGAAAAUGCAUGAUAGAACCCAAAACUCAUAUUGAUUUUUAGUUUCGAAAUUCAUUUCAGAAAAUCUGUUCCGUUCAACAGAUUUAACUAAAUUAUCAACUAAACUCUAGCCAUGUACUUGCUUAUCUAUGGGUAGAGCACUAGGUCAACAAAGGAGUCCAUCUUUAAGGCCUUGUCUAAGACUGUGGUUGCCUUUUUCAUGAGCUUCUGGCUUUCCAGCUUGCUGAGCGACGUACACAUAAAGAGGUUAUCCUUCUCUUUUUUUCUUUGUUUUCAUAUCACAGAAUCCAUUUUUGAAUAUAUGUAUUUAGGUACACACACACAUGAAUAUAUAUGCAUGUUUUUAUGAGGAUAUUCAAGUAUAUUAUUUGACAAUCACAAAAACAACGAUCCACUCCAAUAAAUCUCAUAACAAAUACAUGCUCUAUCUUUUUAGGACUAAUUCAAAGAGAAAAUACGAAGGACACAUAAUUGAAUUUUGUCCAUGAUAAAGAACUCUAAACAAAUUCAUAAACUUAUUGCAGUACCUGUUAAAAAUUCAUUUGUUUCUUCUUUUCCUUUGAUCAACAGCUAAAUACAGCCUUGAAAUUUCAUUUAGUUUUGGUUAAUUUUCUGUGGAGUUGUGUUGUGUGUAAUAGUUUUGUUUCACGAAAUCGGUAGGGGAAGAGAAUUUUUAAAAGCAUAUCAAUGUAAUGAUCAAAGAGACGAAAUCAAUACAAAUAUUGAUUGUCUCAAGUUAGAUUAUACAAAGAAGAAAGAAGCUAAUCUAGCAAUUCAAUCAUAAUAAUUUGAUUUCCAUUAUAUUAAUUAUGUGCAAUCAUGCUAUUUUAAUAAAGAACACUCGAGCAUUUAUAAAUAGUCAACUUAUGAAAUUAAUUACAAAACAAUCUUUCGCAGAGUUUGAUGAAAAGACUGUGUAUUGUGUUAUCUUGAGGUCUUAUAUCAAUUAAAGCCAGGCUGCGCUUUGGCUGACAGCGAGAUAUAUCCAAACAUAAGUGCUGCGAAUGAACUGGGAAGACGGUAGGAAGAUUAAGCUGCUGAGGAGAAGAUAUAUGCAAAAGAAAUAAAGCUAAUCUGUUUUUAUGUAACAAGCUAUGUACUCUGCUUUUAUGGUCUUUCUCUUUGCGGUUGUUAGACAAACUUGAACGUAAGUUUCUAUCUUAUGUGUGUCCUAAUCCUUUUAGAUAGCUUGAGAUUGUUGAUUUAUAUAUGACGUUUGGUAUCCAAAAUUCAGAUGAUGAUAAUCUUGGCAGUACUUUUAUAAAAUUUUCUUUUGUGUUGGUGUUGACUUAAUAAAAUAUUACAAAGGUGCCUAAUAUAGUGAAAUUAACAUGAGCUCAUGAGAUUGCCGUUAGAUAUAUUGAAAAAGAAAUUAAUGCAAGAAACUGAAAAUUAAUUGAUACUAGAUCAGGUUGGAUAGUUAGUUGUUAAUUAUUGUUAAGUGUGAACCAGAAUUCAGUGUGCAGGGCAAACAACAAUGUCGACCAUCAGACUUGGCAGAAGACUACAUGUCCAAUAAAAGCUGAUCAGGGCUGUACGACAACCUUCCCAUGUCAAUCAGAAUUCGUAAAGUAAUGCACGUGUGUAACACGUGAUCUCCUAAUAACAUAUUAACUGAAACGGCAACUUUUUUUUUUGAAAAGGCUGAAACGGCAACUUACUACUGUCGUUUUGGGAUAUAUAUGUUACGCACACGCUCAGCACAAGGGGGAUUGGUUACCAGUUAAAAGAAGCGGGAAAAUUCUGGGGUUAACUACUUAACUGUAACAAACCCAGAAUGAUUUGCAGGCUUCUGAGAUAGGUUUCUAGGAGCUUCAAAGCUUGUAUAAAAAGGGUCCUGAUGACUGAAGUUGAGAGUGGUUUUUUCCUUGUAAUCUCUGAAAAGGCUUGAGCCUUGUUUCCUGCAUUAAUAAAUAAUCAUAGCCCUGUUUCUCAAAGAGGAUGUAGGCUGUAAUGGCUGAACCUCUAUAAAUCCUUUCUGUGUUUUUUCUUUCUCUGUUGUGUGUUUCUAUUCUUGUUUUAGAUUGUAUUGAUUCCUAAUAAAACUGUUAAUCAUUCUUCAUACUGAAUUUUAUUAAAUCUCUUCUUCUCUUUUGAAUAAAAUUUCUUUAAAAUUCAAUUCAUAAAAAAGAAAAUCUCCUUAUAAUUUAAUAUGUUUCAGUUGUCUCAGUGGAAUGAUGCUAUUUGUUUCAAUCAAAGUUUUGAAGCAUCCUAAAAUUUUGAGAUCCAAAUGAAAAUAAAUUAAUUUAAUUCGUGGUGUACUCUAAAUUUUCAGCUAUAAAAAAAUAGCGAAAUUGAAGUGCACUUGGGCAAGAAGAAACAGAGACUGCGAUUAUACAAUUUCAGUGUUUGACUCUAUCGGCAAAAAAAGAAAAUAAAAAAGAACUCCCAUUGUUCCAUUGUUUUUCCCAUAAAUAAUAAUAUACAGAGAAUUUUGUUUAACGAGAGAUAUAAUAGGUAUUUAGGUGAGUUUAUAGCGUAAAUUUUAAAAUUUUAAAAUUUAAUAAUGGAUUUAAUAAGUAAUUGGGUUCAAAUAGUAUUUUAGUGGUUUUAAAUAGCCCCACCCUUUUUAUUUUUAAAAAAGAUUUAAUUACAAAAAUAUUACUUCCAAUCGACAGCAUUUUAUAUUUUAUUUUAUUAAAUAUUAUUUUAUUUUUGAAUUACUAAUAAUGCACAAAACGGCAUCAUUUAUUGAUAUUUUUAAAUUGUUUAAGAUUUGUUUAAUUAGAAAAUUUCCAUUGUUGAUAUUUAAAUAAUUUUAAAAAAUAAAAUAAUAAAAUUGGUGUCGUUUAGUUUUGUUAAAUAUACUAAGGGCUCGUUUGGUAUGCCGGAUUGGAUUGGAUCAGAUUGGAUAAGAUAAAAUUGGAUUGGAUAAUAAUGGAUUAUAUAUAAUACUAUAUUGGGUUUGGUCCAAUUUUAGAUUGAACUAUAAAUAAUCAUCUCUUAUAUUAUAAUAUUAUAAUUUACAAGUUAUUAUUAUUAUUAUUAAUAAUAUAAACUAAAAUUUUGUAUUAUUAAUUAUACAAAUCAACCUCAAUGAUAUUAAUGAAAUAUAAAUCAUAAUUUAAAUAAUUUUUAUUUUUUUAAAUAUAUUUAUGAUAUUUUUAUUAUUUUUAUUCAAUAAUCUAUUAUUUUAUAAAAAUUUAUAUUUGUGAAUAUUAAUUUAAUAAUAAUUUAUAAUGUAAAUUUGAAAUUAUAAAAAUAUUUAAUAAAUAAAUAAAUUAAAAUAAAAUUUUCAUUCAAUGUGAAAUUAAUAAUGAUUUUUAGUAUAAUUUAUUAUUAAAAUUAUUAAAAUCAAUAUUUUUUAUUACAUUUAUCACAUAUUACUAUAAUUUUAAUAUUUAUAAAUUAUUAUGUUUAAUUGAAUUAUUAAUAUAAUCUAAUACUAACUAAUCCCAUAGUCCCCUUGAAAUAAUUUCUUUUACAAAAUUGAAAUUAGCUUUGGGGCUCACGAUAAAUAAAUUCUAAUACUUUUGACAGAACUAAAUAUAGGAAUAGGAUAAAAUUUUAACAAAGAGUUUAAUCUCCACUUUUAAUCCUCCUCCAACCAAACAUGCCCUAAGCUAACGGAUCAUGGCAAAUUUGUAGUAAGUGAUGAACGAUUUGAUAAGCUCUACUCCAUCAGUUCCUUAAUUGAGAAAAUUCCCAAGCCCGUGCAGCCUCACAAUUGAUAGAGACCCGAAGCCACCAAACUCGACAAUCAUCACUCAACGUCGUUGCAGGCUACCGGUCGCUCAACAAGCACCAGUUCCUCACUCUACAGCCAUCACUCAAGCGCUGCCAUUUCCUGUUAAUUAUUCGCUCGAAUUAGGGUUCUGAUAUUUGGGGAUUUUUUCUUAAUUGUGGAAUUAUGAAGUAAUGAUGAUGACGACGAAGAUGUGGUGGUUGACGACGGCAAAGGCAACGUUGAAUAUUGAGGCACUGGAGAAACAAGCAUUGGCUAUUAUCUUGGUCGAUUUGCCUCGAAUUGAUCACUAAAAAUGGGGAUAUCGUGGGCCGAGCUUCAACGCAGUCGCAAAUUUCAUUUGGAUAACUGAAUUUUAUUUUAUUUUUGUGUUUAAUUUGUUUAAAGUUUAAUUGUUUAGAUCUAGGCUAAAUUUUAAUGAUCAUUUUUAUGAUUAAAUGACAUGAGUAUGCUUAAGUUUUUUUCCUUCAAAUUGAUUUUCUGAUGUUACAUUUUGUUAGCAAAAAGUUAAAAAAUAGUAGAAACUGUCUGAAUUUUUGUUAUGAAGAUGUUGUUUUAGUUUGAUAUUGGGAAAAUAUCAUUAUACAUAUUGCCAUCAUAUUCAUGGGAGACCAAAAUGGGAAUGAUGGCAGGCUAUGCAUUGCUCACAACUAAUUUAAAACUCACUAUUUCUGUUUUUGGUGUUUUAGUAAUUCUGGGGGCAUUCCAACUAUAAUUAAUAAGCUAUAAACUUGUUUAGUAAUUACUAAUCAACUUGCUAGAAAGAGUCACAAACUAAUUAGCUUUCUCUUGUAAUUUUUACAGAUCAUCAGUGGAUAAGAACUACAAGGAGUUGAAGACUUAAAGAUAAGAACUACAAGGAGUGAAAACGNNNNNNNNNNNNNNNNNNNNNNNNNNNNNNNNNNNNNNNNNNNNNNNNNNNNNNNNNNNNNNNNNNNNNNNNNNNNNNNNNNNNNNNNNNNNNNNNNNNNNNNNNNNNNNNNNNNNNNNNNNNNNNNNNNNNNNNNNNNNNNNNNNNNNNNNNNNNNNNNNNNNNNNNNNNNNNNNNNNNNNNNNNNNNNNNNNNNNNNNNNNNNNNNNNNNNNNNNNNNNNNNNNNNNNNNNNNNNNNNNNNNNNNNNNNNNNNNNNNNNNNNNNNNNNNNNNNNNNNNNNNNNNNNNNNNNNNNNNNNNNNNNNNNNNNNNNNNNNNNNNNNNNNNNNNNNNNNNNNNNNNNNNNNNNNNNNNNNNNNNNNNNNNNNNNNNNNNNNNNNNNNNNNNNNNNNNNNNNNNNNNNNNNNNNNNNNNNNNNNNNNNNNNNNNNNNNNNNNNNNNNNNNNNNNNNNNNNNNNNNNNNNNNNNNNNNNNNNNNNNNNNNNNNNNNNNNNNNNNNNNNNNNNNNNNNNNNNNNNNNNNNNNNNNNNNNNNNNNNNNNNNNNNNNNNNNNNNNNNNNNNNNNNNNNNNNNNNNNNNNNNNNNNNNNNNNNNNNNNNNNNNNNNNNNNNNNNNNNNNNNNNNNNNNNNNNNNNNNNNNNNNNNNNNNNNNNNNNNNNNNNNNNNNNNNNNNNNNNNNNNNNNNNNNNNNNNNNNNNNNNNNNNNNNNNNNNNNNNNNNNNNNNNNNNNNNNNNNNNNNNNNNNNNNNNNNNNNNNNNNNNNNNNNNNNNNNNNNNNNNNNNNNNNNNNNNNNNNNNNNNNNNNNNNNNNNNNNNNNNNNNNNNNNNNNNNNNNNNNNNNNNNNNNNNNNNNNNNNNNNNNNNNNNNNNNNNNNNNNNNNNNNNNNNNNNNNNNNNNNNNNNNNNNNNNNNNNNNNNNNNNNNNNNNNNNNNNNNNNNNNNNNNNNNNNNNNNNNNNNNNNNNNNNNNNNNNNNNNNNNNNNNNNNNNNNNNNNNNNNAAACCUUUAACCCCUAAACUUUUUUUUUUUUUUUAAAAGGCCAAGGGGGUUUCCCCCCAAUUUGGGGGAAAGAGUUUUCUUUUUUUUUUUUUGGGUUUCCCCCCCCCCCCCCCCCCCCCCCGCCCCCCCAAAGUCAUUUUUUGUUCUCUACUCCAUUGUAAAUUUGUAUUCAAAAGUCUUUUUCUUUGUCUUUAGUUUUUAAAUUUAUGGAGAUGAUCUUAUGAGGUCUUAAAUAAAUAGUUGUAGAGCUUUACUAAAACUAUGUACAAUCUUAUUGAGAUUUGGGUGUGAUUUUGUAAGAUUGCUAAAAAAUUCAUAUUUGGUAUUUGUUUUAUUUUCCUAGUCGAAUUUCUUGCUUGUAGAAGAUAAAAGAAAAGUGCAAUUUCAUGUUGCAAUAAUUUUUUUUCCUUCCCUCUUUUUCUUCCCAUAUAGUCUGGCUCUGGAUUUGGUGCAGUUGAUGGUUUUAAUACAGUGAACCAAUUUCGUCAGAAUCAUCUUAAAGGAUUAAAGUGGCUUCCUUUUGCAACUGGGUAAGUCAAUGUUACUUCCUGAAUUCAGUUUGGAGUUCUUUCGGAAUAGAUUUCCUUCCCUUACAUUACUUAGCUUCUAGUUGCAUCUUCUUGGCCUUCUCCAGCUGACUUUCCUAUUGGCAAAUUCCUUCGCUUCUAUUGUUUUCAGGUGCCAGUGCUGGAUUUGGAGGUAUGAAUCAUGCCUUCAUUUUUACUUUUUAUGAUUAUUUUUUUAAGGUGUAUGGUACUGUAAUAUAGUUCUUUGUAUAGCUAGUACAAAGUAGUUCUUUAACUUCUUACGUUCGGCUAUAAUGGUCUUGACAUAUGAUAGGGCAGCUCUAUCACCAAUUGACGUGGAAUGAGAAAUAGGAGACAAAUGGGAUUAGAAAAAUAAGAAACAUGACAAAAAUAAAAAUCUAAUCUACUCAUAUAAGCAACUCAUCAAAUAAGUGUAUCACAUACUUAAGUGAAUAACAAUCUGUAAUUUCCACGAAUCAAAGUAAAAUUAUAAUAUUCUUUAAAUAAGACUCAUAAGCUUGUUAGGUGUUAUAUUGAAUCAUCUAAGUUGAAUAAUCUUUUGGGUCGAAUAUUUAAUUUCUUAUUCCAUACGUUUCAGUCUCUCAAUAGUUGAAUUAGCAAUGAAAAUUUGAAAAUGGAAAAAUCCAAUGCAAUUAUUUUAGCUGCUUAUCAUAGAUAAGAAUUUCAAAUUUGACACUUUAUUGUCUGUUGUCAAAUUCAUAAAGUAUGAACCUGCAUUAGUUUAGUUCUCUAAUAUUUAUAAAUAAGUAAUACUUGAAUUAAGAUGAAAGAAAAUUGAAAAGUAGAGUUGCUUGAUUGAAUAGCGUCAUAUUUUACAUCACAGAAACUCAAUUUUCAUUGCCAUACGUAGCUCAAAAGUGCAUGAACAUUUAAAAUUCAGCUAACUUAUACUAAUUAAUUAAUACGAGUCUCAGUUCUUACUUCUUAGUACUUGGCAACAUCCAUCCAUAAGAGUGAAACUCCUAUUGAUUUCAUAUAUACAAAAUAAAUAACUUACAAAGGCAAUAUAUACAAUCACGACAAAAACACCAAUUCACUCCAAUAAACAACAUAGCAAAUACAUGGUCUAUAUUGCAAGUCUUUUUACUAUUUUAAUUAAAAGAGAAAAUACGAAGGACAUAUUAUAUAUAAUUGAAUAUUAUCCUUGAUAAUUAGACAAAAUAACACUAAUCUAGCUAACUAAUCCAGUCAUCAUAAUAAUCCGAUUUCCUUUAUUUAAUUAUGUCCAUUGAUGCUAUUUUAAUAAAGAAUACUGAACACUUAAGUAUUUAUAUGCUCAACAACUUCGGCCACGUUUGAAAAGAUCAUAUUAAUUAUUAAUAUAAAGAAAAUAACCCUACAAGGUACAUAUUACAUAUGCAUGUAGUUGCAAUAAAUACAUAAUAAUAAAGAUUGUAAAAGUUCAGGGCCAUUAAUUCAACAAUUACUAAACCAAUAUCCCAAUAAUUGUUUGAUUACUAAUCUUAGCAUUAAAAGAUCUGCAAAUUUUAUUCGGCCAAAACAAAUGCUUCCUUAUUGCUUCCUUGAUCUUAUCCUGCCUGGUGAUUCCUGAAUGUCCUUCCCAUUCUGAUAUGCUGAGUUGUUUGCUGAUUAUAAAUACAAAUCACCUUAAAUUUUCUUAGUCUUGUUCUUCAUGCGAAAUUCUACGUAAUGGCUUAGUUGGUUUAAAUUCUUCUUUUUUCUUUGAAUUGUUGAUUUGUAAUGUUCUUCUCGCUCUCACAUGUGGCAUUCUGCACUCUUCCAAUGCUAUUUCUUGUUAUGGCAGCAGAAUUCUAUAUUUUCUCCCAGUUUCUUUUGUAAAGACUUCUAAAGAACCAUCCAAUGGAAGUUAGAUUAUACAUGGAAGAAUAAAUAAUGCUAAUCUAGCAAGUCCAAUGGUAAAAAUUUGAUUUUCAUUAUAUUAACCGUGUCCAAUCAUGCUAUUUUAAUAAAGAACACUUGAAUAAUAUUUUCAUGUCCAGCAUGUAAAAUUUCAAAACAAUUUUUGCCAAAGUCCUCCUCGGCUAAAUUAAUUUAUGCAUUAAUAAAGUCCUCCUCUUCUAAAUAAUACAAAACCUGUUACGUUGUUCUACCAUUUUUUUUUUUAAAAGCAUUCUACUAUUUAAUAAAAGAAUUCGAAAACUCGUUCUAGACAUACACCGAACCAUAUUAAUUUAAAACAGUUUUCAACUGAGAUUUGAAAUUACACACACAAACACACCGAGUCCUUUAUAUAAAGUGCUUUUAAUAAAUUAUGGUCGGUUUACUAUUAAUUAAUCAAAUUUAAUUUACUCAAAUUACUCCUGUACACGAUCAAAAUAAUAUCAAUUCUAUGAUAUAUAUAUACGUGCACAUACAUACAAAAUGUAAAUAACUUUCAAAUAUAAAAUAUUUAAAAUAGACGAAAUAACUUUCAAAUGUUUAUUGUAUUUUGAUGGGUUUUUGAGGAUGGUUGUAUGUAUUAGCAACAACAAGGUGCUUUUUAUAAAUCCGGGUCCUAAUUUUGUAAAAGAAAUUAAUACUCUCGGUUUAUUGUUAAUAAAAAAGAAAAAAGAAAAAGCAUUUUUCUGUGGCAUAUAUUAAGCAUUUUAAGAAAAGAAAAAAUUACAUUCCAAUUCAUGAAAGACAUUCCUUCUGUCAUAUUGAUGUGUUAAUAGAAAGAUCUAUGUAAAUUAUAACAAUUUUGAUGAAUCUAAAUAUUUAAUAACCGAUAAAUUAUAUUUAUAAAUAUUAAUACCGGUGGCACAUAAGCACUUAAUUCAAGAACUCGCCUAUAGUGCAUUAAUUUAAAGAGUAGAAAUAUUUAAUAAAUCAUGCCCGCUUUACUAUUAAUUAAUAAAAUUUAAUUUACUCAAAUUACUCCUCUACAUGAUCAAAGUAAUUUCAAAUAUACAACACACAAAAUGUAAAUGAUUGAAAUAUAAAAUAUUUAAAAUAAUCACCCCACUAACAAUUCACCACAAAGAUUAUAAAUAGUCGAAAUAAUGAUAAUCUAAGGGGUCCGGUCAUAAUAAUUUAAGUUUUAUUUAUAUUAAUUAUAUAAAAAAGAGUACUCGAGAUUAUAUAUAUCCAACAGCUAAAAUUUCAAAACAAUAUUUGCCAAAGUCUGAUGAAGAGAAUACAUAUAUAUAACAUGCACUUGCACACAUUCUAUUGUUUAAUUAAAAAAUUCGAAAGCCCAUUAUAUACAUGAUAAAGACUUACCGACACCGAACCAUAUUCAUUUAAAGGAAUUGUUUUCAACUGAGAUUUGAAAUUUUUUUUUUUGAAAAGAAACUUCUAUUAAUUCUGAGAUGAUAACAGAUACAUGACUUGUAGAGGGUAUGAACCCUUCCAUACAACAGUUUCGCAUUUCUCUAAAGCUAGUUUAGCUAGAGAAUGGGCAAUGGCAUUGCAAGAUCUAUGUGUAUACACACAACUAACAUGAUCGAAGCUUUCUUUCAAUUUCUGAAUUUCCAAUACUACCCAAUAGAUCUCGGAUCUGCUGCCCUGACUGUUGUUUACUAAACAAACUACUUCUUGCGAGUCUGACUCCAAAAUUACAUCUGUCACAUGUGCAUCUUUUGCCACCUGCAAGCCCCAUUCCAUAGCUUCUGCCUCGGCAUAAGCUACACUUCCAUGGAAUUUUGAGACCUUGAUCGCAGCUGCUGUCACUUGCCCCGUUUCAUCUCUAAUCACAGCCCCCAGCCCAGCAAGAUUCUUUUCUGAGUUGGUAGCGGCAUCAGUGUUGAUCUUAACAAAACCUUCUUGAGGGGGAUUCCAUCCCAGCUGCGCCACUUUCUGCUGCUUUCCAUGGCUUACAGCAACUGAAGGCUGCACUCUCUUAUAAGCCUCCAUCACAGCUUCAGCUUUAGCCACAACAGAUUGGGGGUUCUCUCGCUUGCCUUUGAACAGCCAUUGGUUCCUUGCAUUCCACUUUGCCCAGAGAAUCGCGGCAAACAAAUCUACAUCAGCUUUGCUUCUCAAUCUUUUCACGCCAUGCAACAAGCUCAAAACAUCCUGCCCAGGGGCUGCUUGAAUAUCAUUAUCAAAAAGGGAUAGUCUCCAAACCUUCUUGGCUGCUUUACAAUCAACUAAGGCAUGAAACAAAUUCUCUAUUCCCAUUUUACAAAGCUGGCAGGUAGGCUCUUGGACAAUCUUCCUCUUCCACAAAUUCUCAGCUGAAGGAAGUAAGUUUUUGGCUGCCCUCCAAACAAAAAUUCUGAUCUUCUUCGGCAAAGCAAGAGACCCAAUUUUUUCUUUUUUAAAAAAAUUACUAAUAAUAAAAUAUUUCAGUCGUCCUCUGUUCGGCUGUCAAAAACCCAUUAAGAUCGAUUUGAACAGAAGGUAUAUGGGUUAACAAUCCUCCAUCCUUUCUGCACUUCUCUUCCAUCAACGGACAGCGAUAGAUACUUAAUUGCAAAAGUGAGGAAGGCAGGCCCUUCUCCGGAAAGUAUUUGAGCUUGGGACAAUCCACGAGAUUCAAGUGGGUGAGGUUUUGAAGAUCAACAAUUGAAGAAGAUAGGCGUUCCAGAUUUGGAAAAUCUACAAUCCUCAGAGAUGUUAGAGAGGUAGGAAGAGGAAGCGCGGUCCCUAAUCUUUUGUCCUCUAGUGGAAAUGACACCAUGUCGUCAUCACAUCCUUCGAUUGUAAGAUGUCGCAGAGAGGAGAAUCUAUGAAAUCCCCGACCCCGCUCAAUCAUUGACUUCCAAAUCUCCAUAUUACCCCAAAUAUGAAGUGAAUGAAGGUUGGUGGGAAGGCCAUCUUCUUCAAGGCUUGGAAGCUCAACUCCUCUUCCUAUUGUUAAUUCUUGAAGAGAGGUCAGAUUGUGCAAUCCCUUGGGUAAGGCCUCCAGUCUCUCACACCCAUAGAUCCUGAGCUUACUCAGUUUCGCACAAGGCAAUCCCCCUUCGGGAAAGGACACCAGAUUUUCACAUUCCCAUAUUUCGAUCUCUUGAAGCUGGCCGAGAUUAUGUAAACCACUCGGUAAAAUUUUCAGAUUUUCACACCCAGAAAUAUUGAUUGUUUCAAGAGAUGUGUUGUUGUCCAACCUUUCUGCUAUUGACUCCAGCUUUGGACAAUACCAAACAAAAAGGGACUUAAGAGACGGAGGUAGAUUGCCAACUUCAAGGGACUCAAGCGUGGCAGGUAACUCGUUUUGUGAAAAUAUACAUGUCAGUGAUGGACAAUCCCUAAUUUCUAACUUCUCAAGAAGAGAUGAGGUGUACCUUCUAUUGCUGCUGCUGCUGCUACUCUGGAUGCCCUCUUCCACUGUCAAAGUCCUUAUAUUAUCACAACUAAGGAUGUCCAACCUCUUAAGGCUCCGUGGUAGCUGGACUCCAGCAAGAUAUGUCAACGUACGACAAUGCUCAAUAUACAAGGUCUCGAGAGAUGAAUUGGUGUCGCACAUCCAUGCCUCUGGUAAUGAUUUCAGUGCGUCACAACCUUCAAUCUCAAUUAUCUUCAACUUGGAAGGCAGAGCAACCUCAGGAAAGGAAACAAGGGAACUGCACUUGUAGAUUUCUAUCUCUCUCAAGGAACUGAGGCUGAGAGAUGAUUGUGGCAGCUUCACAAGGCCUUCGCAAUAACUCAAUCUUAGAUAUUCGAGUCUGCAUGACAACUCGCAGAGCUGCUGUUGUUGGUCUUUCUCUUCCUCCGCCACCAAGGAUUGAAGUUUGGGACAGCUUGUAAUCGUCAGUCUUCUGAGAGAGCAAAUGUCUUGCAGUAAUUCGUUAUGACUCUUCCAAAUAUAUGUCUGCUCUUUCAUAUCAUUUAUCUUCAAUUCUUCCAAUUUUGGCAGUCGCGGCUUUAAUGGCCCUGCGAGAAACAGUUGAUUUGAUGUAUCUCUACAAACCACUGAAUUCUGUGAGCCGAGAUGAUCAGCUGCACUUCUCCACACAACCUUUUUACAUCCACCAAUUUCAAAUUUGCAAAGAGCUGGAAGACUUGUAACUGAAACUGACAAUUCUUCACAUCCUUUAAUAACAAGCUUCUCCAAUGCAGGAAGGUGCUCUGGAAGUGUUCCUUGCAGUUUAGAACAUCUUAAAAUGUGAAGCUCUCUCAAUUUAGGAAACCCUUCAACUCCUUGACCGGAUCCAUGAGGAAUCCAGUCUUCCCAUUCUUCCAUGUCUUCAAAACAAAGAGUCUCCAAGCAUGGAAAAGGAAUUGAAGCAACCUUCCCAUAGAACUCUGGAUCAAAUCUCCUUACGCUGCUCAUUCCACAUACUACAAGAUGCUUUAGAGAGGGUAGUUGCCCGACCAACGGCAGGGCAGUACACAUGCUACAAUAUUCAAAUUUAAGUGUUACUAAAUUUGACAAUGAGGAAUUUCCUAACCAAGUUGAAAAAUUUGUGCCUCCAUAGCCGCUGAUACAAAAUUGUUCCAGAUUUUUAUGGGGUUUUAGCAUGUCAAGCACGCCCUCUUCAGCUUCUGCCUCCCUUGAAGAUGAACCAUUAGUAUUGCGAGUCCAUCGAAGCCAUAAUUCUUUAAGAUUCUCCUUUCUAUCCAAUUGAGCGUCCUCGGCAUCAAUAAUGUGUUUUACAUUCUCCAAAUUUGAAAUGCAAAGUGUCCCCCCAAGUUGUGUCAAGGACUUUAGCUCUCGUAACCGGGAACCACUGUCUUUUCCCACAACAAAAUUACACAACGUCUGAAGACAAGUCAGCCUACCAAUUCCGACUGGCAUUUCCUCCAACGAAGAUGUAUUUGAAUUAUUGAGAUGAUGCAAUUUGAUGAGGUUUCCCAUGGCUGCACACAACUUUUUCAGUCGCCAACAGCCCUCCAACAGAAGGGUGUGCAAAUUGUAAAGCUUGUUGACUGAUUCAGGCAGAGUUCUAAUCUCAGUUCCAGAUAGGUUAAGGUACCUUAAAUACCUCAAAUCACCAACUGAAUCCGGCAGCUUGGGGAUGAAAUAUCCACACAGAGAGAAGACCCUCAAUCGUUGGAGUUUGAACAACUUAGGAAGAAUGCUAAGAGCAAAGUAUCCACGCGACCUAUUUGACCGCCUUACUGGUAGAAAAGUUCGCAAAUGCUGGAUAUUGUACAAGUCUUCAAACCUUUUACCGCCUUCAUAAUAUUCAGGAAUGUAUGACAGAUGACGAAGAUUUCUGGAAAAACUUUGUUGCUUGUUAACCUCCGAGGUAUACUCCAUUGUGAAGUAUAUCUCCCCCGCAGCCCAUUGAGCAAGGUCAUUGACGAGGUCGUGCAUCACAAAUCGUGAUAUACCGUUGCUUGAUUGCUGGAAAAAAGAUCUUGCACGUAGCUCU
RNAcentral lists this long non-coding RNA (134109 nucleotides) under Citrus x clementina. RNAcentral's name for it is "Citrus clementina (C. clementina) long non-coding RNA (CCLE_LNC002249)". Lineage: Eukaryota; Viridiplantae; Streptophyta; Magnoliopsida; Sapindales; Rutaceae. The record is from RNAcentral.